This 88653-nucleotide long non-coding RNA is filed under the name Erythranthe guttata (spotted monkey flower). Its description in RNAcentral is "long non-coding RNA (EGUT_LNC001247)". Lineage: Eukaryota; Viridiplantae; Streptophyta; Magnoliopsida; Lamiales; Phrymaceae. The record is from RNAcentral.
GUAGAGGUACAUGAGGAAGUUGUUCCGGUAGCAGGCGCCGGCGAAUCCGGUGAGGGAGACGACCAUGAUGGAGACGCUGAUUAUUAUGAGCGGCCACUGGAGGAACUUCGGGCAGUCGGUGUUGUUCGCGCGGCUGCUCAGCCAUAUUCCGCCGCCGAGGAUGGGGAUCGACAGGACGAAGGUGAGGAAGUUCAGGGCGCCUAUUAGGUGGUUGCUCGUUCUCAUGGUUGCGGCGGUGGCGGUGGCGGUGGUUGUAAAUUUUGUUGAAAUUUAAUUUUUUCUUACAAGAGAGAGAGAGAGAGUACUGCUGUAUUUAUUGGGGAGCAGAUAUAUAAUGGGAAAAAAGCGUUGGGGGAAAUCAAAAUUUGUGGAAACAGAGAUAAGCAUGCUUUGGUACACAGUUAAUGACUAAAUUACCCUCUGCAGAAUGAGUGAUUUACUGAUUUUGUUUAAAUUUUGGUUUAAUGGCACUUUGCCCCCCAACUAUCGUGUGUUUUGCACGUAAUCUGUGGACAAAAAACAUUUACAACAUUUUACCUAAACUGUGCACGGUGCCUCCGUUUUACCAAUUCAGUUCAUUUCUCGUGCGUCACAUGUCCAUUCACUUCAAGUCUUUUAGGGCAAAAAGAAGAAAAAAACGAGGGGAAAUAGAAGUACGAAUAAAUUUGCAGUGAAUGGACGUUUAUACCCUAAAAAACCCAUAUGCGGACGAGAAAUGAACCGAAUUGGUAAAAUUGAGGCACCGUGCAACAAUUUAACGAGUUCAGGUAAAAUUUUGUAUAUUUUUUUGUUAAAGGGGUAACGUGCAAAGCACGCGAUAUUUUAGGGGGAAAAGCGCCAUUAACCCUUAGAUUUUCGUUGAAAUAAAAUUUUACAAGGAAAUGACUAAAUUACCCUCUGAAAAUUGUUGUAUCCAGCAAAUUCAAUGCAAAUAAGAAGUGUGUCCCUGAAAAUCGAGCAUAUUUCCUGGAAGUAAAAUGUGGAACUAAAAAGGAUAUUUUCAAAAAUUAAAAUUAUUUCCUAUUAAAAACCACUAAAUUGUUUGUGACCCGACCAUACAAAAAUAGUUGCACAUGCAUAUGAGUUUCCCCCAUGCAAAGAAGGUCAAGUGGUCGGUGGUUAGAAACAGUGGGUCCCAUUAAGAAAUCAUUUAAAAUUAUUACUAUGUUGAAACUCUUGCGAUAAUGAUCAAAAUUAAUAAUCUACUCUUUUUUUUUAUAAUUAAAUUAAUAAUCUACUUGAUAAAUAAUAAUACUAUUCAAUAAUUUGAUAUGAAGUUAUCAGCACUUUCAAACCAUAGUUUUGCAAAGACUUUAAGGCGUGUUUGAUGCCUUACAACCUUAAAAAAUUAUAAUAAAAAAAAAUAUUUAGUAAAUAUUGCGUUAUUCAGUACAGUUAUGGUAUACUGGACAUCAAUACCGUACACCGUACUAAUACCGAAAUUAAAAAAAAAAAAUAUCAGUGUUGAUUUAAAUUGUAAUUUAAUUGUACAAUCUUAUUCGAAUCUUAAUUGAAUUAUCAGAUUGGACUUUAAAAAAAAUAUCUAGGCAUCCAUCAAUAGUUAGAAGCCCAAUUCAGAAAACAUAUAUUAUUUAUGGCCCAAAUUUAUCUAUAAAUUAUAGAAAUUCUAGGGCUUCAAAAUCCACAAUUCAGCCGCACAAACCCUAAUAUGAGAUUCACGGCAGAACAAGAAACUGAGAGACACACAAAGCGGCGAGCUUUGGAGCUAUACGUGUUUGUUGUAUCGUUGAAAACUCGAGCAGUUCUCGAUCUUCUUAUGUAAGUUCUUGUAUUAACUGAAGCUUGAAGAUUUUCUAAAUCUGUUUUUUUUUUUUCUUUUGCCAUGCUGAAGCUUUGUGAAUAAAUUUUGUUUUGUUGAUAUGGUGUUUGUGAUUUAGCCCCUUUGGAAUUUAUUUAUAUUAGAAAAGGCUGUGGAUGAAUUAUUUGCAGAAAUUGUUUAUUGUGCAUGCUAGGUGUUUGAUGAAUUGAUUUGUGGUAUUAUUAUUGUAAAAAGUCCAUCUUGGCAAAUCAGUUGAGCCCUUUUAAGGGCAAAUGAGCUGCUUUGAAUGCUAAUGGACUAAUAUUAAAUCUCUCUUUUUCUCUUAACUAUUUUCCGCUUCUUCAAAUCUGUUAAGUUUGCAUAUUAGUGGAAAUGAAACAUAUUAAAAAAAAUAUUGAAUAGUUGUUUGUUGAAAUUGUGAAUCUUUUGUAUGCAAGGUGUUUGAUGAAUUGAUUUUUUGGUGUCGAAUUUAUUUUUUUCUAGUCCAUCUAGGCAAGUCAGUUGAGCCCUUUUAAGGGCAAAUGAGCUGCUUUUGAAUGCUAAUGGACUUACAGCUAAAUCAUCUCUUCAUUUUUGUUCCUCACCACUCACCAGAACACAGUUACCGGUAACCGCCGCCGGCUCGCAUCAACACCACUGCCGCUUCCGGCCGUCCGACGUCCUCAGCGAAUCCCCUAUUCAACUGAAAUCACGCGUUUCACCGUUCGUCGUCAAAUUUUGACCGGAAAAGCGGCGAUCGAACGCUACAGCAGCGGCAAUUGAAAUUUGAGUCUUCAAUUUUAAUGUAAAUGGAUUUCAUCUCACAUUAAGGAUCUAAAAUUGAGUGAAUGUUCCUUACACUAGGUUUUGGGCAGUUGCGAGUUGAGUUUGUUCCCUUCGGGCAUCGAUUUCUAAAUUUAUUCCCAAGCAAUCAUUUUUCUCUGUGGUGGAUUUGAAUAAUUGGAGUUGUUGAUGUGAACUGAGUAGUAUAGCCCAGCUAGAUGGUAUUGCCAUCGGAAGUGGCCCGGAAUUGUGCAUUCAUAUGGAAUUAAGUGUUAGAUUAGAUUACAGCAUUCUACGAUAGAUUAAGAUCGGUGGGAUAACCUUCUCAAUCUGGGCAGGUUGUUUUAUUCUACGUAAAUGCGGGCAUCUCGUUUCCUAGUUUACCAUUGGUUUUUUUUUUGGACAUGUUUUUUUAUGUGUUAGGAGAUGUUUUCAGUGCAUUCAAACGUCUAAUUUGGCGUGCUAUUAAUUUUACAAUUACAAUAUAUGUAAAAUGUUGCAAUUUUAGGAUCCGAUUAUUGAACCCCCUCUCUGGUUUUACUCAAAGUCUCGACUUUGUGUACCUUGCGUGCGAAUCAAAUGAAUUCUUCUUCAUUUUCUUGACAUUUGUGCUUUAUGGCUAGAGCCUAUAGUUGUUGCCUUGUUGGUACAUUACGAUAUUUUGUUAUCUCCCUUAAUGGUGUCUUUGAUCUGGUAUAGUUUGACGAAUGAAAAGGUCGCUCGGGUCCCACUUUUCGAGUUACUCUCUCGUCAACUCUCUUUCCUCUAAAAAAUUUCUUCUCUUUUCUCUCUUGUGAUAUGAUUAUGUCAAAGCUUAAUAUCCAUGGUGGACAAGGAAAACAUGUGUUUGUCUUAAUACUCUGUCUACUUUUCGUCUUAUCGUUUUCUAUAGAACACAUAAUGGCAGCAAGAUGGAAAGGAAAAACAGCCAAAGCAAAAGCCCUAGCGGAGCCCAUACUACAAUAGUUUCUCGGCUCCAAUCCUCUUUGAUUGAAUCCAAUUCUCAAUGAAUCCUUUUAGGGAGCAGCGUUCUUCUUGCAGCACACGAAGAACAAACCGAGCUUUUCAACCACGCGUGUUUCGGCCGUCUCGUUAUCACCACACAGAAGAACAAACAGUGGUUUCAACUAUGCCACGAGGAAGCUUUUUACCUUUUCACCGUAAUGAAAUGCAUCAAGAUUGUAGGUCAAAAUAGCUGCGUAAAAAACAAGGAAGAGCUGUGGGAUUACAUGUCGUCCAAGAGAGUGAAUUUCCCGGUUCUGUAUAAAGCGUAUUCGCAUCUUCGUACGAAGAACUGGGUGGUUAGGGCGGGGUCUCAGUACGGAGUUGACUUUCAUUGCACUCUUCAUCUCAGUGGCAGUGUUGCAAAAACGUUGUUGGUUCUCCACAUUAGCAGAAACUGUAACGAUUGUGACGGUGCUAGUUCUUCUCCUUGGAAUAUUAAUUAUUACAGCGUCGAGGAAAGAAUCGUUGCCAGGUGAAAUCCCGAGCAAAGCCGGGAGAAUUGUACGGUUGCAGAGAAGGAAUCGUGUAAGUCGUCAUAAGCUUAACUUAACUCCUGUUUAUUGUACCAGUUACUAUGUUGUAAGAUUUCGCCAUCUUGUAUAAAUAAGAGAUUGCUGCAGAAAUUGGUCUGCUGAUUUUGGGCAGGAAUCUGCUGCAUGCACUGUAUCUAAGUAAAAGAUUUGCGAGUACAUCCAUAUCAUUUACUAAAUAUUUUAGAUUUUUUUAUUUUACUUUUUAUUUUUUGUUUUUCAUGUGCAAAUGUGAUCAGGAAAAAAAUAUUAUAGAGAAAACAAUAAGGCAAAUUAUGGAUACCUCCCUGAUGUAAGAUCAAAUUACAAAAAACCAUCUUAUUUCAGUACUUACAACUAUCCCCUCAACUAUGUAUAAUCUUACGAAAAACCCCCUCAUUCAGUAGGUAAUCUUGACACCGUAAGGAUGGACGUGUAUUAAAGGGGUGGUUGUAAUUACUCAAAUAUAAGGGGGGUUUUGUAAUUUGAUCUUACUUUAGUGGGGUGAUCAUAAUUUGCCCAAAAUAAUAUAAGUAAAAACCCAAAGAUUAAAUACUCUCUAAAAAUAAAUUGAAUUUGAAGUGAUUAAACAGCAAAAUAUUAAUUAACACUAUUAAUUAAACACCUUUCAUGGAUCCAUGUCUACUCAAUGAUGCAUUGUGCACAUCCAGUUGCUUAUAAACCUAUUUUAAACAUGUAACAGAAUAAACAACACUCUUACGUAGUUUACAUGUGCACCAUAGUUCUUAAACAGUUCCAUUACAAGACACGUCAUCACAUUAAUACAAAAUAUAUAGACAGUGUGUUUUUUUUCUUUCUUUUUUGUUUUUCCGAAAACACCAAAAAAACUGCGAAAUAACUCUACAUACGCGCGUUGCUCGUAAAAAUCUUUAAAAUCCAAACGCACCUCUAGAAAUGUAUCCUACUAGGCUGCGACUUCUCCAUUCUUGUCUCUCCAUAAGGCUCGUCAUUAUCGAUCCUUUUGUUGUGCCUAAAAACAGCACAAGCAUCCACAUAGAGUCUGACGAGGAUUAUCAAGAUAACUAUGUUAAUAACCGACACUUUUCUCCAGCUCUUCUUCAAGCUAGCCACUACCCCAGCUUUGCAAGAAUCGAACCCGUAGCAUAGUUGCUCCUGGUCGUUGCUCCAUUUUGUGCAAUCUGUGUCGGGCCCCACGAGGCCUCCACCUGGCGUCCACACCGUCUCAUUUAUGUACACGUAGCCGCAUGAUGUAGGCGGUUUGCAACAUCCAGACUAGCACAUGUAAAACCAAUGUUAAGCAUGCCAAGCUAAGAGUUAUAUUUGACUUGCCAAAAAAUCUAGAUUUGGUAAAAAAGUCUUCAUGUUAUAAUAUUAGCAAAAGAACCCCAUGGUGCAUUAUCUAGAUUUGCUAAAUGGUGUGUUUAAGGGGGUAGUCUGCUAGUUAAAAAAUAACAUCAUAAAUGAUUUUUGCUAAUAUAUACAUAACACGGAAUCAUAGGGAUGCUAAAUGCAAUAAAUUACCCCGUGUUAUCCUAUUAAGGCCUCGUGUGGUUGUCACAAUGGAAUAAGCCAAGAUAUACACAAUCUUAUUAAAUUCCGGAUUGUAUAACUAGACCAGCGGGUCCCAUUAAGUCAAAAUAAACAGAUAAAGAGCAUGGACGAAACCAAAUAAAAGCCCGUUAAUUAAUCAUGGCACAAACGAGAACUAGUUUCGAGAAAUAGAUACCGAGUGCAUAGAAGCACGAGAUAAGCAAAAAUAGUAUUAUAUGUUAUAUGCUUUCAAAAAAUAGUAUUAUAUGUUAUACCGAGUGCCGCCAACGUCACUUCCCACCUCUUUUUCAUCCAAUCGUUGAUUUGUCCCUUUCCAAUCACAUCCGAAUUGGAUAACUCAGGAAUUGUAGAGUCAUAAAAUUUUUCAAAGACGAGUUCCAACCGUGAUUGUUGGAAGGGCAGGACUUCCGCUAGAGCUCCACCGAACAAGAAGAUUCAGUCCAUCAAUUCUUCAAUAUGUUAUUGUUUUAAUUGUUUUUCUUCUAAUAAAGCUCGGUGAUGGUCGACGCUGUUUGUGUCUAACUUUGUUCAAUUUUUUCCCUUUCUAUAAAAUUUUGGGUCGAUGUUGAUUUCAAGUUCCUCUUCGGGCAAGGUUAGCCCUGACAUUAUGUGAAAUAAAUUUGCAUUUUUUGUGAUCUUUACAUGAAGAUCGAUGAUUUUCUGUGAUGUUUGCUGAUGGGUAGAGUCAUGUUGGUCGUGUGCAGACUUGGGUCGAUGGGAGCUGUUGUUACUGGUAAAGGCCAUGUUCCUAAUGGUUGUGCCUAUUGUUUUUUCGCAGUUUCAUUCGUACCUUUGUUUUGUCUUCUUUUGUCGGCAUGUAAUUUAUUUUCUAAAAUACCAUUUCAAUUUUUUUUUUUUAAAUUAUAUGAAUGGAUUCAGAUUUCAAUGAUCUCAUUUUCUUUUCUAGGUUGCAUGUUGGAUCCACAGAAAACCAAAUUGUUACGAAAUCAACUUCUUGGCUACAUGAUGACAUUGCUCAGGUUAUAAAUCAUGAUUAGCACAUUUAUACAAUAUUUAUCAUAAUUAAUUUGUUGUUCAGUUGUGCAUGUAUUUGAUUCAUAUGCUCACUUGAGAUUGGCAAUAGGGAGGGAUGUUCUCGCAAUUUAUUUGGCUAUUUUGAUUUUUUUUCUUUCACUAAAAGGUUUGAUUUCUCUGCUUCACUGUUUAUUGAAUCUUCAUAAUUACUUCGAGUUGCUAAUUCCUUCUACCUCAUAACGUUUUCGAGAUUAUGCAAGCAAUGCAUUCAUUUUACUGUUCUAAUUCUUUGCAGUCUACUCUAUUGGCUCCUUUCUUGCAGCAACCCCACUUUCAGUAAUUAGUAAUUCUAAUAGAAGAUACGGAAGUCAACACCAGCUCGACCUUCAGUAAUUACUUGUGGAGUUGGUUGGCUGUUAACGAUGAAAACCUAUUAUGAUUCUCUUUUUCCAAUUUUUAAUCAGAUUUCUUAUGAUUCUUAAUGUGAAUUUAGGUGGCCAGAGCUUUGCUUGAUUCUCUUUUUGGCAAUCUCACAGGUUCUAGUACAGUAUAGUAAGAAUCGAUACAAUAUUGCAAUAUUGUAAGAAUUGAUACAUAAACUCAAAAUUCAAAUAAAUCAUCUUGUUUAUAAAAUAUAUCUUUGAAAAAGUGUUUUUGGGUGUAAUAAAACAGAGAAAACGCACGUCUUUUGGCCAUGAAAAAAGCAGGAAGAGGGGGAGUUAUACGGAUAUCAUCAUGUUUCACGAUUUUCUUCUCCUUUUUUAGUAUAUGCAAAAUUAAUUGAAUACUACCACUCUGCAUUUUGGUCAGAAAAAAGGAUAUAAUCCUUUGACCUAUUUGCAGCUUCUUAUUGCAUGUUGUUUGGUUAUGUCGUAAUUAUAUUUAUUACUCAUUCUUAUCUCACUAUACAUCCUUACAUUUUGAAUGUUAGUCUACAUAUUUUUCAGGAAAGACGACACUUAUUCAUUGUUAUGCUUCUUCUCUAUGUUUUACACUGUUGUAUAGGCUGCACGCACUGCGUGGUUUUUUUUACUAGCUACCUAACAUGAUUAUAUUUUUUUCCAAAAACAAAUUUAGCCGCUUGUUCAUGGAUAUAACUAAGCCCUUUAGUUUGUAUUACACAACUUUAUUAUAACAUAUGCAAUUUUCUCUGUCUAGAUUUUCAUCCUGCAGGCAUUGGCGGUGAUGGUCUUUUCCGCUAUGGGACAAAUUUCCAUGAAAUUGAGGUUUGGGAACCAACACAUAAUUGUUGUAUCUUGAUUUUUCAAAAGGCUUGUCUACUGUGAGCUGAUGCUUUUUUGUUUCCAGAAAAUUGGUUAUGGUAACUUCAACCAGGUUUUCAAAGUCUUGAAGAGACUUGAUGGUUGCAUGUAUGCCGUAAAACAUAGCAUGAGACAGGAUGCAAAAAGGUAAUUUAAUUUAAUUUACUUGUAAUAAUCAGCUGCUUGUAUUUACGCCACUCGCUUUUUGCAGCAAACUUAUGUUUAACACUGUCACAGGUGCAAGGCUUUGAUGGAAGUUCAAGCUUUGGCAGCUUUAGGUUUGUUACAUUAUUAUAUUCUUUUUAUUUUUAUCCAAAGAUUGAGAUUUUUAAACUUUUCGAUUCCAAUUUUUCUCAGGGUACGUACCACGAGAAUAUAGUUGGCUAUUAUUCUUCGUGGUUUGAAAACAAGCAACUUUACAUCCAAUUGGAGCUAUGCGAGCACAACCUAUCUCUCGAUAGAAUACCUAAACUAUUCACAGAAAGAGAAGCUUUAGAGGCAAUGUAUCAGGUGAAUGAUUUUGAAUCUAUAACGUGACGUAAUUGUAGCUGAUUAUUAACUUUCUGUGGUUUGUUUAUUUUAUCUUGAUGAGUUAAAUAUUUAAUUAGAAUUGUUAAAGGCUGUUAGAUGGGAUUGACUAUGACCUUUCCCAGAGGAGAUUUUUCAUUGAAAAAAUUGCAUUCGUGCAGAUUGCUAAAGCAUUGCAGUUUAUACACGGGAGAGGAGUAGUCACUUGGACGUAAAGCCAGAAAACAUUUAUGUAAAAAAUGGAGUUUAUAAACUUGGUGAUUUUGGUUGUGCGACUGUCGUUGAUAAAAGCUGGCUAAUUGAAAAACGUGAUGCUCGGUACAUGCCCCAAGAAAUCCUGAACGAGAAUUAUGAAAAUCUAGACAAAGUUGAUAUAUUCUCGUCAGGAGCUUCCAUCUAUGAACUUGCAAGAGGGUCACCGUUACCUGAAUCAGGUUCUCAUUUCCUUACUUUUAGGGAAUGAAAGCUGCCCCUUCUUCCGUGUCGUUCAAUCCCGUUUCAGAAUUUAAUCAAGCUAAAUUACCUUCUGCUUUUAUGAUAUGAAAAGUAGGUCUUAAUCGAGGAUAUCCAAUCUGUCUUUACUAUUAAUGUUUGAUAAUUUUGGUGAAAACUAUCGUGAUAAUUAUGUUAAUAUAACAUUCGUUUCUUUGAGUUAUAUAGACUUGGUGUAACAACCUACAGAGCAAAAUUAAAAAUUCGAGUUUUCAGAAAACUAUAUGCAGGGAAAGCUUGAGUUGAGCAUUUUAAAUGUUAAUUAUUAAUUUAUAGUGAGCAUGUUCGAUAAAAGCGCUUUGCAUUGCUACAGAUUAACUUGCGUACUGGUAUUCGAUUUUCUUUUGAUUUGUUAAUCAUUCAGAUGAUGAUGGAUGCAGAUCCUGUUCGUAGACCAACAACCAAAGAAGUAGUUAAGAAUCCAUUUUUUUACAGGAUUGGAAAGAACAAAUAAAUCAAAAGAAAACAAGUAUUUAAUUAGGUUUCUAGCAAAACUUUGCCGCCGAGGUUCAAAUGUUUAAAUUUUUUUAGUCUAACAUUUUUUUUUGAUUCGGUAUUUUAUUUGAAAUAUGUUUUUAGAUGAUCAAUCUAUACUGCUACAACAAACUGCAGGAUGUGUUUGAAGUUGUUUCCCUUUCCUUUGAAGAUUCUAAGUAGCUUGUCAAUAAUUUCGCCACUACCCGGUGAGUUUCAUGAUAAUUACCACUGUUGUUCUGUUUUUGCUUUUCCAUUGUUACUACUGUUUUCUGUCGGUCUUUGAAUAUUAAUAUUCAAAUUAUGUGGUGAACAACAGGUUGUAGAGUUUAGACAAGUUAUAACUUUCCAAGUUCUCGUGUUAUUUAUCCUUUCGUGCAAACGUCUCAUCUUAGUGUCUACCUUUCUAAGGGGAAACAACUCCUUCGUUUGUUUGCUCGCUAUUUUUUUUUUCUUCAUUGAUAAUGGUAGACUGUUAUUUUUGGUCGAUUAUUUAUGUUUUAUAUUUAUUUUUUUGGAUGUAUGCACAUGGAUUCUGCUACCGAUUUUUAAUUUCCCUUGUCGAUUUUCAGUUGGUGUUUCAAUUUCAAUUGAAACACUUAGCUUUCAGAUCUGCUCGUGUGUGAUGGCUGCAGUGUGUGUCCUCGAAACUGCCUCGACCCAAGAACUGUUUAAAGGUAAUUUUUGUGCUUCUCGUAUUUUAUUCGAUGUUAGGAACAGUAAAAGUAAAUUAUGCCAUUUUACGUGUCUAUGGCUCUGAUGGGAAAAAUGGACUUCAAGGGCAGGCCCCCUUUGCGAUGCCGAAACUUCGCGGGCAUGCAUAUGGCUUUUAGUUUCAAUUUGUGAGAGUCACAUUGCGUGUUUAUUUGCUAUUUAUGCAUUGCCAAUUAACUAUGGGAGUUCGAUUGAUGUUACAAUUAAUUGUCCACAAUUUAGAAAUGACUCAAAGUUAGGUGCUAUCUAAUGGUAUAUAUAAUGGAGCAUGCUUUGUUUCUCUUGAACUUUUCAUAUAGUGAUGACCCUUUUUUCUACUUCUUGCAUGCUUGUUUUAUUUCUGUGGGAGUUAGUUUGCUUCGGUUAUAGUUGGACUUUAAAUUAUUUAUGCUUAUAUCUUUAUAUUCGUGAUUUUUACAAGUAUUUAUUUAAUUUUGACUCGAUAGUUUAUUCUAAAGGUGUGAUGAUAGGAGUCACAACAUGGGCUUCAAAUAUAGGGUUUGAUCUAAUCAGAUGUUAUUUUCAUACUUCGACUGAAUUGAGGUUCAGUUCUUAAUUGAAGCCUUGCUAAAUAACACGAUAAAAAUUGCCUUUUGCCUGGUAUUUUGGCUUUGUAUGUUGAAAACAUGCUGCAGAACCACCUCGUUGAUUUCAAAUUGCAGCAAAGUCUAUUGACCUUCUUGUUGGACAGAGCAGAAGUGUUAGUUUUUGCCUAUGCAUACGGUAACAAAAAUGGUACGUAAUUUCAUUUGUAAAUCAAUCCAUAUUACAGUACAAAAAACUGGUUAAAAUUGUUGAGCUUUUCUGACCCUUUUAUGGUUUCUUUGCAUAAUGCAUAUGUUAGUAUCUUAUAAUACUUGUGGAAUUUGCCUAAACACCGCCUACCAUGCAAUUAUUGAGAUUUUCCUAAACACUUAUUUCCUCCAUCAUAUAUCUCGAUCUUAUUUAUCAUGUUUUGAUUCUAUUGAUUAAUACUAUUGGUUCAUUUUUUUUAUCUUCUUCUUACAGUUUGUCCGUGUUAUUAUACGCCUCUGUCCUUUAUUUUCUUUGCCCUUCUUUUCACGAUGUGUAUGAUCGACCUGUUUGCUUCUUCUUUUCUCUUUUCUUUUGUUCUCGAUUUUUUUCUUCUCUUGCUUCUUUGUCCUCAAUCGUCGCCUGCAAUUGCUGAAUCGCCGUUGAAUAUUUUUCGAUUUUGCUUCCAGUUUUGGUUAUUCUCUAUGGGUGCAAGUUCCUGGGUCUGAAUUGGAUUUCUUACAAUCUUGUCAUUGGGUUUUUUUUUUUAAAUCAUUGAUUCUGUCAUGGUUAAUACAAGUAAUCUAUUUGUAUAGAACAUGCAGCCAUUUUUUCAUCUAUCUAACGAAUAUUGGAUUGCUAUUCUUGCACAAAAAGGCGAAAUCCCUCGCCCCCAGGGCCCCCAUCCCUUGGUCCGACAAGGAUUGAUGGAGGAAUGUAAAUCAUGGUAACUCAACGGCUCGUUAAGGUAGCGGACCUGGACCUGGUGCCCACAAGGAACCAACCCUCAUUGGAGUUGAAAUUCCCACACUGCGGAUGCCAGGAUUCGAUCCUAGGACCUGGCACCAACUUACCACCUAUGGAACCAGUUGAGCUACACCCAUGCGGGCAAUAUUGGAUUGCUAUUCUAUUUAUAUAUGCAGAUUUUUUCAAGAUAAAAGAAAAUUAGAUUGGCUGAAGAGAAUGAAGGUAGCUUGCGGUCACGGGAUUCAGUUUUUACACGACAAGGCGAAUUCACCAAUGAUGAACCUCGUCCUGAACUCAUCAAAAACUUUCCUUCACUUUUGUUAUAUAUACGUUCUGAAUGCUAACAUUUGACAGUUAAGAUAGCAAUUUAUUGUCAGAUCUUUCCGACUUCUUUAAUUCGAAAACCUGCACAUUAUUCCUUCUGCCGAACAAUCUUUGCCAAACAAUCUUUUAAUGUUUGACAUAAAAUAAUCUUUUAAUAUCGGACAUGAAUAGCCGGGAAUAGGCAUCACGCAGGGCACCGCGCCUUGCGCGGUGCUCGUUACUAGUUUAUAUAUAUAUAUAUAUAUAUAUAUAUAUAUAUAUAUAUAUAUAUAUAUAUAUAUAUAUAUAUAUAUAUAUAUAUAUAUAUAUAUAUAUAUAUAUAUAUAUAUAUAUAUAUAUAUAUAUAUAUAUAUAUAUAUAUAUAUAUAUAGAAUCCUAAAAUUUAAUAUAAGAAGAAAAUAUCUAAUGAAAUGACCCCCCAUAUAUGUUGUCAGGCCAUGUGAACAAGUUAUGGAGCACGUUCUUAGCAAUUACUCAAUCAAUCCUGGGAAAAUAAAUAAUGCCAAUUAUUAUCUCAGGAUAAAAUUAAAAUACUAGGUAAAAGAAAAAAAAAACUUCAAGUGUAGACAAUGACAAUAGCCCUUUGGCUUUUGGUAAAAGACACAAUAGAAAGUGAUACGUACAAGAAUCUAUGCAUAAAUAAUUAUUUUAUUUUAUUUGAUGAUAGCCUAGCUUUCGUAUUAUUGAUGUCGUUUUCGUUUUCUUGUAAUUCGCAUGGUUUUUUCUUCGACUAGCUAGGCCAUUUUACAUUAUGAUUAAAUGAAUGUUUGAUGAAUAAUAAAAUAAAAUUGGACAAAUUACGGCCACCCCCAGAAGUAAGGUCAAAUUACGAAAAAAUCCUAAUGUUUGGGUAAUUACAACCACCCUUUAACUAUGAUUGUUCUAACACGUCCACCCUUACGGUGUCAAAUUCAAUAGAAUCUAAAAGAUUCCAUGAAAUGUUCUCUAGUUUGUACUCAUUUUGUGCAAAAAUUCAGUUUUGGAUGCACCACAAUCUGAUAUUUACAAGUCAAGAGACACAUCUUAUGAUCAUCUUGUUUUAAAACGUGGAUCUAGAAUAGGAUAAAACGGGUACAGACGGAAGAAUAUUCCACUAGAACAUUACAAUAAAUUUGACACCGUAAGGGUGGACGUGUAAGAAAAUGGAAAAGUACAGUUUGCACCCCUGAACUAUGGGGUGUGUCACAAACACCUCCCUAUACUACAAAACGUAACAAAAAGACCCCUCCGUUUUUAAACCGUUUGUAAUGUGCUGAUGUGGCAGUUGACCCUCUCUUAUUUCAUUAUUUUGACAUUUUUACCCUUCACUUUGCUAUAUCUAUAUGAAUAAAAAGAUAUUUACAUUUUCAGUAUGAAGAUAUAUUUUUUCACCCCAAACUUAAAAUUGUAAAUAAGCAAAAUACUUAAAUUUAAAUUGAUUAUGUAUUCCAAUUUUAAUAAUUAUUUUAUUUCAUCCCAAAAUAUUUUAUAUCAUUAACUUAUUAAUAUAGUAACAUAUUCAAUUUAAUUAAUACAUAAACAAAAAAAUCAGAAGAAUAAAUAUUUUUUUUAGUGAGAGCAUAUGAAUUUUCUAAGAGCAUCUCCAAGAGUGUAAUGUAAACCUAUAUUAUACACAAUAUGAACAACCAAGAUCAAAAUAGUGAGCUCCAAGAGUAAAAUGCAUAAUUAACAAAUUGGCUAAUUUGUAACUUUGGCUUCUCAAAUUUGAGAAACCAAAACUACAAUUUAGCUAAUGCAAAAAAUAUUAAAAUAAUAUUAUAUUGUUCUUUAUAAUAUAUUUAUCAUUAAAAAGUAUUUUAUAUUGUCUUAUAUUUUUGCAAAUAACUGUACUAAAUAAGAAAUUUAUUAUUUUACUUAGUAUUAAUAAUAAAUAAAAUUAAAAAAUAUUUAUCAUUUUAAUUAACAUAAAAAUAUUUCAUAAUGAAUUAUAAAUUUUUUAAUGUUUAUUUAUAUAUAUCAAUUAAGUUAUUGAAAUUUCUUUUAUCAAAUUUAAAAUUAUUUUUGUAUACUUAUUAAUUAGUAUUAUUAUUUAUUAGUAUAUUAACUAAAAUAAAAGUCAAAUAAUUUUGUAAAACAAAAAUUAUUAAAUAUUCAACAAUUAAAUAUAUUGUUUAGAAUAAUACACAUUUUUAUUAAUAUAUAAUAAUAAUAAUUGAAUAUCAUGUAGAAAUUAUUUAAUAAAAAUAAUUAAAUAUUAUAAUUGUGUAAAAUAUAAACAAUGUUGUUGGAGCGCAAUGUUAAAAGUGGAGUGUUAAAACACUGUUCAUUUGUUAUAUUAUAGAUAUAGACAACCGUUUUUAGAUAAACUGUUGGAGAUGGCCUAACAAUAAGUUAUUACUCAAUUGAAAAUUUCCUCAAAUUCAAAAAACUUAAGCUCAAACUAAAGACCAUAAAUGAUUAAAGUAAAUUAAAUAUAAAAUUUAACAAAUUUAAUUACAGAAUAAAUCAACCCUUGCAUUCAAAUAUAGUUCACAUUUCGGCCACUCCAAUCAAGAAGCAAGAUUUAACCCAGAUGCAAUCAACCUAACAUUGCUUUAAAAUUUAACAAACCCACUACUUCCUCUGGCCAAGGAUGAAAAAAUAGUACGUCGUUGCAAGAAAAAAGGUCCGGCGAGCAGGGCCAUGGCUACAGGAAGUCGAAAACGACGGAGGAGUGAACUGGGUGAAACCGUAACGGAAAAAGAAGCUUGAGAGGGAUGAAACAACAUAGGGAGAGGAAGGGGAGAAAAAACCUCUGCCGGAAAAUAUUUUCGCCGGAACGAAUGGCAUGGAAAAUCGAGAACUUAAUCCCUAUUAGAGGGAUGAGAGAAGUAUGGGAAAUGAGGAAGAAAAAAAGCAGGAGAUUUGUUGGUGGGGGUGAUGCGUAGAAAAUUGUGCAUAUUAAUAGGAAAUUGGGUCCAACAUUUCAAAUAUAUUUGAAGGGUAAAGAAGUAAAUGCAUAAGAAAACUGACGGUAUAAGUUGUUUACACGUUGACCACAAAUUAUAGGGGUUAUUUUGUUACGUUUUGUAGUCUAGGGGGGUGUUUGUGACAGACCCCAUAGUUAAGGGGUGCAAACCGUACUUUUCCCGUAAGAAAAUACAUAGUUAAGAGGUGGUUGUAAUUAGCCAAACAAUAUGAACUAUUUCGUAAUUUAAUAUGUACCUCAGGAUGUGACCGUAAUUUACCCAAAAAUAAAAUAAAUUCAACCUUUUUGCAUUGCAAGAAGAAAAGCAACAAGAAGGCACAACAAGAAGGAUGUUUGAUCAAAAAGUUUAAAGGGAAAAAAUGGACUUUAAAUUUAACCAAAAAGCUCAUAUAAAUAUUUGGUUUAUUGGUAGUAAUAAAGUAGAACAAUGUAAUCUCUUUCUAGUUCAAAUCAAAGUGUUAUUACAAAACGACAACAGAAAUUUGUGGUUAAGAUAUCUUAUCCCCUAAUAAUAAUAAAGACUGAAUUUUUAUUUUAUUUUUAAAUAUAAAUAAAAAAAUGGGCAUGUUUACAUAAUCACCAAAUUAAGAACACUAAUUAAUUCAAAGCUCCAAACAUAUAUAGAUUAAUUAAUGAUUUAUAAUAGGUAUCAGAUUUUCAUAGAUUCAAUAAAUAAAAAUCAACAAUUAAAUUCAAAUUGUUUUUUAUUCUGCUACCGAUUAUAAAUCAGAACUCGAUUUUGCCCCAGUAACUAUCACUCGCGACCCGAUUCGAGAGCCAACUCGAAUAGUCCUAGAGCAAGUAGUCGAGGUAGGCCCGGUUCAUCAUGGGCUGGCCGGAACCCUUGCCGGUGACGGCGUAGGCGAAGAUGACGAAGCCGAGUAGGGUGGCAAUGAUGAUAAACAUGGCCCACCAGUAGAGGUACAUGAGGAAGUUUUUCCAGUAGCAGGCGCCGGCGAAUCCGGCGAGGGAGACGACCAUGAUGGGGACGCCAAUUAUUAUGAGCGGCCACUGGAAGAACUUCAGGCAGUCGGUCUUGUUCGCGCGGCUGCUCAGCCAUAUUCCGCCGCCGACGAUGGGGAUCGACAGGACGAAGGUGAGGAAGUUCAGGGCGCCUAUUAGGUGGUUGCUCGUUCUCAUGGCGGCGGCGGUGGCGGUGGUUGUAAAUUUUUUUGAAAUUUAAUUUUGUCUUACAAGAGAGAGAGAGAGAGUACUGCUGUAUUUAUUGGGGAGCAGAUAUAUAAUGGGAAAAAAGCUUUGGGGAAAAUCAAAAUUUGUGGGAAACAAAGAUAAGCAUGCUUUGGUACACAGUUAAUGACUAAAUUACCUUCUGCAGAAUGAGUGAUUUACUGAUUUUGUUUAAAUUUUGGUUUAAUGGCACUUUGCCCCCCCAACUAUCGUGUGUUUUACACGUAAUCUCUGGACAAAAAACAUUUACAACAUUUUACCUAAACUGUGCACGGUGCCUCAGUUUUACCAAUUCAGUUCAUUUCUCGUGCGUCACAUGUCCAUUCACUUCAAGUGUUUUAGGGCAAAAAGAAGAAGAAAACGAGGGGAAAUAGAAGUACGAAUAAAUUUGCACUGAAUGGACGUUUAUAACGCGACAGCGGGUUAAUAAUCAUGAAUCAUAUAUUUCAUAAUUGAGGGGUUUUGGGUGAGGAAUUCUUGCAUAGGGGGAAGAUAAAAUCCUAGGUCCGUUUUUAUUGAUAUUUUCUCGUGUUAAUUUGCUUUCAUAAUUAGUUUAAUUAUUUAGUUGAUUAAAUUUGACAAUUUUCGUAGGCUGGAUAAAAAUCAUAAUUGUUAGAAUUUGGUACUUAGGAUUAGAUAAUUUGAGUAUUCCCUAUGGGAUCGACAUCCGACUCUCAUUAUUGAUUAUUGAACCCCCUCUCUGGUUUUACUCAAAGUCUCGACUUUGUGUACCUUGCGUGCGAAUCAAAUGAAGUCUUCUUCAUUUUCUUGACAUUUGUGCUUGAUGGCUAGAGCCUAUAGUUGUUGCCUUGUUGGUAAAUUACGAUAUUUUUUAUCUCCCUUAAUGGUGUCUUUGAUCUGGCAUAGUUUGACGAAUGAAAAGGUCGCUCGGGUCCCACUUUUCGAGUUACUCUCUCGUCAACUCUCUUUCCUCUAAAAAAUUUCUUCUCUUUUAUCUCUUGUGAUAUGAUUAUGUCAAAGCUUAAUAUCCAUGGUGGACAAGGAAAACAGGUGUUUGUCUUAAUACUCUGUCUACUUUUCGUCUUAUCAAUUUCUACGGAACAGAUAAUGGCAGCAAGAUGGAAAGGAAAAACAGCCGAAGUAAAAGCCCUAGCGGAGCCCAUGUCCACAAUAGUUUCUCGGCUCCAAUCCUCUUUGAUUGAAUCCAAUUCUCAAGGAAUCCUUUCAGGGAGCAGCGUUCUUCUUGCAGCACACGAAGAACAAACCGAGCUUUUCAACCAGGCGUGUUUCGGCCGUCUCGUUAUCACCACAGAGAAGAACAAACAGUGGUUUCAACUAUGCCUCGAGGAAGGUUUUUACCUCUGCACCGUAAUGAAAUGCAUCAAGAUUGUAGGUCAAAAUAGCUGCGUAAAAAACGAGGAAGAGCUGUAGGAUUACAUGUCGUCCAAGAGAGUGAAUUUUCCGAUUCUGUAUAAAGUGUGUUCGCAUCUUCGUACGAAGAACUGGGUGGUUAGGGCGGGGUCUCAGUACGGUGUUGACUUUCAUUGCACUCUUCGUCUCUGUGGCAGUGUUGCAAAAACGUUGUUGGUUCUCCACAUUAGCAGAAACUGUAACGAUUGUGACGGUGCUAGUUCUUCUCCUUGGAAUAUUUAUUAUGACAGCGUCGAGGAAAGAAUCGUUGCCAGGUGGAAUCCCGAGCAAAGCCGGGAGAAUUGUACGGUUGCAGAGAAGGAAUCGUGUAAGUCGUCAUAAGCUUAACUUAGCUCCUGUUUAUUGUACUAGUUACUAUGUUGUAAGAUUUCGCCAUCUUGUAUAAAUAAGUCUCAACACCAUAAGUACAAAAUUUUACACCACAAAACGCGAAGAAUGAAGAUCAACGAAGACUCAAGCAUAGUUUUUCUUAUUUAUUUUAUUUAUUCUAUUUUGUUUAUCAUAAGAAUUACGCGUAGCUAAGUUUUUAAUCUAGGAUUUUGUCUGAACCCUAUGUGGGGAUGGUGAACCCGUUUUCUUGAGAUUAUGCAAUUAUGAUUUUAUGAUUAUUUCUUCUACUUGUUAUGAUUGUUAGUGCAUGAACUUGAUCAAUUUAUGUGCUUUAUCUGUGAUUAUUGGGAUUGACUAGACAGAGCUAUUUUGAUAAUUAUACGGUAAGUAUAAGAACCUUCGAGUAGUUUUCACCGGAUGAGUGUGUCAAUUGCAUGUGGUGUCGUAGACAUACAGAUAUCACCUUAGGUAGCCAUUUACGAGACUUGUUAGUUAAUGCUUUACUCAUUAUUUGUUUGCAUAGACAUAUAGUGAACCGUUUAUGAAUAAUAGACUCAUAAUACACGCGACAGCGGGUUAUGAGUAAAUUAGUGUCUCGGGUUACUAAUCAUGAAUCAUAUAUCUCAUAAUUGAGGGGUUUUGGGUGAGCAAUUCUCGCAUAGGGGGAAGAUAAAAUCCUAGGUCUGUUUUUAUUGAUAUUUUAUCGUGUUAAUUUGCUUUCAUAAUUAGUUUAAUUAUUUAGUUGAUUAAAUUUGACAAUUUAGCGUAGGCUGGAUAAAAAUCAUAAUUGUUAGAAUUUGGUACUUAGGAUUAGAUAAUUUGAGUAUUCCCUGUGGGAUCGACAUCCGACUCUCACGAGUCCACUUUUACUACUUGUUUGCGAUACGUGCACUUGCGUGUUAGGUAUUUAGCACCCAACAAGUUUUUGGCGCCGUUGCCGGGGAAUACAGCUAAAUUAUCUAUUUAUUCUAAUUUCAAAUUUGAGCAUUUUUUUUUACUUCAGCCAUUUAAUUUUAAUUUUAAUUUGUAUUUUUAAUUUUUAUUUUUUUGUUUUUGUUACAUGUCUGGUUACAAUCUUCGGGCACCUCAAACGGGAUAUGAAUGGCUUCCAAGUGACGAAUACCUCCAAAACACCUGUGAUAUGCCUCCGUUUUGUUCAGCAUGUGGUGGAAAUCAUUAUUCUGAUCAAUGUUGGGGAUCACCAAAAGCGACAAAUUUCAUCGAAAUUACCAACGGAGGUUAUUGGAAUACUUGCACCAGCACAUACGAGCAAAGCUUUCAAGACCAAGAUUUGAACGAGUUUCAACAUAGAGAGCCACAAUUUUCUGAUUUUCAAAAUUAUUAUCCCUCGCAGCAACAAACCACUGAUGAACAACUUGAUUUGGUAUCCCUCAUUGCCGAAUUCAUGAAGUCCACUCAAGCAUCAUUUCGAAACAUGGAGAUACAACUGGAAGAGAUGACGCUCAAAUUAAAAUCUGAGUCUCUUGAAAAUAUUCCAGACGAAAUCGGCAAUGGUUAUAUCAAAGAAAAUUCGGGUGAAGCCUGCGGUGAGAAAAUCUUCCAUGUCCAGGAAAUAGUGUCGAUAUGAGAGAAAUAGAAAUGACGAAGACACUUGAGGAUGAUGAAUCUGAGAAUGCAAUCGAGCUAAACUCCAAAGAUGUCUCGGAACAAGAGAAGAAGGAGAUGGAUGUGGUUAGUGCAAAUAUUCAAAUUGAGGAUCUUAUUGUUGUUCAUGACGUGGCUUUGAAGGCAUUAAUAGAGGUUGACAAGAAGGCGAAUGUGUUUGAAGUGGAGGUUAUACACAGACUUGAGGUUUUUGUGUACCGAUUUGAGGGAGCGGGUGAUGAAAAUCCCAUCUUGGCUUCGUACCGAUUUAUUACAACAAAAAAAAGACUACAAGUUAAGGUGGACCGUGACAUAUUGCAGUGCUAUCCAUGCAUUGAUUGCAAUUGAAGUGAUAAUGAUCAUGGAUGGAUGCGCAAUCUACAAGGCUUUGGAUUGGACAUAACGAUUUCCAGAAGCAAAGUCCGGCUGAAGACUUAAAAUUUAGCGCUUAUCGGGAGGCAACCCGAGCAUUUAUCGUUUUUGUUUUCUCAUAUUUUUCGUAUUUUUAGUUGUUUUUUAUUUUCUUAGAAUAUAUAUAAGCGUGCAAUCUAAUAAUUUAAUCAUGUUUGAAUUUUUAGGUCGAAAAAGGACAAAGAGUCCAGACUGCCGUCCGAAAAUCAAGCAAAAACCCGAGACGGCCGUCCGGAGAAGUUACGACGAAUUGUGAACCUACUGUUAGUGGGACGUCCGUCCCGAAAACAAUGCAAAACGUGGGACGGCCGUCCGGAAUACCCCUGAAAAAAAAGGUGUUUGCUUGAAAGUAGAAGAGAAGGAGGGGUGCAACACGUGGAGGACGUUUCAACUAAUCAAGGUGUAUUCUAUCCUUAAACUUCGUUUUAAUUACAUUGAGAACAAUGUAAAUUUUAAGUUUGGGGGUGGAAAAACAGUUUUUAUGUGCUUUAUAGGUUUUAGAUUGCAUGCUUUAGGAUUUUAUUUCUUUAUAGUCGUUUUCUUUUAUUUAUUAUUUUCUUUAAAAAAAAUUGCUUGAGUCGAACGCAUCGAUGAGUUAUGAUGAUGAGAGAUGAUCAUUGUGUGAUGAUGAAAUUGCUUGUUUUGUUGUGAUAAGGAUUAGAUGUUUGUUUAGCUUUCGAUUCAACGGAACAUAGAAACGACUUAUUGCUAGGAAUCACACUUUGUGCAUUGCUUUAGUUGAAUAUUUUGUAUUUUAAAUUUGGAGCUAAUUUGUGUUAGAUCAUGCUAUGUUCAGUUUUAGACCUCACCUUAGGAAAUUUAUGAUACGAAGUAUUGAGUAGUGAGUGAUUUGGGAUUAGAUUUGGGCCUUCUUUGAUCCGUUUGAGCCUUUCAAGCCGACCUUUUUAUCGAAAUUUUCCUUAGAACCUUGAUUUGAGCCUCGGAGAAAAGGUGUUCUUUCUUUUAGCCAAUGUGUAUAAGGUAGAAUAGAUGGAGAUUCUUGAAAAAUUACCCCUUGGAGUUCGGUUGAAAAUUUUUAUAAGGUCUCUCUUCUUCUUAAAAAAAAAAGACGAAGAAGUAUAUAGGCUUCUAUAUAUAUUUAUAAAAGAAAAAAAAAACAAAAAGAGAGAAGAAGAAGAAGAGACUAGAAGUGAGAAGAAAGGACUAGUUGUUGAAAUUAUUUUUGAAAGCUCGAUCUAUUGCCUCAAAAGCAAAAGUGGAGACUUUUGAACUUUUGAGAAACGAGUUAAUUAAAGUCCUUAGAGGUGAAUUCAUUGUUUCAAACGCCUAUCUUUCAGAUUUUGGCGUAAUCACCUCAAUUCAACAAUAAUAGCCACAUAUACCCAUAUUUCCUACCUCGAACCAAAGAGCCUAACAAUUGAAAGCCAAAAAGCCCAAUGAUCCCAAUAGCUUAAUGUUCGAUAUUAGUAGAGUAGAAUAAUUUGGUGAGUAUUUGGAGUCAAACAUAUGCAUGUAAGCAUAAAUUUUUUCUAUCUUUAAUUUACAAAUAUUGGAUGCUUGAAGCAAUUGCAUGAUUUGUGGUUUUUGGUUGUGGUAGGUGACUAAGUGCUUUUGAAUUUUGAACUUCCGAAUGCCUAAGAAUUUUCAUUAUAAUUACAAGUUCUGAAAACGUGGAUUUGGUCAUUAAUCUAUGUGAUGAGAUGCGGUAGUUGAGUUUUUUGCUUACGAUUAGAUUUUGCUUGAGGACAAGCAAAAGUUCAAGUUUGGGGGUGUGUUGAGUGUAGAUAUUACACUCAAUAUGUUUACUUUACGUGAAUCUUUUGUUUAGAUUUAAUUAUAUUUGUGCUUUAAUUGAUUGAUUUUGUGUUUUAUAGGUGAAAAAACGAGAAUUAAGUGUCCAUGAAGGAAAAAAAAGAUCAAAAAGAAAGGAAAAAGUUGCAAAUAAGGAAACAAAUCAAAUUAGAAGGAAUCUCGCCACAACAUUGAUAGUGUCCACCAUUUCGAGCAUAUCUCUCUCAUACAAACUCCGAAUUAGGUGAUUUUGACGGCAUUAGAAAGCUAAUUUCAAGGGAUACAAUUCUUAUUUACACAACAUUCCAAAAUUCGGACUCCAACAUGGCACAAAUUGACGAACAAAUCCUGAUGGGGGAAAGUGGCGAAAAUUGAUUCAUAUUAGGUUUCUACUACUUCUUAUCAAGAAAAGCAUAUAAAAGCAACAAGUCUCAACACCAUAAGUACGAAAUUUUACACCACAAAACGCGAAGAACGAAGAUCAACGAAGACUCAAGCAUAGUUUUUUCUUAUUUAUUUUAUUUAUUCUACUUUGUUUAACAUAAGAAUUACGCGUAGCUAAGUUUUUAAUCUAGGAUUUUGUCGGAACCCUAUGUGGGGAUGGUGAACCCGUUUUCUUGAGAUUAUUCAAUUAUGAUUUUAUGAUUAUUUCUUCUACUUGUUAUGAUUGUUAGUGCAUGAACUUGAUCAAUUUAUGUGCUUUGAUGAUGCUAAAAUAUAGCUCACCUAGGGUGGUGUAGAAAAUGAGCUGGGAGAGCAAAGCGGAUCAGUAGCAUGACGACUUGAUGAUCCUGAGGUCCCUGCGAAAUGAACACACGUGAACUACGCCGGAGGUUGAUCCGGCGGAAACCCCUCCGACGCUCAAGUCAGAUAUACGGAUUGCGGAGAUGGUAGAGAGAAUCAAACUCUAGCUUGUUCGUGAAUAAUGAAAAUCAUACCUUUACAAAUGAGUAAAACAUCUAUUUAUAUAUCGGUGAUUGGGUUGGGCUUACUUUGUUGGGCCCAAGCCUUACUUUGAAGGUGUUUGGGCUUCCGUGUAGUGGGCCUAAUUAGUAAAUAAAUAUGAGGGCCCAUUGGGCCGGCUCAUUUAUGUAUAUCAUUAAGCCCCCCAACUCUUGAUUCGAGACGGGGACUUGUGUAGAGGGGUCCGGGUCGUGUCUAGAGUUUAAUUGCGUCGUGGAUUGAAUAGUUUCCGUUGGCGGUGAAUUAAUUCCUUGAUUUAAAUAAGGGAUAAUUGUAUUUACUUGGCAGCGAGGUAUAUAUUUAAGGGUUUUAAAUAUUAUACCAGGGCCAGAUAAAUAGUCUCUUUUUGCGGUGGAAAGAAUUAAAAUUCAUCUCCUUCGUAAUAAAUAUGGGUAUGUACUUUUAACUUUAGGUCUUCUUUGUGUUCUCUUCUUUUAUUCUAUAGCGGUAGAGUAGAAAUUUUUUGUUAUCUUGAUUGCUUCUUUGGGGAAAAAUAUUUCUCAUGUCGAACCCGGGUAAUUCGAAACCCUUGCGAAUUAAACUUUGAGAUCCGGUUGAAGGGGGCAAGAAAAAUUUUGGUUCCGUGGGAAUGGAACGCGAGAAGGUAGUAGUAUCGGGUGGGGAAAUCGGAUCUGCGGUAGGUAGUGCACGAUGUUUGAAGAAAAGAGGGGUCUCGGCUGGGGGGAUAGGCUCGAGCCGAGUGGUUAAUCUGAGUGAGGGCGCGCACCUCGAGAAGGCGGCUGAGCCCCUUGAAGCCGCUGAGCUGGAGGCUCACACGGUAUCCGAGGAGAGGAGGUUCGGUGUAGCAGGCGCGUCGGGCGCGGAGAUCGGUAGACGCGCGCGCGUGUCGGGUACGGAGAUCGAAGGACGCGCGCGCGUGGACGUUGACUGCCGGGUGGUUUGCGCGCCUCCCGAGCGACGCGCGCGUGCAUCAGAGGGGCUGUGCCGAGGUGACGCGCGCGCGCUGCCCUAUCCCGGGGCGCGUGACGGCGCGUGUUGGACUGGAUUGGGGGCACGUGGCCCUGCUGCGGCUUGUGACGCGCGCGCGCGUGAGGCAGCCCCUCUUCGGCGGACGCGCGCGCGUGAGGGCGCGUUUGAAGGCCGUUUUCGGGCUGGGUCGGGUGAAAUUGAUGGGCGAAUCGCCGAGGCACUUGGUUGUUUAAAUGGGGUGAGUUUUGGACAACGAGAAAUCAUUGAAUCUUGGAUUGACGAUGUACAAGCGAGUUAUAAUGUUGAUAUUUGCCCUACUGUUGAUGAAGUGGAUUCCAGUAGACGUCGUUAUGGGCGUCAAGUCGUGGAUUUUGGGAGUGAUAGCGAUGAUUCGAAUCAAGCACCUUUGGCGAGUGAUCAUGCGGUGCCAAGUAGUGAAGUUGAGCCGAUGGUCGAAGAGGAGGAGGAAGAUGAUAUUCCACUGGGUGAUGUUGAGAUUGAUUCUAGGAGGCAAAAGAAACAUAAGUUGAUUAAUUUGGACUUAGUUUAUUUUGAUAGUAAACUGACGGAAGAGCAUUUGCAGUCUAUUCGUCGUUUAGUUGGAGCGCAUAGAAAUAUCGAGUUGUUGUUGCCUCAUAAGGGCGACCGGUUGUAUUCGCCACCCAAUGGGUUUCAUACGGUAUUCUUGGCGUAUGUGACGUGCACAUCUCAGAUUACUCCGCAUCCGACCUUGUUGAAGAUUUGCGAGGAAUUCAAGAUAGGGUAUAGUCAGCUAACUCCCUCUGCUGUUCUGAUGUUCGAGGCGUUUCACCAUAGAGUGUCUCGAGUAGGUUUGCCUAUUACUGUGAGUUUGUUCAAGGCGUUAUUUAUGUUACAUCGGCCCAAUAAGUGGCCUUUCUUUUGUUUUCAUCCUCGCGUUCCCUACCAAUUCGUGAAAAGUGUGAAGUUAUCCUUGGGGGGAAUGGAAGACCAAUUUUUUUUUAUGUGAAUGCUCCCACUUUCGACGUCCCCGUAGUUUGGAACCCUACGUGCGAGAGUUUCACGAGAACUGCGAAUAUGGUGAAGAGGAUAGAAGAGUCUAAGUUGUGUGAUGUGGAAUUUGACCCGAGGGUUUUGAUACCAAAGGCAAAGGGUUAGCACCGUAUAUCCUUUGAGUGAUUGAUUUUUUCGCUUCUAUUUUUUUUUUUUUUUUUUUUUGUAGUUCUUUGGUUGUAUAUACCCCAUGUCUCUUAAGUGUUUGUUAUCUUUUGUAGAUGGGGGUAUCACCUUUGCGGCACUUCGAGCUAAGGCGAAUGGGACGUCGAAAAAGGCAUCGAAGAAGGUUCCCGCCACGUUGGGAGGUUCUUCAGGUGGUUUGUCUCGUGAGACGGUCCAUGUAGAAACUCCUCGAGUUAUCGAAGAUGACCGUAGCAGUGCUGGUGAAGUGGAGGGGCGUCCACCGACGAGGUAUCGUGGCAAGGGAAAGAGGGUGGAUACCGAGUAAGUGGCUGUGCCUAAGUGUCCACGGGUAGACCCAGAGGAGACCUAUGCUUUCCAUGGUGGGGGAGGGAAACAGUUGUUUACCAAUGGCGUGAAUCGCGAUGAUAAGGAGUCGUAUUGGGAUGUGUCGGACCAUGAUUUGCCGAUGUUGAGUACCGAGGGAUUCGUUCGGGAGUAUGAUCGUGCUCGGAUGUCUGGUAAGGGCCCUUCUCACAUGUUGGAGUUAGCCGGUGGGGACAUAUGUCGGGUGAGUCCUUGUUUAUUUAAAACAAGAUUAAAUGUUACCUCAUCUCUUUCUUGUGUAAUUUUUUUUUUUAGUUGGUAGCGACUUGGAGAUAUCUGAUGGAGCAAGGUAGGAACGUGGAAGCUAGGAAGGAAGAGGAGCGGGCUCGAAGUCAGGCGCGUGAAGACGAACUUCUAAGCCAAUUGGAGAAAGCGUGGUCCGAUCUUACUCAACGGUCGGAAGAACUUGCCCAGAGGACAGAGGAGCUUGCUCAGAGGACAGGGGAGCUUGAGGUUAUCCAAGGUGAUGCGAAGGCAUAUAAGGAUGAUGUUCAUAAGUUGAACGAGUGUUAUGACCAGCUCAAAGAGAAAUAUGAAGUUGAGAAGGCGACGGGGAAGAGGUUCCUCGCGACGUUAGGUGGUGCGGCUUAUAGGGAGUCCAUCGUGGAGGAAACCAAGCUUAGCUUCCGAGGUAGUGAUGAGUGUGCUGCUAUGAUUGGGGAGCAUGCGUUGGCUGUGGUCUAUAAGCCAUUAGUUCGUGCUUGUCGCAAAUAUCUUCGCGAUGCGGGUAGUGUUAGUGAGAAGGUUAUUCGGGGGAUGGAGGCUGGUAUAUCCGAUGAAGAGGAGGAUGAGGUCGAUGUCAACGGCACGGGAACAGAGCUCGUUGAUGACAUUGUUGCUGAUGACCCCACUGUGGGAGCGUCUUCCGCCCGUGGUGGGGGAGUUUAGAUAUUUUUGAUAGGAUGGUUAAACUCUUUUUUAUUUAUUAUUGCUAUGGAUUUCUUAAUUUAUUUUUAUCGCUGAUGUAGAUGGGUAUGUCCACUACUGUUUCGUUUGAAUUUAUUCCUUGUUUGACAUUUGAAGUUUUGAUACUUAGUUAUUUAUUUUGACAUUGUCAAGAGUUAAUGCGCUGCUUAUAUGUAUUUACAUUUAGCAUUGUACGCGAUGUACUUGAGGUGGGGAUCAGUCUCCCAAGGUUUUUGUUAAGGGUCGUGCCCUUUGUUCGGACCGCUUGGGUCUUAAAUAUAUUUGUCCGUGGCCACGUUUUAAAAUUAACACCUCGUGAAACAAAUAAAGGGACUCAGAUGAUCCAGCUGGCCAGGCUAUAUGGAUUAUCUAAAUCUCUCUAAGUGUUUAUAGGGUGGUAUUGAAUUAGACUCAUGAUAAGAGGUAGUUUGUAUCGAUGUAAAGACACAGAGAGUAAAACGAAAAUUGUGAUUUAUUCGAUGAUAGCAAAGGAUAAUUGUUACAAGCCUAUGUGAGGCAAAUUUAAAUAAAUAGCUAAGUCGAUAGACCUACGUGAGGCGAAGGUAACUAACUACUGCUAAAGCAAAUAAAUUGUCUUGAUAAAAACUCUCCUAAGUGAUUGUGUGGCACUUAUUCUUCUUCCACGUCUUCCUUGUACUAGUUCGUUUCACUGUGCUGAUGGUAGAUUGACUUCUUUUGGCGUCUCUAUGCCUUUCAAGUAUAAUUGAAAAAAAAGAAAAUUUGUUUAAACACUUGUAUUGAAGAUUUAGUAGUUGAAGCUGUGGUGAUGUGUGCUGCACUUUCACGUACCCUACUACGGGGGUUGUUUUUUCUCUCUCGCACUCCGAGAUAUGAAAUCGACUCGUGAGUUGCUGUGUGCUCAUGCCUGCUAGUGGAAUUAUUUUUUCACGUUAGUAUGAAUACUCAAGAACACGCGUUUGGUGUAUUCUAGUGGAAGUAUUGUUACCCUUGGCGAUGUGGUAUGGAUGGUCCUCGCUCUUUGGGCCAUUGAUUGAGUAAUAUGCAUCCCCUCGUAAUUGGUUAUCAAUCUAUAAUAAGAUGGUGAGAUGUGAUUAUGAAUUACUAAUGUAAAUAAAUUCGCUAGCCCCCCAGUCUAGGUAGGGUGUUAACGCACCUAGUUAUGUAGUAGAAAAUUUCCAACCAUGUAGAAAGAGCUUUACAAGACGAGUGACGUGGAAGGUCGCGGAGCCUAAAGUGUAGAACCGUUUGAGGUUCCCUAUAUUCCAUGUUCUGGGUAUAGGGUGUCCGUCAGUGUUCUUGAGGCGAUAUGCUCCAGUGUUGACCACUUUUGUGAUUUUAUAUGGUCCUUCUCACUUUGGAUCGAGCUUACCAAUGGGGUGAGAGGCUUCAGCUUUCCGGAGGACUAAAUCUCCAACUUGAAAGGAGCGAGGACGGACCUUUGAGUUAUAUGCCUUGGCCAUGCAUGAUUUGUACAUCUGUUGCCGGAUGUAUGCGAUCUUUCGUAAUUCAUCUACAAGGUCUAGGCUUCCUCGCAUAGCUUCUUCAUUAGCUGCUGGAUCAUAAUUGGUGAUUCUCCAAGAUGGUUCACCUAUUUCAACGGGUGCUAUAGCCUCUGUGCCGAAAGCUAUAUUGAAAGGCGACUCUCCGGUUGUUGCGCGUGGGGUUGUGCGAUAAGCCCAUAGUGCGUUAGGCAAUUCUUCCAUCCAUUUCCCUUUGGCACUUCCCAGCCUUGUCUUAAGGUGUUGGAGGAUGGUGGGAUUUGUAACCUCUGUCUGGCCGUUAGCUUGUGGAUUUGCUACCGAUGUGAAGAAUUGGUUGAUUUCCAAGCCGAGGCACCAAUUUUUUACUUUGUCACUUCAAAAUUUGGUUCCAUUAUAUGAGAUAAUGGAACGUGGGAUUCCAAAGCGACACACGAUGUUUUUCCAUAGAAAUUGGAUGACUUCUUCUUCUCGGAUGCGUGCUAAGGGUUCAGCCUCCACCCAUUUGGUGAAGUAGUCCACUGCUACAAUGAGGUAUUUGCGUCCUCCUGUGGCGGGCGAGAAUGGUCCAACUAAAUCCAUUCCCCAUUGGGCGAAAGGGAUGGGGCUGUCAAUUGGUUGCAUUAAUGCUGCUGGCAGGUGAGGAAUAUUGGCAUGCUCUUGGCAAGGCUUACACCUCCGGACUAAUCUCUUCGCGUCUUCAUGCAUCGUUGGCCAAUAGUAGCCUUGCCUCAGUAGUUUGAGAGCUAAGGUUCUCCCGCUCAAGUGAUUGCCGCAGAUGCCUUCGUGUACUUCUCUAAGUACGUAAUCCGUUGUGGUCGGGUCGAGGCACUUGAGAUAGGGGAAUGAGAACCCUCGUUUGUACAAUUCUUCUCCCACUAUGACGAAGCGGGCGGCUCUUGUUUUUAACUUCCGUGCUUUAGUGGGAUCUGUUGGAAGUUCUCCCUUCUUGAGAUAUUUCAGGAUUGGGGUGAACCAGCAUGGUUCAUCCUCCUUGGUGUACUGUACUUCAGUGGCUGAAGUUAUCUCCGGCUGAGGUGAGAUGAGGAGCGUCACCUUCCGACUUCCGAUGCUGGCCAUGGAACUUCCAAGCCUAGCUAAUUUAUCAGCGUGGAUGUUAUUGGAGCGGGGCACUUGUUUAAUUUCGUAGCUCUCGAACUUGGAUAAUAGAGCGUGUGUGCGAGCUAAGUAUUUGGUCAUGGUAUCUUCUUUGGCCUCGUAAACUCCGAGUACUUGGUUAACGACGAGCUGAGAGUCGCUUUGGAUUAGGAGCUUGCGCGCUCCGGCUGCUUGGGCAAGGCGGAUUCCCGCUAUCAAUGCUUCGUAUUCAGCGACGUUGUUUUAGGCUGUGAAUUCGAACUCGUGUCCGUCAGGGUUUGUUAGGACGAUACCCGCCCCCCCUCUUGUGGCAGUGGAAGAUCCAUCGACGCUGACAGACCAGGUAGGUAGAGAGGUGCUUUCUUCUACUGAGGUCAUUUCGACUAGAAAGUCAGCCAAUACUUGCGCUUUGAUAGCGGGACGGGGUUUGAAUUCUAUCCCAUAUUCGCUUAGCUCAAUUGCCCAUUUUGCUAAUCGCCCGGAUGUCUCGGGACAUCUUAGUAUCUGCUUCAGAGGAUAAUUGGCGAGAAAAACCACUUGAUGCGACUGGAAGUAGGGUCGAAGCUUUCGAGCUGCGUUGAUGAGGGCGAGAGCGAGCUUCUCCAUAUUGGUAUAGCGUUGUUCGGCUCCUUGGAGGGCGCGACUUAUGUAGUAUAUGGGUUGAUGACCUUUUCCUCCAUCUCGGAUGAGGACUGCGCUGAUGGCAUCAGCCGAGGUAGCUAAGUACAGCAUGAGGGUGUCUCCCGGCUGAGGUUUUGUAAGCAAGGGUGGUGAUGCGAGAUAUAACUUUAGCUCAGUGAAGGAUUUUUGACAUGCCUCAUCCCACUCGAACUUUUUUCCUCCCCUUAAAAUCUUGAAGAAAGGGAGAGCCUUGUUCGCUGAUCUUGAAAUGAAUCUGUUCAGGGAUGCUAAACAGCCGUUGAGCUGUUGAACUUUCUUGAUCGAUGUUGGUCGAGCCAUGGAGGUGAUUGCUUCGAUUUUCGCGGGAUUAGCUUCGAUUCCUCGCUGCGAAAUCAUAUAACCCAAAAAUUUGCCUCCCCGAACUCCGAAUGAACAUUUGAGGGGGUUGAGCUUCAUCUUAUAUUUUCACUGGGUGGCGAAACACUGAUCCAGAUCAGUUAGGUGGUCCGAGACCUUGACACUUUUGACGAGCACGUCGUCGAUAUACACCUCCAUAUUCUUACCGAUCUGAUCUGCGAACAUGGCAUUCACUAGACGUUGGUAAGUGGCUCAUGCAUUUUUUAAUCCAAAAGGCAUGACUCGAUAGCAGUAGAUGCCUUGGUCUGUGACAAAGCUAGCCGUCUCUUGAUCUUCUGGUGCGAGCAAGAUUUGGUUAUACCCUUGAUAAGCGUCAAGGAAGCUGAGGAGCUCACAUCCCGAAGUUGAAUCGAUGAGUUGGUCGAUUCUAGGUAAAUGAAAUGGGUCCUUAGGACAAGCUUUGUUGAGGUCAGUGAAAUCCAUGCAUAACCUCCACUUUCCCCCGGGUUUGGGAACGAGUACUACGUUCGACAACCAUUCAGGAUACUGAACUGGUCAUAUAUGACCCGCCUCUAGAAGUUUCGCCACUUCUGCCUUGAUGUGCUUGUUGCAUUCGGGUCCAAAUGUUCGUUUCCGUUGUUUGGUCGGCUUCAACCUUUUGUCGACGUUAAGCCGAUGUAGAGCUACAUGAGGGGGGAUGCCCGACAAAUCUUGAGCUUUCCAAGCGAACACGUCUCCAUUGUGCCGCAAGAAUUUGACUAAUUGGUUCUCCAUCUCAGGAUCUAAAUCGGAUCCGAUGCGUAGGAGUUUGGAAUCAUCUCCAGGUGUGAGCUAUAUGAGCUUAAGCUCUUCGACGGCUGCUAGCUUGAUGCUGUCAUCUGGUACACUUGUGAGGAUUUCUUUAUUUUCCUCAAUGAUCGCGUUGACCCACUUCCGUUUGUCGGAUUUUUGGGUGUCGUCUCCCCUUCCGGAUGGUUUAGGCUUCUUGGAAGGUUCUCGUAGGGCCCUUGCAUAGCAUUCUCGGGCGAGACAUCUAUCUCCAAGUACUUCUCCCAUUCCAUAGGGAAUAGGGAACUUCCACUUCUGAUGGUAGGAGGAAGGCACUGAUUUGAAUGUAUGGAUUGAUGGCCUCCCUAGAAUGAUGUUGUAGGGGGAUGGCUUGUCGAGGACGAGGAAUUUGAUUAGUUUUGUGAUUCGACAAGGGUCUUCCCCUAAAGAAACGGGCAGCUCCACUUCUCCCAUGGACAAAAUGCCCUCUCCUGUGAAUCCUUUCAGGGGUGUGGAGAUGGGACUAAACCGGGCAUUAUCUAUGCCCAGCUGCUUAAAAGCGUGGAGGUACAUGAUGUCAGCUGAGCUCCACCGUCCACUAAUAUCUUCUUGACCAAGAAGUUGGCCACCAUUGUUGUUACUACCAACGCAUCGACAUGAUCUUCAUCUGGACCUUCAAGGUCGGAGUAGUUGAAGACUAUGCUAUGAUCAGGUCUUCGUACUUGAUAGAUGCGUGCGGAUGGAGAAGCACGUUCUUGAUUCAUGCGUGCUGAUCGAGCGAGGGUGCGUCUUGCAUUUUGUGAAUCGCCACCCGCCGGUUCUCCGGAGAUAAAGGAGAUGAUUCCCCGGGUAGGUUGGUUAUCGUUGUUAUCUGGGUCUCGUUGAUGACCCCCCUCCUCUCGUCGUUGUUGUUGAUCUCGAUUGUUAUCUCGGCGUGGAAGAUCGUCACGGCGCUUAUUUCGAGACUUAUCAAUGUAUUCGCCUAAGUGGCCUUGCUUGAUCAACCUAUGAAUCGCCACUUUGAGUUGUGCACAUUCCUUGGUAGUAUGUCCUCUAUCCUUAUGGAAUCGACAAUAGCGAUCCGACUUUUCUCGCUUUGCAUUUGGCUGCAUAGGAAGUGGAGUCUCUGCUAAACCUUUCUGUUCUAUUACGUGAAGGAUUUCAGUGAGGCGAAUGUUUAGCGGAGUGAAUCUGUUGUAGGAGGAAGAUGGUUGACCUUGAGGUGGAAGUGGUGGACGUCGAUCAUCCCGUCUCCUAUUGUCUUGUCGGUUCUCUUUUGUUUUUAGGAGGAGCGUUGGUAGAGGCUUCCUCUAUCCGGACGUAUUUUUCGGCUUGAUUCAGCAACUCCUCUAGGUUACCUGGGGGUGUUCCGGCGAAAGACUCUUUGAACUACCCGGUUUCAAGUUCUGCUGCAUAAUCCCGGAGAGCAUGUGUUGCCCUACACUGGGAACUUCAUGGACGGCUUCGACAAAACGCUUGUGUAGUUGCGGAGCGUUUCGUUAUCUCUCUGCACUACAGAGAAAAGGUGAGCAGGGGUCUUGGCAUACUGCUUGUUGAUGGCGAAUUGGUUGGUGAACCGAGUUGACAGCCGAGCGAAGGUGUCAAUCGAUCCUAUGGGCAGAGAGUUGAACCAAUUCAUUGCUCUCUUGGAGAGAGUGGUGCGGAACAUUUUGCACAUCGCAGCAUCCGUCGGGCCAUAUAAAUCCGCCAUGGCGCUGAAUUUCUCUAUAUGCUCUUGUGGGUCGGUGGUCCCUUCAAAUUGAGGUAAUCCCGAGAUCUUUACUCCUUGAGGUAAUACCUCGUUGAGGAUGUCUAUGGUGAAGGGACUGCGUCUUUUUGAGAUGGGCAUUCUUUCACCCAUUGGAUUAUUUGGGUGGGGGAAAAGAUUUUGGCGAGACAUUCUGCUGUUUACCUCGCCUUAUCCCUCAUUAAAGAGAGGGACUCUCUGUGGUGACGCAUUCCCCCGUGGGGGUGAGCGUUGACGCUGCUGUCUGGGCUGUGCCACUCGGUGAUUAGUAGAUAGCUGCACUCGGGACCGUGGGUCCGAGGUAGAGGAGGAGAGAUUUAUUUGAUUCUGGAUUGGCGGUGGGGCCACGGGUGGGGCUAUAGGUGGAGCUGGCGCUGGUAUCCCAUGGGGAGCGUUUUCUCCCAUCAUGGCGAUAUAUUGAGUUACGGCCUCUAUGGCAGCGCGAGUUGAGGCAUCUGCUAUCAUGCGUUGGAGUGCGUCCUCGGUUAUUAGAACCGUUCGAGGAGCAAGGAGUGGUGGAUCGGCGGGUAGUGGGUCCCGAGGAGGGAUCACCUGAACCUCGCGAGGUGGAUCCCCAGUACGUGGCACGUGGAGGAGGUGGCUCCGCGGCACGUGGAGGAAGUGGCUCCGCGGCACGUGGAGGAAGUGGCUCCGCGGCACGUGGAGGAGGUGGCAUGCCAGAUCCUCCACGGACUGGAAGGUUAUUAGCUGUAUCAUUUUCUCUCCGAGCAGACGCCUCAGGAGGAUCUUGUUGGCUACGCGAUCAGGUUUGCAUCGUUCCCACAGACGGCGCCAAAAUGAUGAUGCUAAAAUAUAGCUCACCUAGGGUGGUGUAGAAAAUGAGUUGGGAGAGCAAAGCGGAUCAGUAGCUUGACAACUUGAUGAUCCUGAGGUCCCUGCGAAAUGAACACACGUGAACUACGCCGGGGGUUGAUCCGGCGGAAACCCUUCCGACGCUCAAGUCAGAUAUACGGAUUGCGGAGAUGGUAGAGAGAAUCAAAUGCUAGCUUGGUCGUGAAUAAUGAAAAUCAUACCUUUACAAAUGAGUAAAACAUCUAUUUAUAUAUCGGUGAUUGGGUUGGGCUUACUUUGUUGGGCCCAAGCCUUACUUUGAAGGUGUUUGGGCUUUCGUGUAGUGGGCCUAAUUAGUAAAUAAAUAUGAGGGCCCAUAGGGCCGGCUCAUUUAUGUAUAUCAUUCUUUAUCUGUGAUUAUUAGGAUUGACUCGACAGAGCUAUUUUGAUAAUUAGACAGUAAGUAUAAGAACCUUCGAGUAGUUUUCACCAGAUGAGUGUGUCAAUUGCAUGUGGUGUCGUAGACAUACAUAUAUCACCUUAGGUAGCUGUUGGCCGAAAACCUACACGCAAGUGCACGUAUCGUACAAGUAAUAUAGUGGACAAUUAAGUCCGGAUAUCGAACCCACAGGGAAUAUUUAAUUACUCAAUCCUAGACGCUAAAUCCUAGCAAUUAUUACCAAACCCACCCUACACAGUCGAAUUUAGAGAGAAUUAACUAAAUUAAACUAAAUUAAAAAGCAAGCAAAAACAAGAAAGCAGUUUAAAACAAAGAUUUAAUCAGAGAAAACGAGCCUACGAUUUUAUUCUUCCCCCUAUGUGAUUAUUAUUCCCCCAAUUCCUUCAAUUAUGCAAGCAAUUAACCCAGAUUAUUAACCUGAGAUGCUAAAAUAAUCAUAACCCGCUACCGCGUGUGUUACGAUUCUAAUACUCUAGAUUCAAUUACUAUAUUCCUAUGCAAUUAAUUCUAGAAAACAGCAUUAAGCAAAAAUCUCAAUAAUGGCUACCGAAGAGAUUAACUAUAUUCCUAUGUUAAUACCACAAAGGCUCUUCUACCAUAGUUCUAAUUAUUAACCCGAUCUUCCGAUUCAUGCGAUUAACAAUAACAUAAAAGCACAUAAGGUGAUCAAGUUCAUGCACUUAAUAAAACAAGUAGAAGAAAUAAUCCGGAAUUAAAACUUGCAUAAAAUCAUAGAAAAGGGUUCAUAAAUCCCAUAUAGGGUUCCAAAUAAAAUCCUAGAAAUAAGUAGUUUAGCUACUCAUGAUUAAAGGAAAACGCAAUUAAAAUAAAUCAUAGACGAUAAAUCUAUGCUUGGAGUCUUCGAAUUCUUCGUCUUCGUUAUUGCUUUGUUGCUCUCCAAAUUGCGUCCAAAGAUGGCCCCCUAAUUGUGUGCUUGACUUGGUCUUAUAUAGGUUGGAAAACUUGGGGAAGAAGGUAGUUUGAGAACUUUUGCUUGUCCUCAAACUUGAACUUUUGCUUGUCCUCAAGCAAAAUCUACCAUUAAGCAAAUAACUCAACAAUAACAUCUCAUCACAUAGAUCAAUGAUCAACUUCACGUUUUCAGAACUUGUAAUUAUAAUGACAAUUCUUAGGCAUUCGCAAGCUCAAAAUUCAACAACACUUAGUCACUCAGCAUUACCAAAAACCACAAUUCAUACAAUUGCUUCAAGCAUCCAAUAUUUGCAAAUUAAAGAUAGAAAUAAUUUAUACUUACAUACAUAUGCUUGACUCCAAAUACUCACCAAAUUAUUCUACUCUACUAAUAUCGAACAUUAAGCUAUUGGGAUCAUUGGGGCUUUGUGGCUUUCAAUUGUUAGGCUCUUUGGUUCGAGGUAGGAAAUAUGGGUAUAUGUGGCUAUUCUUCUUGAAUUUAGGUGAUUACGCCAAAAUUUGAAAGAUAGGCGUUUGAAACAAUGAAUUCACCUCUACGGACUUUAAUAAACUCGGUUCUCAAAAGAUCAAAAGUCUCCACUUUUGCUUUUGAGACAAUGAAUCGAGUUUUCAAAAAUAAUUCAACAACUUGUCCUUAUUUCUCCCUUCUAGUCUCUUCUUCUUCUCUUUUUCUCUCUUUUUCUCUCUUUUUUUUUCUUUUAUAUAUAUAUAUAUAUAUAUAUAUAUAUAUAUAUAUAUAUAUAUAUAUAUAUAUAUAUAUAUAUGGAAGCAUAGAUGUUUGUCUUCUUUUUUUUUCUUUUUCUUUUUCUGUUCUUUUUUUUAUUUCGAGGAAGAAGAAGAAGGACCUUAUAAAAAUUUUCGACCGAACUCCAAGGGGUAAUUUUUCAAGAAUCUCCACCUAUUCUACCUUACACAUUGGCUAAAAGAAAAGAACACCUUUUCUCCGAUGCUCAAAUCAAGGUUCUAAGGAUAAUUUCGAUAAAAAGGUUGGCUUGAAAGGCUCAAACGAUUCAAAGAAAGCCCAAAUCAUAUCCCAAAUCACUCACUACUCAAUUCUUCGUAUCAUAAAUUUCUUAAGUUGAGUUCUAAAACCAAACAUAGCAUGAUCUAGCACAAAUUAAUUCCAAAUUUAAAAUACAAAACAUUCAACCAAAGCAAUGCACAAAGUGUGAUUCCUAGCAAUAAUUCGCUUCUAAGUUCCGUUGAAUCGAAAGCUAAACAAACAUCUAAUCCUUAUCACACAAAACAAGCAAUUUCAUCAUCAAACAUUGAUCAUCUCUCAUCAUCAUAACUCAUCGAUGCAUUCGACUCAAGCAAUUAUUUUUUUUUUAAUUUUUUUUUUCCGGAAAAAUGAUAAAAGCAAUAAAAAUAAAUAAAUCCUAAUGCAUGCAAACUAAAACAAAUAAGCACAAACACAUGUUUUUCACACCCAAACUUAAAAUUUUCGUUGCCCUCAACGAAAUUAGCACAAAGUAUAAGGAUAGAAAACACCUGAUUUAGUCGGAAACGAUGUCUUCGGGGUGUGAGAAUUUGUGGGAAAGAAAUUUGAUUUUCCUCUUGCGAAGAUGCCCUCUCUGUCUCUCGGAUGACCGUCCCGAUCGCAAUUCCGACCUUAAAAAUAAGAAAUCAAAUAAAUUAAUUAGAAUGCAUGCCUAUGAAAAUAAAAAUAAAACAUAAAAUUAAAGAAAAAUAUAAAAAACAGUAAAGCUCGUGUUGCCUCCCGAGAAGCGCUAAGUUUAAAGUCUUCAGCCGGAUGUUGCUUCUUGAAAUUUUUAUGUCCAAUCCAAAGCCUUGUAGAUUGCGCAUCCAUCCAUUGGCUUUAUAACUUCAAUUGGAACCAAUACAUGAAUAGCAUUGCAAUAUGUCAGGGUCCACUUUAGCUUGUAGUCUUUCUUGGAUGUAAUCAAUCGGUACGAAGCCAAGAUGGGAUCUUCAUCACCCGCUCCCUCAAAUCGGUACACAAAAGCCUCACGUCCGCGUAUAAGCUCCACUUCAAACACAUUCGCCUUCUUAUCAACCUCUAUUGAUGCCUUCAAAGCCACGUCAUGAACAACAAUAAUAUUCUCAAUUUGACUAUUUGCACUAACCACAUCCAUCUCCUUCUUCUCUUGUUCCGAGACAUCUUUGGAGUUUAGCUCAAUUGCAUUGUCAGAUUCAUCAUCCUUAAGCAUCUUCAUAAUUUCUUUUUCCCUCUCAUCGACACUAUUUUCUUGGUCUAAAGGACUUUUCUCACUACAAAUUUCAAACAGAUUUUCUUUGUUGCAACCUGAUAAGGAACUCAAAAUUGGAUUCGAAUUGGAAAAUAACUAUUUAAUUGGUAGAAGAGUUAUUUAUGGGCAUCGGUGGAGAUACCGAAAGAAAUUACGGAAAAAUAAGGGUUUUCAACGAACUCAAAUUGUAUUUGAGUACGAAACGAACUCUAUCUCAAGUAAAACGGCGUAAUGAACAAAACUCAUGAGCAUAGCUCAUGAAUCACGUCAAAUUUCAGCAAUCCAAGGUCGUUUGGACUCCUAAAAGUUCGUUUUUGCUAUUUUAGGUAAGUUUUAGAAAAUUAAUAUCAAAUCAUAGAAAAAUCGUAUUAGGAUUCCGUAAAUUGGGUUGUUCCCAAAAUUACGAGAUCUACUAGAAUUAGGAUUUAACUCGUUUUUGCCUUUUUUUGGUAAUUUUUAGUAUUUUCUUAGUUUAAUUAGGGUUUUCAGUUUUUUAGUAUAAAUAGCUGCCUUAGGACUUUAUUUUAAGAAGAAUUUCGAAUUUUAAUAAAAUCUUUAGAGUUUUCUCUAUUUUUCUGGUGGAUUCCAGAGUUUUCGGUGGAUUCCGAAUGUUAUUUUGUUCUAUAGGAUUAAUUCGUAGAAAUUAAUUCUUUACCGUGUUUCCGUCCUGCGUCAGUUGGCAUCAGUAGCGAGGUUUUUACUGGUUAGAUGGCGAAAGGUGCGAGAUAUGGAGACAACAACUACGUUGGCGAUGACCGCGGGGUUGAGAAACUGCAAAAUCUGCGGUUGGUGCGCGAGGGAUUUGCCCUUGACAACAACAACAGAAGGACUGAAUCUAACACGAUGAUUGCCGACGGUGUAGCCCGAGGUGCAUAUGUUAGACAGAAUUAUCAUGGACCUGUUCAACUUCAAUCAAGGUAUGAUGACUACUCAAAGGUGAGCCGCAACUCUUAUUUUGAAGAAAAUCCGCCUAUAAAGAGGCAAAAGGAUCGUGAUAAAUAUCGGGUAAGAGCUGAAAUUCCUUCUUUUAGUGGAAAUUUUCUUGAAGUUGAGGAUUUUAUCGAUUGGGUGUCAGAAGUCGAAAAUUAUUUUGAAUUGAUGGAUAUUUUGCCGAAUAAGAUGGUAAAAUUAGUUAGGUGUGAGUUAAAGGGUUGUGCAGCCGCAUGGUGGGAUGAAAUACAGAGGAAGAGAGCUAGACAGGAAAAGUUUCCAAUCCAAUCAUGGAGGAGGAUGAGGAGAAUGUUGAUGGAUCGUUUUUUACCCCUAGGUUAUGAACAACGUGUAUUUCAACUAUAUCGUAAUUGUUCGCAAGGGAGUAGAUCUGUUAACAAGUAUACUGCUGAGUUUAUGAGACUAGCAAACUUAAAUAACCUGCAAGAAUCCGAAAGUAUGGAAAUUUCAAGGUACUUGCAAGGAUUGAAUAUUUCAAUCCGUCUUAGGAUGGGGUGGCGCGCAUUCGACUCCCUUGAAGAGGCCCAAGAGUUAGCAUGUGAGGAGGAAUAUUAUCAGAAGCAAAAUAGAUACUCUAGAAAAACCGAAGAUGUUCCACCCGUUGUCAAAGUUAAGGAAGCACAAGGUACUUCGUUUGUUAUUCAACCUCCAAAUUUGGUGGAGGGUCACGACGUAGGUGUUGACGAAUUUGAAGAGGAAAUUGUCACAAAAGUUAAAAUUAGCGUAGCUAUGAUUAACGAUGACAUUAACGAAAUCAAGGUGAAAGUCGAUGAAGUUGAAGGAAGAGUCAAGGAGGUUGAAGAGAGCAUCAACAUAGUCGAAGAGAGCGUCAACGAGGUAGAAGAGAACGUUAGCAAGGUUGAAGAGAGAGAGUCGAUGAGUUUCAAGAGAGUGUUAAAAACAAAUUUGAGGAAGAAUUUGAAGUUGUAAAAUUUGUUCAAGAAGAGGAAGGUGCACGUGAAGAGAAGGAACAAGUGGAUUGCGUCGAGGUAUGUGAUCUAAUUGUAGAUAGUGUUUGCUGUGAAGUUCCUGUAAUGGAGAAAUUGGUGGAGCCAUUGAGAUUUUCGAUUAAGAAGCCAAUUUUUCCAACGCCUCGUUGGGAUGAAGAUUUUGUAAGCGAGAUUUUUGUCCCGGGAAUAUUGGUGGAGCACUUGAAGUUGUUUGCAAAGAAAUAUGCAUCGCUAUAUUUUGAUCAUAGCUCGAGGUCGAGCUCUUUUGAAGAAGAGGAGAUUGAUAAGGAACGCAAAAUUGGAUUCGAAUUGGAAAAUAACUAUUUAAUUCGUAGAAGAGUUAUUUAUGGGCAUCGGUGGAGAUACCGAAAGAAAUUACGGAAAAAUAAGGGUUUUCAACGAACUCAAAUUGUAUUUGAGUACGAAACGAACUCUAUCUCAAGUAAAACGGCGUAAUGAACAAAACUCAUGAGCAUAGCUCAUGAAUCACGUCAAAUUUCAGCAAUCCAAGGUCGUUUGGACUCCUAAAAGUUCGUUUUUGCUAUUUUAGGUAAGUUUUAGAAAAUUAAUAUCAAAUCAUAGAAAAAUCGUAUUAGGAUUCCGUAAAUUGGGUUGUUCCCAAAAUUACGAGAUCUACUAGAAUUAGGAUUUAACUCGUUUUUGCCUUUUUUUGGUAAUUUUUAGUAUUUUCUUAGUUUAAUUAGGGUUUUCAGUUUUUUAGUAUAAAUAGCUGCCUUAGGACUUUAUUUUAAGAAGAAUUUCGAAUUUUAAUAAAAUCUUUAGAGUUUUCUCUAUUUUUCUGGUGGAUUCCGAAUGUUAUUUUGUUCUAUAGGAUUAAUUCGUAGAAAUUAAUUCUUUACCGUGUUUCCGUCCUGCGUCACAACCAUUCUCGAUAUCGUCUGAAAUAUUUUCAAGAGACCUUUGGCGCUUGAAUUCUUCAAACUGUAACUCCAGUCUUCGGAUAGAUGCUUGAGUGGAUUUCAUAAAUUCUUCAAGGACGGAGUUCAAAUAACACUCCUGAACAGUGGGUUCUCGUGGCGUGUUGGUGUAUGUGUUCCAAUAACCGCCGUUGGUGUUAUCUAUGAAAUUAUUCGCUUUCGGUGCAUACCAACAUUGGUUAGUGUAAUGAUCUCCACCACAUAUUGAACAAAGUGACGACAUAUCAUAGGUAUUUUGGAGGUAUUCGCCAGACGGAAGCCAUUCAUAUCCCGUUUGAGGUGCGCGAAAAUUGAAACCUGACAUGUAACCAAAGAAAAAAAAAUAUAUUAAAAAAAAUUAAUUUGGGUGAAUCGUGAAAAUUGUUCAAAUUUAGAGCUAGAAUAAAAUAAAUAAUUAAAAUAUUUCCCGGUAACGGCGCCAAAAACUUGUUGGCCGAAAACCUACACGCAAGUGCACGUAUCGUACAAGUAAUAUAGUGGACAAUUAAGUCCGGAUAUCGAACCCACAGGGAAUAUUUAAUUACUCAAUCCUAGACGCUAAAUCCUAGCAAUUAUUAUCAAGCCCACCCUACACAGUCGAAUUUAGAGAGCAUUAACUAAAUUAAACUAAAUUAAAAAGCAAGCAAAAACAAGAAAGCAGUUUAAAACAAAGAUUUAAUCAGAGAAAACGAGCCUAGGAUUUUAUUCUUCCCCCUAUGUGAUUAUUAUUCCCCCAAUUCCUCCAAUUAUGCAAGCAAUUAACCCGGAUUAUUAACCUGAGAUGCUAAAAUAAUCAUAACCCGCUUCCGCGUGUAUUACGAUUCUAAUACUCUAGAUUCAAUUACUAUAUUCCUAUGCAAUUAAUUCUAGAACACAACAUUAAGCACAAAUCUCAAUAAUGGCUACCUAAGAGAUUAACUAUAUUCCUAUGUUAAUACCACAAAGGCUCUUCUACCAUAGUUCUAAUUAUUAACCCGAUCUUCCGAUUCAUGCGAUUAACAAUAACAUAAAAGCACAUAAGGUGAUCAAGUUCAUGCACUUAAUAAAACAAGUAGAAGAAAUAAUCCGGAAUUAAAACUUGCAUAAAAUCAUAGAAAAGGGUUCAUAAAUCCCACAUAGGGUUCCAAAUAAAAUCCUAGAAAUAAGUAGUUUAGCUACUCAUGAUUAAAGGAAAAACGCAAUUAAAAUAAAUCAUAGACGAUAAAUCUAUGCUUGGAGUCUUCGAAUUCUUCGUCUUCGUUAUUGCUUUGUUGCUCUCCAAAUUGCGUCCAAAGAUGGCCCCCUAAUUGUGUGCUUGACUUGGUCUUAUAUAGGUUGGAAAACAUGGGGAAGAAUGUAGUUUCCUUGUGCAAUUAGGAUUCCUUUACUGCGUUUUUUCGUCAUCUCGGACGGCCGUCCCGAAUUUUGUACUAAAACUCGGACGGCCGUCAAACAACCAGAGACUGCUUCUUGUUCUCAGACGGGGGUCCCGGAAUUUGAACUAAAACUCGGACGGGGGUCCGAGCUUUAAAUCUUCAGAAUUUUGAUUUUUUCACUUUUGGCCCAUAUUUUCUGCAAAAUUACAGUUUUGACCCCAUACUUUUCCAAUUCUUCAAUUUGUACCUAAAAUACAAUAAAUCAACUUUUUAUGCACCAAUUAUCGUUAAAAUACACCAAAAGCUCAAAUAAAAAGGUACGAUAAAGUGUAAAAAUAUACACUUAACAAUAGCCAUUUACGAGACUAGUUAGUUAAUGCUUUACUCAUAAUUUGUUUGUAUAGACAUAUAGUGAACCGUUUAUGAAUAAUAGAAUCAUAAUACACGCGACAGCGGGUUAUGAGUAAAUUAGUGUCUCGGGUUAAUAAUCAUGAAUCAUAUAUUUCAUAAUUGAGGGGUUUUGGGUGAGCAAUUCUUGCGUAGGGGGAAGAUAAAAUCCUAGGUCCGUUUUUAUUGAUAUUUUCUCGUGUUAAUUUGCUUUAAUAAUUAGUUUAAUUAUUUGGUUGAUUACAUUUGACAAUUUUACGGUGGCGGGAUAAAAAUCAUACAUGUUAGAAUUUGGUACUUAGGAUUAGAUAAUUUGAGUAUUCCCUGUGGGAUCGACAUCCGACUCUCACGAGUCCACUUUUACUACUUGUUUGCGAUACGUGCACUUGCGUGUUAGGUAUUUAGCACCCAACAAGUUUUUGUCGCCGUUGCCGGGGAAUACGGCUAAAUUAUCUAUUUAUUCUAAUAUCAAAUUUGAGCAAUUUUUUUUACUUCAGCCAUUUAAUUUUAAUUUUUUAUUUUUAUUUUUAAUUUUUAUUUUUUUGUUUUUGUUACAUGUCUGGUUACAAUCUUCGGGCACCUCAAACGGGAUAUGAAUGGCUUCUAAGUGACGAAUACCUCCAAAACACCUGUGAUAUGCCUCCGUUUUGUUCAGCAUGUGGUGGAAAUCAUUAUUCCGAUCAAUGUUGGGGAUCACCAAAAGUGACAAAUUUCGUCGAAAUUACCAACGGAGGUUAUUGGAACACUUACACCAACACAUACGAGCAAAGCUUUCAAGACAAAGAUUUGAACAAGUUUCAACAUAGAGAGCCACAAUUUUAUGAUUUUCAAAAUUAUUAUCCCUCGCAGCAACAAACCACUAAUGAACCACUUGAUUUGGUAUCCCUCGUUGCCGAAUUCAUGAAGUCCACUCAAGCAUCAUUUCGAAACAUGGAGAUACAACUGGAAGAGAUGACGCUCAAAUUAAAAUCUGAGUCUCUUGAAAAUAUUCCAGACGAAAUUGGCAAUGGUUAUAUCAAAGAAAAUUCGGGUGAAGCCUGCGGUGAGAAAAAUCUUCCAUGUCCAGGAAAUAGUGUCGAUAUGAGAGAAAUAGAAAUUACGAAGACACUUGAGGAUGAUGAAUCUGAGAAUGCAAUCGAGCUAAACUCCAAAGAUGUCUCGGAACAAGAGAAGAAGGAGAUGGAUGUGGUUAGUGCAAAUAUUCAAAUUGAGGAUCUUAUUGUUGUUCAUGAUGUGGCUUUGAAGGCAUUAAUAGAGGUUGACAAGAAGCGAAUGUGUUUGAAGUGGAGGUUAUACACAGACUUGAGGUUUUUGUGUACCGAUUUGAGGGAGCGGGUGAUGAAGAUGCCAUCUUGGCUUCGUACCGAUUUAUUACAACAAAAAAAGACUACAAGUUAAGGUGGACCGUGACAUAUUGCAGUGCAAUCCAUGCCUUGGUUGCAAUUGAAGUGAUAAUGAUCAUGGAUGGAUUCGCAAUCUACAAGGCUUUGGAUUGGAUAACGAUUUCAAGAAGCAAAGUCCGGCUGAAGAAUUAGAAUUUAGCGCUUCUCGAGAGGCAACCCGAGCGUUUAUUGUUUUCUUUUUUUUCUCAUAUUUUUCGUAUUUUUAGUUGUUUUUGAUUUUCUUAGAAUAUUUAUAAGCGGGCAAUCUAAUAAUUUAAUCAUGUUUGAAUUUUUAGGUCGAAAAACGGACACAAAGAGUCCAGACGGCCGUCCGAAAAUCAAGCCAAAACCCCAGACGGCCGUCCGGAGAAGUUACGACGAAUUGUGAACCUACUGUUUGUGGGACGGCCGUCCCAAAAACAGUGCAAAACGUGGGACGGCCGUCCGGAACACCCCUGAAAAAAAAAGGUGUUUGCUUGAAAGAAGAAGAGAUGGAGGGGUGCAACACGUGGAGGACGUUUCAACUAAUCAAGGUGUAUUCUAUCCUUAAAUUUCGUUUUAAUUACAUUGAGAACAAUGUAAUUUUUAAGUUUGGGGGUGGAAAAACAGUUUUUAUGUGCUUUAUAGCUUUUAGAUUGCAUGCUUUAGGAUUUUAUUUCUUUAUAGUCGUUUUCGUUUAUUUAUUAUUUUCUUUAAAAAAAAAUUGCUUGAGUCGAACGCAUCGAUGAGUUAUGAUGAUGAGAGAUGAUCAAUGUGUGAUGAUGAAAUUGCUUGUUUUGUUGUGAUAAGGAUUAGAUGUUUGUUUAGCUUUCGAUUCAACGGAACAAAGAAACGAAUUAUUGCUAGGAAUCACACUUUGUGCAUUGCUUUAGUUGAAUAUUUUGUAUUUUAAAUUUGGAGUUAAUUUGUGUUAGAUCAUGCUAUGUUCGGUGUUAGACCUCACCUUAGGAAAUUUAUGAUACGAAGUAUUGAGUAGUGAGUGAUUUGGGAUAUGAUUUGGGACUUCUUUGAUCCGUUUGAGCCUUUCAAGCCGACGUUUUUAUCGAAAUUUUCCUUAGAACCUUGAUUUGAGCCUCUGAGAAAAGGUGUUCUUUCUCUUAGCCAAUGUGUAUAAGGUAGAAUAGAUGGAGAUUCUUGAAAAAUUACCCCUUGGAGUUCGGUUGAAAUUAUUUAUAAGCUCUCUCUUCUUCAUAAAAAAAAAGAAAAAAAAAGAAAAAAAAAGACGAAGAAGUAUAUAGGCUUCUAUAUAUAUAUUUAUAAAAGAAAAAAAAAAAAAAAAAAAAAGAGAGAGAGAGAAGAAGAAGAAGAGCUAGAAGUGAGAAGAAAGGACUAGUUAUUGAAAUUAUUUUUGAAAGCUCGAUCUAUUGCCUCAAAAGCAAAAGUGGAGACUUUUGAACUUUUGAGAAACGAGUUAAUUAAAGUCCUUAGAGGUGAAUUCAUUGUUUCAAACGCCUAUCUUUCAAAUUUUGGCGUAAUCACCUCAAUUGAUGAAUAAUAGCCACAUAUACCCAUAUUUCCUACCUCGAACCAAAGAGCCUAACAAUUGAAAGCCAAAAAGCCCCAAUGAUCCCAAUAGCUUAAUGUUCGAUAUGAGUAGAGUAGAAUAAUUUGGUGAGUAUUUGGAGUCAAACAUACGCAUGUAAGUAUAAAUUUUUUCUAUCUUUAAUUUACAAAUAUUGGAUGCUUGAAGCAAUUGCAUGAUUUGUGUUUUUUGGCUAUGGUAGGUGACUAAUUGCUUUUGAAUUUUGAGCUUCCGAAUGCCUAAGAAUUUUCAUUAUAAUUACAAGUUCUGAAAACGUGGAUUUGGUCAUUAAUCUAUGUGAUGAGAUGCGGUAGUUGAGUUUUUUGCUUACGAUUAGAUUUUGCUUGAGGACAAGCAAAAGUUCAAGUUUGGGGGUGUGUUGAGUGUAGAUAUUACACUCAAUAUGUUUACUUUACGUGGAUCUUUUGUUUAGAUUUAAUUAUAUUUGUGCUUUAAUUGAUUGAUUUUGUGUUUUAUAGGUGAAAAACGAGAAUUAAGUGUCCAUGAAGGAAAAAAAUAUCAAAAAGAAAGGAAAAAGUUGCAAAUAAGGAAACAAAUCAAAUUGGAAGGAAUCUCGCCACAACUUUGACAGUGUCCACCAUUUCGAACUCCGAUUUAGGUGAUUUUGACGGCAAUAGAAAGCUAAUUUCAAGGGAUACAAUUCUUAUUUACACAACAUUCCAAAAUUCGGACUCCAACAUGGCACAAAUUGACGAACAAAUCCUGAUGGGGGAAAGUGGCGGAAAUCGAUUCCUAUUAGGUUUUUACUACUUCCUUAUCAAGAAAAGCCAAUAAAAGCAACAAGUCUCAACACCAUAAGUACGAAAUUUUAAAACACAAAACGCGAAGAACGAAGAUCAACGAAGACUCAAGCAUAGUUUUUCUUAUUUAUUUUAUUUAUUCUAUUUGUUUAUCAUAAGAAUUACACGUAGCUAAGUUUUUAAUCUAGGAUUUUGUCGGAACCCUAUGUGGGGAUGGUGAACCCGUUUUCUUGAGAUUAUGCAAUUAUGAUUUUAUGAUUAUUUCUUCUACUUGUUAUGAGUGUUAUUGCAUGAACUUGAUCAAUUUAUGUGCUUUAUCUGUGAUUAUUGGGAUUGACUCGAUAGAGCUAUUUUGAUAAUUAGACGGUAAGUAUAAGACCCUUCGAGUAGUUUUCACCGGAUGAGUGUGUCAAUUGCAUUUGGUGUCGUAGACAUACAUAUAUCACCUUAGGUAGCCAUUUACGAGACUUGUUAGUUAAUGGUUUACUCAUAAUUUGUUUGCAUAGACAUAUAGUGAACCGUUUAUGAAUAAUAGACUCAUAAUACACGCGACAGCGGGUUAUGAGUAAAUUAGUGUCUCGGGUUAAUAAUCAUGAAUCAUAUAUUUCAUAAUUGAGGGGUUUUGGGUGAGCAAUUCUUGCAUAGGGGGAAGAUAAAAUCCUAAGUCCGUUUUUAUUGAUAUUUUCUCGUGUUAAUUUGCUUUCAUAAUUAGUUUAAUUAUUUAGUUGAUUAAAUUUGACAAUUUUGCGUAGGUUGGAUAAAAAUCAUAAUUGUUAGAAUUUGGUACUUAGGAUUAGAUAAUUUGAGUAUUCCCUGUGGGAUCGACAUCCGACUCUCACGAGUCCAUUUUUACUACUUGUUUGUGCUACGUGCACUUGCGUGUUAGGUAUUUCGCACCCAACAAGUUUUUGGCGCCGUUGCCGGGGAAUACGGCUAAAUCAUCUAUUUAUUCUAAUAUCAAAUUUGAGUAAUUUUUUUUACUUCAGCCAUUUAAUUUUAAUUUUUUAUUUUUAUUUUUAAUUUUUAUUUUUUUGUUUUUGUUACAUGUCUGGUUACAAUCUUCGGGCACCUCAAACGGGAUAUGAAUGGCUUCCAAGUGACGAAUACCUCCAAAACACCUGUGAUAUGCCUCCGUUUUGUUCAGCAUGUGGUGGAAAUCAUUAUUCCGAUCAAUGUUGGGGAUCACCAAAAGCGACAAAUUUCGUCGAAAUUACCAACGGAGGUUAUUGGAACACUUACACCAACACAUACGAGCAAAGCUUUCAAGACCAAGAUUUGAACGAGUUUCAACAUAGAGAGCCACAAUUUUCUGAUUUUCAAAAUUAUUAUCCCUCGCAGCAACAAACCACUGAUGAACAACUUGAUUUGGUAUCCCUCAUUGCCGAAUUCAUGAAGUCCACUCAAGCAUCAUUUCGAAACAUGGAGAUACAACUGGAAGAGAUGACGCUCAAAUUAAAAUCUGAGUCUCUUGAAAAUAUUCCAGACGAAAUCGGCAAUGGUUAUAUCAAAGAAAAUUCGGGUGAAGCCUGCGGUGAGAAAAAUCUUCCAUGUCUAGGAAAUAGUGUCGAUGUGAGAGAAAUAGAAAUUACGAAGACACUUGAGGAUGAUGAAUCUGAGAAUGCAAUCGAGCUAAACUCCAAAGAUGUCUCGGAACAAGAGAAGAAGGAGAUGGAUGUGGUUAGUGCAAAUAUUCAAAUUGAGGAUCUUAUUGUUGUUCAUGACGUGGCUUUGAAGGCAUUAAUAGAGGUUGACAAGAAGGCGGAUGUGUUUGAAGUGGAGGUUAUACACAGACUUGAGGUUUUUGUGUACCGAUUUGAGGGAGCGGGUGAUGAACAUUCCAUCUUGGCUUCGUACCGAUUGAUUACAACAAAAAAAAGACUACAAGUUAAGGUGGACCGUGACAUAUUGCAGUGCUACCCAUGCCUUGGUUGCAAUUGAAGUGAUAAUGAUCAUUGAUAGAUGCGCAAUCUACAAGGCUUUGGAUUGGACAUAACGAUUUCAAGAAGCAAAGUUCGGCUGAAGACUUAAAAUUUAGCGCUUCUCGGGACGCAACCCGAGCAUUUAUCGUUUUUUUUUUUUCUCAUAUUUUUCGUAUUUUUAGUUGUUUUUGAUUUUCUUAGAAUAUAUAUAAGCGUGCAAUCUAAUAAUUUAAUCAUGUUUGAAUUUUUAGGUCGAAAAACGGACACAAAGAGUCCAGACGGCCGUCCGAAAAUCAAGCCAAAACCCCAGACGGCCGUCCGGAGAAGUUACGACGAAUUGUGAACCUACUGUUUGUGGGACGGCCGUCCCAAAAACAGUGCAAAACGUGGGACGGCCGUCCGGAACACCCCUGAAAAAAAAAGGUGUUUGCUUGAAAGAAGAAGAGAUGGAGGGGUGCAACACGUGGAGGACGUUUCAACUAAUCAAGGUGUAUUCUAUCCUUAAAUUUCGUUUUAAUUACAUUGAGAACAAUGUAAUUUUUAAGUUUGGGGGUGGAAAAACAGUUUUUAUGUGCUUUAUAGCUUUUAGAUUGCAUGCUUUAGGAUUUUAUUUCUUUAUAGUCGUUUUCGUUUAUUUAUUAUUUUCUUUAAAAAAAAAUUGCUUGAGUCGAACGCAUCGAUGAGUUAUGAUGAUGAGAGAUGAUCAAUGUGUGAUGAUGAAAUUGCUUGUUUUGUUGUGAUAAGGAUUAGAUGUUUGUUUAGCUUUCGAUUCAACGGAACAAAGAAACGAAUUAUUGCUAGGAAUCACACUUUGUGCAUUGCUUUAGUUGAAUAUUUUGUAUUUUAAAUUUGGAGUUAAUUUGUGUUAGAUCAUGCUAUGUUCGGUGUUAGACCUCACCUUAGGAAAUUUAUGAUACGAAGUAUUGAGUAGUGAGUGAUUUGGGAUAUGAUUUGGGACUUCUUUGAUCCGUUUGAGCCUUUCAAGCCGACGUUUUUAUCGAAAUUUUCCUUAGAACCUUGAUUUGAGCCUCUGAGAAAAGGUGUUCUUUCUCUUAGCCAAUGUGUAUAAGGUAGAAUAGAUGGAGAUUCUUGAAAAAUUACCCCUUGGAGUUCGGUUGAAAUUAUUUAUAAGCUCUCUCUUCUUCAUAAAAAAAAAGAAAAAAAAAGAAAAAAAAAAGACGAAGAAGUAUAUAGGCUUCUAUAUAUAUAUUUAUAAAAGAAAAAAAAAAAAAAAAAAGAGAGAGAGAGAAGAAGAAGAAGAGCUAGAAGUGAGAAGAAAGGACUAGUUAUUGAAAUUAUUUUUGAAAGCUCGAUCUAUUGCCUCAAAAGCAAAAGUGGAGACUUUUGAACUUUUGAGAAACGAGUUAAUUAAAGUCCUUAGAGGUGAAUUCAUUGUUUCAAACGCCUAUAUUUCAGAUUUUGGCGUAAUCACCUCAAUUCAAGAAUAAUAGCCACAUAUACCCAUAUUUCCUACCUCGAACCAAAGAGCCUAACAAUUGAAAACCAAAUAGCCCAAAUGAUCCCAAUAGCUUAAUGUUCGAUAUUAGUAGAGUAGAAUAAUUUUGUGAGUAUUUGGAGUCAAACAUAUGCAUGUGAGCAUACAUUUUUUCUAUCUUUAAUUUACAAAUAUUGGAUGCUUGAAGCAAUUGCAUGAGUUGUGGUUUUUGCCUAUGGUAAGUGAUUAAGUGCUUUUGAAUUUUGAGCUUCCGAAUGCCUAAGAAUUUUCAUUAUAAUUACAAGUUCUGAAAACGUGGAUUUGGUCAUUAAUCUAUGUGAUGAGAUGCGGUAGUUGACUUUUUUUUCUUACGAUUAGAUUUUGCUUGAGGACAAGCAAAAGUUCAAGUUUGGGGGUGUGUUGAGUGUAGAUAUUACACUCAAUAUGUUUACUUUACGUGGAUCUUUUGUUUAGAUUUAAUUAUAUUUGUGCUUUAAUUGAUUGAUUUUGUGUUUUAUAGGUGAAAAACGAGAAUUAAGUGUCGAUGAAGGAAAAAAGAUCAAAAAGAAAGGAAAAAGUUGCAAAUAAGGAAACAAAUCAAAUUGGAAGAAGGAAUCUCGCCACAGCUUUGACAGUGUCCACCAUUUCGAGCAUAUCUCUCUCAUGCGAACUCCGAAUUAGGUGAUUUUGACUGCAUUAGAAAGCUAAUUUCAAGGGAUACAAUUCUUAUUUACAUAACAUUCCAAAAUUCGGACUCCAACAUGACACAAAUUGACGAACAAAUCCUGAUGGGGGAAAAGUGGCGGAAAUUGAUUCCUAUUAGGUUUCUACUACUUCCUUAUCAAGAUAAGCCUAUAAAAGCAACAAGUCUCAACAUCAUAAGUACGACAUUUUACACCACAAAACGCGAAGAACGAAGAUCAAUGAAGACUCAAGCAUUGUUUUUCUUAUUUAUUUUAUUUAUUCUAUUUUGUUUAUCAUAAUAAUUACGCGUAGCUAAGUUUUUAAUCUAGGAUUUUGUUGGAACUCUAUGUGGGGAUGGUGAACCCGUUUUCUUGAGAUUAUUCAAUUAUGAUUUUAUGAUUAUUUCUUAUACUUGUUAUGAUUGUUAGUGCAUGAACUUGAUCAAUUUAUGUGCUUUAUCUGUGAUUAUUGGGAUUGACUCGACAGAGCUAUUUUGAUAAUUAGACGGUAAGUAUAAGAACCUUCGAGUAGUUUUCAUCGGAUGAGUGUGUCAAUUGUAUGUGGUGUCGUAGACAUACAGAUAUCACCUUAGGUAGCCAUUUAUGUGACUUGUUAGUUAAUGCUUUAUUCAUUGGUUUGCAUAGACAUAUCGUGAAUCGUUUAUGAAUAAUAAACUCAUAAUACACGCGACAACGGGUUAUGAGUAAAUUAGUGUCUCGGGUUAAUAAUCAUGAAUCAUAUAUUUCAUAAUUGAGGGGUUUUGGGUGAGCAAUUCUUGCAUAGGGGGAAGAUGAAAUCCUAGAUCCGUUUUAUAUUGAUAUUUUCUCGUGAUUAUUUUCUUUCUUAAUUAGCUUAAUUGUUUAAUUGAUUUAAUUUGACAACUUUGCGUAGGUUGGAUAAAAAUCAUAAUUGUUAGAAUUUGGUACUUAGGAUUAGAUAAUUUGAGUAUUCCCUGUGGGAUCGACAUCCGACUCUUACGAGUCCACUUUUACUACUUGUUUGCGAUACGUGCACUUGCUUGUUAGGUAUUUAGCACCCAACAAGUUUUUGUCGUCGUUGCCGGGGAAUACGGCUAAAUUAUCUAUUUAUCCUAAUAUUAAAUUUGAGCAAUUUUUCUUACUUCAGCCAUUUUAUUUAUUUUGUUUAAUUAUUUUAUUUUUUUUAGGUACUUUUUAUGCGACAAGGGAAGAAGAGAAUAAUCAUAGGGGAGAUGACCAAGAGCAACUUCAACUAAUUAGUCCACCACCUCGUCAACGAGCAUUGCAUGAGUACACCGUUCCAACACUCAAUGGGUUUCAAUCAAGCAUCCAGCAACCCCCCAUUGAAGCCAACAAUUUCGAAAUUAGAGCGGGACUCCUUACAAUGCUCCAAAAUAAUGGGUUGUUCAGCGGAUUAGCUCAUGAAGAUCCACAUCUCCACUUGGUCACUUUCUCGAAACGUGUGAUUCGCACAGUACCACCCGAAGCACUGCAACUCCGCAUAUUCAAGCACUCUUUACAAGGAGCAGCCCGAGAAUGGUUACAAACUCGUGUGCCGCACUCCAUCUCGUCUUGGUCCCAGCUAGCACAACUCUUCAUGAACACAUAUAACUCCCCAACAAAAACUGAAAGAAUCCGGAGAGAAAUACAGAAUUUCAUACAAGAAGCCGGUGAAGCGCUAUUCGAGACAUGGGAGCGGUUCAAACAAUUAAUUCGGAGAUGCCCGAAUCACGGACUUCAAGAGUGGCGCCAACUGCAAAUAUUUUACGAUGGAUUGCAAGACAACUCGAAGACCUUGCUAGACUCUGCAGCUGGAGGAAUGUUCAUGAGUUUGACCUACGACGAAGCAUACGAACUUUUGGAGAGAAUCGCUAGAAAUAAAUACAUGCGGGGAUCGGAUCGGUCAAAUAGACGAGAUGUCAAGACGGGAGGAAUUUUGGAGUUAGACGGGGUCACUGCAAUCACGGCACAAUUAGAGAAGCUAUCAAAGCAAGUUGAAGCUUUGCAGACUCAGCAAGUCUAUGCAAUCCAAGGUCCCGACCGGUGCUUAGAAUAAACGGAUUCUCUAAACUACGUGAAUGACACCAACCGACAACAGAGGAACCUGCACUCCAACAUUUAUAAUCCGGGAUGGAGAGACCACCCAAACUUUGGACGGGGAGGAAAUCAGCAAAGUCAAGGCCAAGCACCGCCACAAGGUCAACCUCAACCAAGACCUCAGCCAGCUCCCGGAUUCCAAAAUUCACCUCAAGCUCCGGCCCAAAAAGGAGAUCUCGCGAACAUCUUAGCUCAAUUCAUGACAUCAACUCAAGCUUCCAUUCGAAAUUUGAAAACACAGAUGGGUCAGCUUGCAACCCAGGUAAACGCGAGGCCAUCGGGAGCACUGCCGUCGAAUACGGAAGAUCCUCGGAAGAACAACAUAGAGCAGUGCAAUGCAGUAAGUUUGCGAAAUGGGAGGCAAUUAGAGAAAGGUCCUAAAGAGUACGUUGCACCACCGCCUAUUGAAGAGGAGCCCAAGAAAAAAACUGAGGUCGGGCCAAGCAACACAAAGAUCACAGUAAGUGAACCUACUCCCAAUGUACCCUUCCCUCAACGUUUUCAAAAUUCUAAGCUUGAUAUGCAAUUUUAGUUGUUUUUGGAUUAUCUUAAAAAGUUGCAUGUUAAUAUUCUUUUUAUUGAAGCACUUAAGCAUAUGCCGAAUUGGGUUAAGUUUAUAAAGGAACUUGUAUAGAAGAAGAUGAGGCUUCCGGAGUGUGCAACAAUAAUAGACUUAAAUGAGCAAAGUAGUGCUAUCCUUGCAAAUAAAAUUCCACCGAAGCUUAAAGAUCCGGGGAGUUGUACAAUUCUAUGCACAAUAGGUACUAGGUAUUUUGGGCGGGCGUUGUGUGAUCAAGGGGUGAGCGUAAAUUUAAUGCCUUUAUCAAUUUAUGAGAAAUUGAAUUUAGGAGAAAUUAAGCCCACUUCCGUGACCUUGCAGCUAGACGAUAGAUCUUUUACUCACCCUUUAGGUAUAGUGGAGGAUGUAUUGGUCAAGGUAGAUAAGUUUAUACUCCCGGCCGAUUUUCUAGUACUAGACAUAGAGGAAGAUGAAAAUAUUCCCCUUAUCUUAGGACGCCCCUUCUUAGCAACUAGUAGGUCAAUUAUUUAUGUAGGAAAGAGAGAGCUAACAAUGAGUGUGGGGGAAGAAACAAUGGUCUUCAAGGUGUACCGGGUGGAUGAAAAGCCUAUUAUGGCUAAUGGAUGUUAUCUUCUUGAUGAGGUAAGUGAUUCUCAACUUUUUCCUGUUAAAUUACAUGAUUUAAAAAAUUUUGUGGAUACUAAUGUGCAUGUAGGAGAACAAAAGAAAAAGGUUGAGUUGGUUACAACACCUACUCAAAACACCGUGAUAAAAGACGAUGUUGGCACGCCUCAUGACAUCAAGAAGAAUAAAUUCAAGGGCAUUCCUAAGCGAACCAGUAGAAAGAAGAAUCGGAUCAACCCAUUUAUUCAAGACUUUCUCCAAAAGGAAGUAAGGACAUGGGUUCAAAAGCUAAGGAAUUGAAGAGCAUGAACAAAGUCUGGCUGAAGACUGUAAACUUAGCGCUUCUCGGGAGGCAACCCGAGAUUUUCGUUUUUUUUUUUAUUUCUUUUUCUUGUUUUAUUUUAUUUAUUUAUUUUAUAAGCAUGCAAACUAAAAAUUUAAACAUGUUUUAAUUUUUAGGACAAAAAAUUGCAGCUCGGGAGCUCAUACGGCCGUCCCAAAACAAGGCAAAAGAUCACACGGCCGUGCGAGAAACAAACAGCUACUGCCCAAUUUUGGCAAUUCGCACGGCCGUGCGGAAAAUAGUUCAAAAUCUCAUACGGCCGUGCGAAGCUCAACAGAAGCAUAAUAAGAGCGAGGGUGGAGAGCAAACCGGAGAUGGCCACGACAACUUAUUCAGGUGUACUCUAUCCUUAAACUUCGUGCUAAUUACAUUAAGGGCAAUGUAAAUUUUAAGUUUGGGGGUGGAAAUUUACUUGUUUUAUGUGCUUUAAUUUUUAGUUUGCAUGCCUUAGGAUUUUUGUUUAUUUUACUUAUUUUAGUUUAUUUAUUACUUUCGGAAAAAACAAAAAAAUUGUGAUAAAUGCAUCGAUGAAUCAUGAUGAUGAAAGAUGGUUGAUGUUUAAUGAUAAAAUUGCUUGCUUUAUUUUGAUAGUGAUUGAACUUUGGUGAGCUUUUGAUUCAAAGUGUCGUAGGAAGGAGUCAUUGUUAGGAAUCUCGAAUUAUGCCUUGCUUUGGUUGAAACUUUUGUGUUUUAAAACGAGGAAUUAAUUUAUGUUAUAUCAUACGCUAUUCGGUUUUAGAACUUACAUUAGGAAUUUAUAAAGUGAAAUAUUAAAAUUUUGAGCAAUUUGGGAAGUGAUUUGGGCCAUCUUUGAACCGUUUGAGCCUUUCAAGCCUACCUUUAAAUUUUUAUCAUUCGAACCUUGAUUGAGCCUUGGAGAAACGGUGUUCUUUAUUUUAGCCAAUGUGUAUAAGGUAGAAUAAAUGGAGAUUCUUGAAAAAUUACCCUUUGGAGUUCGGUUGGAAAAUUUUAUAAGGUCCUUCUUCUUCCUCUAUAAAAUAAGAAAAAAAAACAAGGAAAAAAAAAAGAAAAAAAAAAGAAGAAAUAGAGAGAAGAAGAAGAGACUAGAAGGGAGAUGAAAGGACUAGUUGUUAAAUUUUUGUUUGAAAGCUCGAUCCAUUGUCUUAAGAGCAAGAGUGGAGACUUUGGAACUCUUAAAAAUCGAGUUUAUUAAAAGUCAUUAGAGGUGAAUUGAUUGUUUCAAACGCUUAUCUUUCAAAAUUUGGCGUAAUCACCUCAAUUCAAGAAACAUAGCCACAUAUACCCAUAUUUCCUACCUCGAACCAAAAAGCCCAACAUUUAUAAGCCAAAAAGUCGCAAUGAUCCCAAUAGCUCAAUUAUUUGAUACUAGCCGAGUAGAGAAAUUUGGUGAGUCUUUGGAGUUGAAUAUUAUUAUGUAAGUAUAAAUUUUCUCCAUUUUUAAUUUACAAAUAUGGGAUACUUGAAGCGAUAGCAUGGUUUGUGGUUGUUGGCAAGGGUGAGUGAAUACAUAUCUUUGAAUUACGAGCUUGUAAAUUUUUAAGAAUUGUCAUAAUAAUUGCAAGUUCUGAAAACUUGAAGUUGACCAUUAAUCUAUGUGAUGAGAGGCAUUUGUUGAAAGUGUUGCUUUGAUAGUUGCUAGUUUUUACUUGAGGACAAGCAAAAGUUCAAGUUUGGGGGUGUGUUGAGUGUGUAUUUUACACUCAAUGUAUACUUUCUUACGAGAAUUUUUGUAUACUUUUAUUGAUUUUAUAAUGCUUAAUGAGUGGUUUAUUGUAUUUUAGGUACAACUUGACGAUUUGGGAGUUCCGGGGGCAAAACGUGCCAAAAAAGGUCAAAAACGUUAAUACUAGUUUGAGGACAAGCAAAAGUUCAAGUUUGGCGUGUUGAGUGUGUAUUUUACACUCAAUGUAUACUUUCUUACGAGGAUUUUUGUAUACUUUUAUUGAUUUUAUAAUGCUUAAUGAGUGGUUUAUUGUAUUUUAGGUACAACUUGACGAUUUGGGAGUUCCAGGGGCAAAACGAGCCAAAAAAGGUCAAAAACGGAAGAAAACAAAAAAUGCUGAAAAUUGGCUGAAAAGUGCCCGCGCGGCCGUGCCAAAUUUAGCCUAUUUUUGGCACGGCCGUGCCAACUGCCGAAGAUGGGCAGAAGGUUUCGGCGAUUAUCGCGCGGCCGUGUGAGAUUUGCACUAAUUCUCGCGCAGCCGUGCCAACACACGCUGAGACAAUUUUGGAUUUUUAUUCACACAAGGAAACCUAAAAUCAUCUACCAAGUUGGGACAUCUAUUUAAGCCCAAACCAAGCACCAAUUAGAGGACUUUGGACACAUCCUUGGAGCGAGAGGAGCGAGAGAACGAAGAAUCGAAGACGGAGAAUUGACAAAUCUUCAUCACAAUUCUUCCUUUAUCUAUCUUUUCUUAAUGUAUGUCUUUUUAUAUUUUUAUUAUGUUUUUCGUAUAGAACAUGAGUAGCUAAGUUUUUAAUCUAGGAUUUUGGUGGAACCCUAUGUGGGGAUGGUGAACCCAUUUUCUUGAGAUUAUGCAAUUAUGAUUUUAUGAUUAUUUCUUAUACUUGUUAUGAUUGUUAGUGCAUGAACUUGAUCAAUUUAUGUGCUGUAUCUGUGAUUAUUGGGAUUGACUUGACAGAGCUAUUUUGAUAAUUAGACGGUAAGUCUAAGAACCUUCGAGUAGUUUUCACCGGAUGAGUGUGUCAAUUGCAUGUGGUGUCGUAGACAUACAUAUAUCACCUUAGGUAGCCAUUUACCAGACUUGUUAGUUAAUGCUCAAAUCAUAAUUGGUUUGCAUAGACAUAUCGUGAAUCGUUUAUGAAUAAUAGACUCAUAAUACACGCGACAACGGGUUAUGAGCAAAUUAGUGUCUCGGGUUAAUAAUCAUAAAUCCUAUAUUUCAUAAUUGAGGGGUUUUGGGUGAGCAAUUCUUGCAUACGGGGAAGUUGAAAUCCUAGAUCCGUUUUAUAUUGAUAUUUUCUCGUGAUUAUUUGCUUUCUUAAUUAGUUUAAUGGUUUAAUUGAUUUAAUUUGACAACUUUGCGUAGGUUGGAUAAAAAUCAUAAUUGUUAGAAUUUGGUACUUAGGAUUAGAUAAUUUGAGUAUUCCCUAUGGGAUCGACAUCCGACUCUCACGAGUCCACUUUUACAACUUGUUUGCGAUACGUGCACUUGCGUGUUAGGUAUUUAGCACCCAACAAGUUUUUGGCGCCGUUGCCGGGGAAUACGGCUAAAUUAUCUAUUUAUCCUAAUAUUAAAUUUGAGCAAUUUUUCUUACUUCAGCCGUUUUAUUUAUUUUAUUUUAUUAUUUUAUUUGUUUUAGGUACUUUUUAUGCGACAAUGGAAGAACAGAAUAAUCAUAGGGGAGAUGAACAAGAGCAACUUCAACUAAUUAAUCCACCACCUUCUCAACGAGCAUUGCAUGAGUACACCAUUCCAACACUCAAUGGGUUUCAAUCAAGCAUCCAGCAACCCCCCAUUGAAGCCAACAAUUUCGAAAUUAGAGCGGGACUCCUUACAAUGAUCCAAAAUAAUGGGUUGUUCAGCGGAUUAGCUCAUGAAGAUCCACAUCUCCACUUGGUCAACUUUCUCGAAACGUAUGAUUCGCAGAAGAUGAACGGAGUAUCACCCGAAGCACUGCAACUCCGCCUAUUCAAGCACUCUUUACAAGGAGCAGCCCAAGAAUGGUUACAAACUCGUGCGCCACACUCCAUCUCGUCUUGGUCCCACCUAGCACAACUCUUCAUGAACACAUAUAACUCCCCAACAAAAACUGAAAGAAUCCGGUGAGAAAUACAGAAUUUCAUACAAGAAGCUGGUGAAGCGCUAUUCGAGACAUGGGAGCGGUUCAAACAAUUAAUUCGGAGAUGCCUGAAUCACGGACUUCAAGAGUGGCGCCAACUACAAAUAUUUUACGAUGGAUUGCAAGACAACUCGAGGACCGUGCUAGGCUCUGCACCUAGAGGAAUGUUCAUGAGUUUGACCUACGACGAAGUAUACGGACUUUUGGAGAGAAUCGCUAGAAAUAAAUACAUGCGGGGAUCAGAUCGGUCAAAUAGACGAGCUGUCAAAACGGGAGGAAUUUUGGAGUUAGACGGGGUCACUGCAAUCACGGCACAAUUAGAGAAGCUAUCAAAACAAGUUGCAGCUUUGCAGACUCAGCAAGUCUAUGCGAUCCAAGGUCCCGACCGGUGCUUAGAAGAAACGGAGUCUCUAAACUACGUGAAUGACACCAUCCGACAAUAGAGGAAUCCGUACUCCAACAUUUAUAAUCCGGGUUGGAGAGACCACCCAAACUUUGGAUGGGGAGGAAAUCAGCAAAGUCAAGGCCAAGCACCGCCACAAGGUCAACCUUAACCAAGACCUCAGCCAGCUCCCGAAUUCCAAAAUUCACCUCAUGCUCCCGCCCAAGAAGGAGAUCUCGCGAACAUCUUAGCUCAAUUCAUGACAUCAACUCAAGCUUCCAUUCGAAAUUUGGAAACACAGAUGGGUCAGCUUGCAACCCAGCUUAACGCGAGGCCAUCGGGAGCAGUGCCGUCGAAUACAGAAGAUCCUCGGAAGAACAACAUAGAGCAGUGCAAUGCAGUAAGUUUGCGAAAUGGGAGGCAAUUAGAGCAAGGGCCUAAAAAGUCCGUUGCACCACCGCCUAUUGAAGAGGAGCCCAAGGAAAAAACUGAGGUCGGGCCAAGCAACACAAAGAUCACAGUAAGUGAACCUACUCCCAAGGUACCCUUCCCUCAACGUUUUCAAAAUUCUAAGCUUGAUACGCAAUUUCAGUUGUUUUUGGAUAAUCUUAAAAAGUUGCAUGUUAAUAUUCCUUUUGUUGAAGCACUUAAGAAUAUGCCGAAUUGGGUUAAGUUUAUAAAGGAACUUGUAUCGAAGAAGAUGAGGCUUCCUGAGUGUGCAGCAAUAGUAGACUUAAAUGAGCAAAGUAGUGCUAUCCUUGCAAAUAAAAUUCCACCGAAGCUUAGAGAUCCGGGGAGUUGUACCAUUCCAUGCACAAUAGGUAUAGGUAUUUUGGGCGGGCGUUGUGUGAUCAAGGGGCGAGCGUAAAUUUAAUGCCUUUAUCAAUUUAUGAGAAAUUAAGCCCACUUCCGUGACCUUGCAGCUAGCUGAUAGAUCUUUUACUCACCCUUUAGGUAUAGUGGAGGAUGUAUUGGUCAAGGUAGAUAAGUUUAUACUCCCGGCCGAUUUUCUAGUACUAGACAUAGAGGAAGAUGAAAAUAUUCCCCUUAUCUUAGGACGCCCCUUCUUAGCAACCGGUAGGUCAAUUAUUGAUGUAGGAAAGAGAGAGCUAAGAAUGAGUGUGGGGGAAGAAAUAGUGAUCUUCAAGGUGUACCGGAUGGAUGAAAAGCCUAUUACGGCUAAUGGAUGUUAUCUUCUUGAUGAGGUAAGUGAUUCUCAACUUUUUCCCGUUAACUUACAUGAUUUAAAAAAUUUUGUGGAUACUAAUAUGCAUGUAGGAGAACAAAAGAAAAAGGUUGAGAUGGUUACAACACCUACUCAAAACACCGUGAUAAAAGACGAUGUUGGCACGCCUCAUGACAUCAAGAAGAAUAAAUUCAAGGGCAUUCCUAAGCGAACCAGUCGAAAGAAGAAUCGGAUCAAACCAUUUAUUCAAGACUUUCUCCAAAAGGAAGUAAGGAGAUGGGUUCAAAAGCUAAGGAAUUGAAGAGCAUGAACAAAGUCUGGCUGAAGACUGUAAACUUAGCGCCUCUCGGGAGGCAACCCGAGAUUUUCGUUUUUUUUUUUCUUUUUCUUGUUUUAUUUUAUUUAUUUAUAUUAAUAAGCAUACAAACUAACAAUUAAAACAUGUUUUAAUUUUUAGGACAUAAAAUUGCAGCUCUGGAGCUCAUACGGCCGUCCCAAAACAAGGAAAAAGAUCACACGGCCAUGCGAGAAACAAACAGCUACUGCCCAAUUUUUGCAAUUCGCACGGCCGUGCGGAAAACAGUUAAAAAUCUCAUACGGCCGUGCGAAGCUCAACAGAAGCAUAAUAAGAGCGAGGGUGGAGAGCAAACCGGAGAUGGCCACGACGACUUAUUCAGGUGUACUAUAUCCUUAAACUUUGUGCUAAUUACAUUGAGGGCAAUGUAAAUUUUAAGUUUGGGGGUGGAAAUUUACUUGUUUUAUGUGCUUUAAUUUUUAGUUUGCAUGCCUUAGGAUUUUUGUUUAUUUUACUUAUUUUAGUUUAUUUAUUGCUUUCGGAAAGAAAAAAAGUUUGUGAUAAAUGCGUCGAUGAACCAUGAUGAUGAAAGAUAGUUGAUGUUUAAUGAUGAAAUUGCUUGCUUUAUCUUGAUUGUGAUUGAACUUUGGUGAGCUUUUGAUUCAAAGUGUCGUAGGAUGGAGUCAUUGUUAGGAAUCUCGAAUUAUGCCUUGCUUUGGUUGAAAGUUUUGUGUUUUAAAACGAGGAAUUAAUUUAUGUUAUAUCAUACGCUAUUCGGUUUUAGAACUUACCUUAGGAAUUUACAAAGUGAAAUAUUAAAAUUUUGAGCAAUUUGGGAAGUGAUUUGGGCCAUAUUUGAACCGUUUGAGCCUUUCAAGCCUACCUUUAAUUGUUUUUCAUUCGAACCUUGAUUGAGCCUUGGAGAAACGGUGUUCUUUAUUUUAGCCAAUGUGUAUACGGUAGAAUAAAUGGAGAUUCUUGAAAAAUUACCCUUUGGAGUUCGGUUCGAAAAUUUUAUAAGGUCAUUCUUCUUCCUCUAUAAAAUAAGAAAAAAAAACAAGGAAAAAAAAAAGAAAGAAAAAAAAAAGAAGAAAGAGAGAGAAGAAGAAGAGACUAGAAGGGAGAUGAAAGGACUAGUUGUUAAAUUUUUGUUCGAAAGCUCGAUCCAUUGUCUUAAGAGCAAAAGUGGGGACUUUUGAACUCUUAAAAAUCGAGUUUAUUAAAAGUCAUUAGAGGUGAAUUCAUUGUUUCAAACGCUUAUCUUUCAAAAUUUGGCGUAAUCACCUCAAUUCAAGAAACAUAGCCACAUAUACCCAUAUUUCGUACCUCGAACCAAAAAGCCCAACAUUUAUAAGCCAAAAAGUCCCAAUGAUCCCAAUAGCUCAAUUAUUUGAUACUAGCCGAGUAGAGAAAUUUGGUGAGUCUUUGGAGUUGAAUAUUAUUAUGUAAGUAUAAAUUUUCUCCAUUUUUAAUUUACAAAGAUGGGAUACUUGAAGCGAUAACAUGGUUUGUGGUUUUUGGCAAGCGUGAGUGAAUACGUAUCUUUGAAUUACGAGCUUGUAUAUUUUUAAGAAUUGUCAUAAUAAUUGCAAGUUCUGAAACAUGAAGUUGACCAUUAAUCUAUGUGAUGAGAGGCAUUUGUUGAAAGUGUUGCUUUGAUAGUUGCUAGUUUUUGCUUGAGGACAAGCAAAAGUUCAAGUUUGGGGGUGUGUUGAGUGUGUAUUUUACACUCAAUGUAUACUUUCUUACGAGGAUUUUUGUAUACUUUUAUUGAUUUUAUAAUGCUUAAUGAGUGGUUUAUUGUAUUUUAGGUACAACUUGACGAUUUGGGAGUUCCAGGGGCGAAACGAGCCAAAAAAAGUCAAAAACGGAAGAAAACAAAAAAUGCUGAAAAUUGGCUGAAAAGUGCCCGCGCGGCUGUGCCAACUGCCGAAGUUGGGCAGAAGGUUUCGGCGAUUCUCGCGCGGCCGUGUGAGAUUUGCACUGAUUCUCGCGCGGCCGUGCCAACACACGCUGAGACAAUUUUGGAUUUUUAUUCACACAAGGAAACCUAAAAUCAUCUACCAAGUUGGGAUAUCUAUUUAAGCCCAAACCAAGCACGAAUUAGAGGACUUUGGACACAACCUUGGAGCGAGAGGAGCGAGAGAACGAAGAAUCAAAGACGGAGAAUUGACAAAUCUUCAUCACAAUUCUUCCUUUAUCUAUCUUUUCUUAAUCUAUGUCUUUUUAUAUUUUUAUUAUGUUUUUCGUAGAGAACAUGAGUAGCUAGUUUUUAAUCUAGGAUUUUGGUGGAACCCUAUGUGGGGAUGGUGAACCCGUUUUCUUGAGAUUAUGCAAUUAUGAUUUUAUGAUUAUUUCUUAUACUUGUUAUGAUUAUUAGUGCAUGAACUUGAUCAAUUUAUGUGCUUUAUCUGCGAUUAUUGGGAUUGACUUGACAGAGCUAUUUUGAUAAUCAGACGGUAAGUAUAAGAACCUUCGAGUAGUUUUCACCGGAUGAGUGUGUCAAUUGCAUGUGGUGUCGUAGACAUACAGAUAUCACCUUAGGUAGCCAUUUACGAGACUUGUUAGUUAAUGCUUUAUUCAUAGUUGGUUUGCAUAGACAUAUCGUGAAUCGUUUAUGAAUAAUAGACUCAUAAUACACGCGACAACGGGUUAUGAGUAAAUUAGUGUCUCGGGUUAAUAAUCAUGAAUCAUAUGUUUCAUAAUUGAGGGAUUUUGGGUGAGCAAUUCUUGCAUAGGGGGGAGAUGAAAUCCUAGAUCCGUUUUAUCUUGAUAUUUUCUCGUGAUUAUUUGCUUUCUUAAUUAGUUUAAAUAUUUAAUUGAUUUAAUUUGACAACUUUGCGUAGGUUGGAUAAAAAUCAUAAUUGUUAGAAUUUGGUACUUAGGAUUAGAUAAUUUGAGUAUUCCCUGUGGGAUCGACAUCCGACUCUCACGAGUCCAAUUUUACUACUUGUUUGCGAUACGAGCACUUGCGUGUUAGGUAUUUAGCACCCAACAAGCUUCCAUCUAUGAACUUGCAAGACCUGAAUCAGGUUCUCAUUUCCUUACUUUUAGGGAAGGAAAGCUGCCCCUUCUUCAUUGUCGUUCAAUCCCGUUUCAGAAUAUAAUCAAGCUAAAUUACGUUCUGCUUUUAUGAUAUGAAAAGUAGGUCUUAAUCGAGGAUAUCCAAUCUGUCUUUACUAUUAAUGUUUGAUAAUUUUGGUGAAAACUAUCGUGAUAAUUAUGUUAAUAUAACAUUCGUUUCUUUGAGUUAUAUAGACUUGGUGUAACAACCUACAGAGCAAAAUUAAAUAUUCGAGUUUUCAGAAAACUAUAUGCAUGGAAAGCUCGAGUUGAGCAUUUUAAAUGAUGUUAAUUAUUAAUUUAUAGUGAGCAUGUUCGAUAAAAGCGCUUUGCAUUGCUACAGAUUAACUUGCGUACUGGUAUUCGAUUUUCUUAUGAUUUUUUAAUCGUUCAGAUGAUGAUGGAUGCAGAUCCUGUUCGUAGACCAACAACCAAAGAAGUAGUUAAUAAUCCAAUUUUUUACAGGAUUGGAAAGAACAAAUAAAUCAAAAGUAAACAAGUAUUUAAUUAGGUUUCUAGCAAAACUUUGCCGCCGAGGUUCAAAUGUUUAAAUUUUUUUAGUCUAACAUUUUUUUUUGAUUCGGUAUUUUAUUUGAAAUAUGUUUUUAGAUGAUCAAUCUACACAGCUACAACAAACUGCAGGAUGUUUUUGAAGUUGUUUCCCUUUCCUUUGAAGAUUCUAAGUAGCUUGUCAAUAAUUUCGCCACUACCCUGUGAGUUUCAUGAUAAUUACCACUGUUGUUCUGUUUUUGCUUUUCCAUUGUUACUACUGUUUUCUGUCGGUCUUUGAAUAUUAAUAUUCAAAUUAUGUGGUGAACAACAGGUUGUAGAGUUUAGGCAAGUUAUAACUUUCCAAGUUCUCGUGUUAUUUAUCCUUUCGUGCAUACGUCUCAUCUUAGUGUCUACCUUUCUAAGGGGAAACAACUCCUUCGUUUGUUUGCUCGCUAUUUUUUUUUCUUCAUUGAUAGUGGUAGACUGUUAUUUUUGGUCGAUUAUUUAUGUUUUAUAUUUAUUUUUUUUUUGGAUGAAAGCACAUGGAUUCUGCUACAGAUUUUUAAUUUCCCUUGUUGAUUUUCAGUUGGUGUUUCAAUUUCAAUGGAAACACUUAGCUUUCAGAUAUGCUCGUGUGUGAUGGAUGCAGUGUGUGUCCUCGAAACUGCCUCGACCCAAGAACUGUUUAAAGUUAAUUUUUGUGCUUCUCGUAUUUUAUUCGAUGUUAGAAACAGUAAAAGUAAAUUAUGCCAUUUUACGUGUCUAUGGCUCUGAUGGGAAAAAUGAACUUCAAGGGCAGGCCCCCUUGCGGAUACCGAAACUUCGCGGGGAUGCAUAUGGCUUUUAGUUUCAAUUUGUGCGAGUCAAUUCGUUGAAAGUAAUAAUCAUUGCGUGUUUAUUUGCUAUUUAUGCAUUGCUAAUUAACUAUGGGAGUUCGAUUGAUGUUACAAUUAAUUGUCCACAAUUUAGAAAUGACUCAAACUUAGGUGCUAUCUAAUGGUAUAUAAUGGAGCCUGCUUUGUUUCUCUUGAACUUCUCAUAUAGUGAUGACCCUUUUUUCUACUUCUUGCAUGCUUGUUUUACUUCUGUGGGAGUUAGUUUGCUUCGGUCAUAGUUGGACUUUAAAUUAUUUAUGUUUAUAUCUUUAUAUUCGUGAUUUUUACAAGUAUUUAUUUAAUUCUGACUCAAUAGUUUAUUCUAAAGGUGUGAUGAUAGGAGUCACAACAUGGGCUUCAAAUAUAGGGUUUGAUCUAAUCAGAUGUUAUUUUCAUACUUCGACUGAAUUGAGGUUCAGUUCUUAAUUGAAGCCUUGCUAAAUAACACGAUAAAAAUUGCCUUUUGCCUGGUAUUUUGGCUUUGUAUGCAGAAAACAUGCUGCAGAACCACCUCGUUGAUUUCAAAUUGCUGCAAAGUCUAUUGACCUUCUUGUUGGACAGAGCAGAAGUGUUAGUUUUUGCCUAUGCAUACGGUAACAGAAAUGGUACGUAAUUUCAUUUGUAAAUCAAUCCAUAUUUCAGUACAAAAAACUGGUUAAAAUUGUUGAGCUUUUCUUACCCUUUUAUGGUUUCUUUGCAUAAUGCAUAUGUUAGUAUCUUAUAAUACUUGUGAAAUUUACCUAAACACCGCCUACCAUGCAAUUAUUGAGAUUUUCCUAAACACCUUCUAGCAUGAUCUUAUUUCCUCCAUCAUAUAUCUCGAUCGUAUUUAUUAUGUUUUUAUUCUUUAUUUAUUAAUACUAUUGGUUCAUUUUUUUUAUCUUCUUCUUACAGUUUGUCCGUGUUAUUAUACGCCUCUGUCCUUUAUUUUCUUUGCCCUUCUUUUCACGAUGUGUAUGAUCGACCUGUUUGCUUCUUCUUUUCUCUUUUCUUUUGUUCUCGAUUUUUUUCUUCUCUUGCUUCUUUGUCCUCAAUCGUCGCCUGCAAUUGCCGAAUCGCCGUUGAAUAUUUCUCGAUUUUGCUUCCAGUUUUGGUUUUCUCUGUGGGUGCAAGUUCCCGGGUCUGAAUUGGAUUUCCUACAAUCUUGUCAUUGGGUUUUUUUUUUAAAUCAUUGAUUCUGUCAUGGUUAAUACAAGUCAUAUAUUUGUAUAGAACAUGCAUCCAUUUUUUCAUCUAUCUAACGAAUACUGGAUUGCUAUUCUUGCACCAAAAGGCGAAAUCCCUCGCCCCAGGGCACCCAUCCCUUGGUCCGACAAGGAUUGAUGGAGGAAUGUAAAUCAUGGUAACUCAACGGCCCGUUACGGUAGCGGACCUAGACCUGGUGCCCACAAGGAACCAACCCUCAUUGGAGUUGAAAUUCCCACAUUGCGGCUGCCAGGAUUCGAUCCUAGGACCUUGCACCAACUUACCACCUCCGGAACCAGUUGAGCUACACCCAUGCGGGCAAUAUUGGAUUGCUAAUCUAUUUAUAUAUGCAUAUGUUUUUCAAGAUAAAAGACAAUUAGAUUGGCAGAAGAGAAUAAAGGUAGCUCGCGGUCACGGGAUUCAGUUUUUACACGACAAGGCGAAUUCACCAAUGAUGAACCUCGUCCCGAACUCAUCAAAAACUUUUCUUCACUUUUUUUAUAUAUACGUUCUGAAUGCAAACAUUUGACAGUUAAGAUAGCAAUUUAUUGUCAGAUCUUUCCGACUUCUUUCAUUCGAAAACCUGCACAUUAUUCCUUCUGCCGAACAAUCUUUGCCAAACAAUCUUUUACUGUUUGACAUAAAAUAAUCUUUUAAUAUCGGACAUGAAUAGUCGGGAAUAGGCAUCACGCAGGGCACCGCGCCUUGCGCGGUGCUCGUUACUAGUAUAUAUAAUCCUAAAAUUUAAUAUAAGAAGGAAAUAUCUAAUGAAAGGACCCCCCAUAUAUGUUGUCAGGCCAUGUGAACAAGUUAUGGAACACGUUCUUAACAAUUACUCAAUCAAUGCUUGGAAAAUAAAUAAUGCCAAUUAUUAUCUUAGGAGAAAAUUAAAAUACUAGGUAAAAGAAAAAAAAAACUUCAAGUGUAGACAAUGACAAUAGCCCUUUGGUAAAAGACACAAUAGAAAGUGAUACGUUCCAGAAUCUAUGCAUAAAUAAUUAUUUUAUUUUAUUUGAUGAUAGCCUAGCUUUCGUAUUAUUGAUGUCGUUUUCGUUUUCUUGUAAUUCGCAUGGUUUUUUCUUCGACUAGCUAGGCCAUUUUACAUUAUGAUGAAAUGAAUGUUUGAUUAAUAAUAAAAUAAAAUUGGGCAAAUUACGGCCACCCCCAGAAGUAAGGUCAAAUUACGAAAAAAUCCUAAUGUUUGGGUAAUUACAACCACCCUUUAACUAUGAUUGUUCUUACACGUGAUGAUGUAUUCCAAUUUUAAUAAUUAUUUUAUUUCAUCCCAAAAUAUUUUAUAUCAUUAACUUAUUAAUAUAGUAACAUAUUCAAUUUAAUUAAUACAUAAACAAAAACAAUCAGAAGAAUAAAUAUUUUUUUUAGUGAGAGCAUAUAAAUUUUCUAAGAGCAUCUCCUAGAGUGUAAUGUAAACCUAUAUUAUACACAAUAUGAACAACCAAGAUCAAAAUAGUGAGCUCCAAGAGUAAAAUGCAUAAUUAACAAAUUGGCUAAAUUGUAACUUUGGCUUCUCAAAUUUGAGAAACCAAAACUACAAUUUAGCUAAUGCGAAAAAUAUUAAAAUAAUAUUAUAUUGUUCUUUAUAAUAUAUUUAUCAUUAAAAAGUAUUUUAUAUUGUCUUAUUUUUUUGCAAAUAAAUGUACUAAAGAAGAAAUUUAUUAUUUUACUUAGUAUUAAUAAUAAAUAAAAUUAAAAAAAUAUUUAUCAUUUUAAUUAACAUAAAAAAUAUUUCCUAACAAUAAACUGUUUGAGAUGGCCUAACAAUAAGUUAUUACUCAAUUGAAAAUUUCCUCAAAUUCAAAAAACUUAAGCUCAAACUAAAGACCAUAAAUGAUUAAAGUAAAUUAAAUAUAAAAUUUAACAAAUUAAUUACAGAAUAAAUCAACCCUUGCAUUCAAAUACAGUUCACAUUUCGGCCACUCCAAUCAAGAAGCAAGAUUUAACCCAGAUGCAAUCAACCUAACAUUGCUUUAAAAUUUAACAAACCCACUACUUCCUCUGGCCAAGGAUGAAAAAAUAGUACGUCGUUGCAAGCAAAAAGGUCCGGCGAGCAGGGCCAUGGCUACACGAAGUCGAAAACGACGGAGGAGUGAACUGGGUGAAACCGUAACGGAAAAAGAAGCUUGAGAGGGAUGAAGCAACAUAGGGAGAGGAAGGGGAGAAAAAACCUCUGCCGGAAAAUAUUUUCGCCGGAACGAAUGGCAUGAAAAAUCGAGAACUUAAUCCCUAUUAGAGGGAUGAGAGAAGUCUGGGAAAUGAGGAAGAAAAAAACCAGGAGAUUUGUUGGUGGGGGUGAUGCGUAGAAAAUUGUGCAUAUUAAUAGGAAAUUGGGUCCAACAUUUUAAAUAUAUUUGAAGGGUAAAGAAGUAAAUGCAUAAGAAAACUGACGGUAUAAGUUGUUUACACGUUGACCACAAAUUAUAGGGGUUAUUUUGUUACGUUUUGUAGUCUAGGGUGGUGUUUGUGACAGACCCCAUAGUUAAGGGGUGCAAACUGUACUUUUCCCGUAAGAAAAUACAUAGUUAAGAGGUGGUUGUAAUUAGCCAAACAAUAUGAACUUUUUCGUAAUUUAAUAUGUACCUCAGGAUGUGACCGUAAUUUACCCAAAAAUAAAAUAAAUUCAACCUUUUUGCAUUGCAAGAAGAAAAGCAACAAGAAGGCACAACAAGAAGGGUGUUCGAUCAAAAAGUUUAAAGGGAAGAAAUGGACUUUAAAUUUAACCAAAAAGCUCAUAUAAAUAUCUGGUUUAUUGGUAGUGAUAAAGUAGAACAGUGUAAUCCCUCUCUAGUUCAAAUCAAAGUGUUAUUACAAAACGACAACAUAAAUUUGUGGUUAAGAUAUCUUAUCCCCUAAUAAUAAUAAAGACUGAAUUUUUAUUUUAUUUUUAAAUAUAAAUAAAAAAAUGGGCAUGUUUACAUAAUCACCAAAUUAAGAACACUAAUUAAUUCAAAGCUCCAAACAUAUAUAGAUUAAUUAAUGAUUUCUAAUAGGUAUCAGAUUUUCAUAGAUUCAAUAAAUAAAAAUCAACAAUUAAAUUCAAAUUGUUUUUUAUUCUGACCUCAAUAGGGCUGAGUUUUCUGAUGUAAAACAUCUCGGCAGAUUCAGGAACGCCCCCAAUAUUUCUGCCCAUCUUUCUGCAUGCGCGUGAAUCCCUAAUGCAGGACCCGAUUUUGCCCCAGUAACUAUCACUCGCGACCCGAUCCCAGAGCCAACCUGAGUAGUCCUGGAGCGAGUAGUCGAGGUAGGCCCGGUUCAUCACGGGCUGGCCGGAACCCUUGCCGGUGAUGGCGUAGGUGAAGAUGACGAAGCCGAGUAGGGUGGCGAUGAUGAUGAACAUGGCCCACAGGUAGAGGUACAUGAGGAAGUUGUUCCGUAGCAGGCGCCGGCGAAUCCGGCGAGGGAGACGACCAUGAUGGAGACGCCGAUUAUUAUGAGUGGCCACUGGAGGAACUUCGGGCAGUCGGUGUUGUUCGCGUGGCUGCUCAGCCAUAUUCCGCCGCCGAGGAUGGGGAUCGACAGGACGAAGGUGAGGAAGUUCACGGCGCCUAUUAGGUGGUUGCUCGUUCUCAUGGCUGCGGCGGUGGCGGUGGCGGUGGUUGUAAAUUUAUUUGAAAUUUAAUUUUGUCUUACAAGAGAGAGAGAGAGUACUGCAGUAUUUAUUGGGGAGCAGAUAUAUAAUCGGAAAAAAGCUUUGGGGGAAAUCAAAAUUUGUGGGAAACAGAGAUAAGCAUGCUUUUGUACACAGUUAAUGACUAAAUUACCCUCUGCAGAAUGAGUGAUUUACUGAUUUUAUUUAAAUUUUGGUUUAAUGGCACUUUGCCCCCCAACUAUCGUGUGUUUUGCACGUAAUAUCUGGACAAAAAACAUUUACAACAUUUUACCUAAACUGUGCACGGUGCCUCCGUUUUACCAAUCCAGUUCAUUUCUCGUGCGUCACAUGUCCAUUCACUUCAAGUCUUUUAGGGCAAAAAGAAUAAAAAACCGAGGGGAAAUAGAAGUACGAAUAAAUUUGCAGUGAAUGGACGUUUAUACCCUAAAAAACCCAUAUGCAGACGAGAAAUGAACCGAAUUGGUAAAAUUGAGGCACCGUGCAACAAUUUAACGAGUUCAGGUAAAAUUUUGUAUAUUUUUUUGUUAAGGGGGUAACGUUAAAAGCACGCGAUAUUUUUGGGGGCAAAGCGCCAUUAACCCUUAGAUUUUUGUUGAAACAAACUUUUACAAGGAAAUGACUAGAUUAUCCUCUGAAAAUUGUUGUAUCCAACAAAUUCAAUGCAAAUAAUAAGUGUGUCCCUGAAAAUCGAGCAUAUUUCCUGGAAGUAAAAUAUGGAACUAAAAAGGAUAUUUUCAAAAAUUACAAUUAUUGCCUAUUAAAAACCACUCAAAUGUUUGUGACCCCACCAUACAAAAAUAGUUGCACAUGCAUAUGAGUUUCCCCCAUGCAAAGAAGGUCAAGUGGUCGGUGGUUAGAAACAGUGGGUCCUAUUAAGAAAUCAUUUUAAAUUAUUACUAUGUUGAAACUCUUGCGACAAUGAUCAAAAUUAAUAAUCUACUCUUUUUUUUUAUAAUUAAAUUAAUAAUCUACUUGAUAAAUAAUAAUACUAUUCAAUAAUUUGAUAUGAAGUUAUCAGCACUUUCAAACCAUAGUUUUGCAAAGACUUUAAGGCGUGUUUGAUGCCUUACAACCUUAAAAAAUUUAAAAUAAAAAAAAAUAUUUAGUAAAUAUUGCGUUAUUCAGUACAGUUUUGGUAUACUGGACAUCAAUACCGUACACCGUACUAAUACCGAAAUUCAAAAAUAAAAUAUCAGUGUUGAUUUAAAUUGUAAUUAAAUUGUACAAUCUUAUUCGAAUCUUAAUUGAAUUAUCAGACUGGACUUUAAAAAAAAUUAUCUAGGCCUCCAUCAAUAGUUAGAAGCCCAAUUUAGAAAACAUAUAUUAUUUCUGGCCCAAAUUUAUCUAUAAAUUACAGAAAUUCUAGGGCUUCAAAAUCCACAAUUCUGCCGCACAAAGCCUAAUCUGAGAUUCACGGCAGAACAAGAAACUGAGAGACACACAAAGCGGCGAGCUUUGGAGCUAUACGUGUUUGUUGUAUCGUUGAAAACUCGAGCAGUUGUCGAUCUUCUUAUGUAAGUUCUUGUAUUAACUGAAGCUUGAAGAUUUUCUAAAUCUGCUUUUUUUUUUUUGUUUUGUCUUGAUGAAGCUUUGUGAAUAAAUUUUGUUUUGUUGAUAUGGUGUUUGUAAUUUAGCCCCUUUUGGAUUUAUUUAUAUUAGAAAAGGCUGUGGAUGAAUUAUUUGCAGAAAUUGUUUAUUGUGCAUGCUAGGUGUUUGAUGAAUUGAUUUGUGGUAUUAUUAUUGUAAAAAGUCCAUCUUGGCAAAUCAGUUGAGCCCUUUUAAGAGCAAAUGAGCUGCCUUGAAUGCUAAUGGACUAAUAUUAAAUCUCUCUCUUUCUCUUAACUAUUUUCCGCUUCUUCAAAUCUGUUAAGUUUGCAUAUUAGUGGAGAUGAAACAUAUUAAAAAAAAUAUUAAAUAGUUGUUUGUUAAAAUUCUGAAUCUUUUGUAUGCAAGGUGUUUGAUGAAUUGAUUUUUUGGUGUCGAAUUUAUUUUUUUCUAGUCCAUCUAGGCAAGUCAGUUGAGCCCUUUUAAGGGAAAAUGAGCUGCUUUUGAAUGCUAAUGGACUUACAGCUAAAUCAUCUCUUUUUUUUGUUUCUCACCACUCACCGGAACACAGUAACCGGUAACCGCCGCCGGCUCGCAUCAACACCACCGCCGCUUCUGGCCGUCCGACGUCCUCAAUGAAUCCCCUAUUCAACUGAAAUCACGCGUUUCAGCGUUCGUCGUCCAAUUUUGACCGGAAAAGCGGCGAUCGAACGCUACUGCAGCGGCAAUUGAAAUUUGAGUCUUCAAUUUUAAUGUAAAUGGAUUUCAUCUCACAUUUACGAUCUAAAAUUGAGUGAAUGGUCCUUACACUGGGUUUUGGGCAGUUGAGAGUUGAGUUUGUUCCCUUCGGGCAUCGAUUUCUAAAUUUAUUCCCAAGCAAUCAGUUUUCUCUGUGGUGGAUUUGAAUAAUUGGAGUUGUUGAUGUGAACUGAGUAGUAUUGCCCAGCUAGGUGGUAUUGCCAUCGGAAGUGGCCCGGAAUUGUGCAUUCUUAUGGAAUUAACUGUUAGAUUAGAUUACAACAUUCUACGAUAGAUUAAGAUCGGUGGGAUAACCUUCUCAAUCUGGGCAGGUUGUUUUAUUCUACGUAAAUGUGGGCAGCUCGUUUUCUAGUUUAACAUUGGUUUUUUUUUUGGGACAUGUUUUUUUAUGUGUUAGGAGAUGUUUUCAGUAUAUUCAAACGUCUAAUUUGGCGUGCUAUUAAUUUUACAAUUACAAUAUAUGUAAAAUGUUGCAAUUUUACGAUCGGAUUAUUGAACCCCCUCUCUGGUUUUACUCAAAGUCUCGACUUUGUGUACCUUGCGUGCGAAUCAAAUGAAUUCUUCUUCAUUUUCUUGACAUUUGUGCUUGAUGGCUAGAGCUUAUAGUUGUUGCCUUGUUGGUAAAUUACGAUAUUUUUUAUCUCCCUUAAUGGUGUCUUUGAUCUGGCAUAGUUUGACGAAUGAAAAGGUCGCUCGGGUCCCACUUUUCGAGGUACUCUCUCGUCAACUCUCUUUUCUCUAAAAAAAUUCUUCUCUUUUCUCUCUUGUGAUAUGAUUAUGUCAAAGCUUAAUAUCCAUGGUGGACAAGGAAAAUAGGUGUUUGUCUUAAUACUGUGUCUACUUUUCGUCUUAUCGUUUUCUAUGGAACAGAUAAUGGCAGCAAGAUCGAAAGGAAAAACAGCCGAAGCAAAAGCCCUAGCGGAGCCCAUGUCCACAAUAGUUUCUCGGCUCCAAUCCUGUUUAAUUGAAUCCAAUUCUCAAGGAAUCCUUUCAGGGAGCAGCGUUCUUCUUGCAGCACACGAAGAACAAACGGAGCUUUUCAACCACGCGUGUUUCGGCCGUCUCGUUAUCACCACACAGAAGAACAAACAGUGGUUUCAACUAUGCCACAAGGAAGCUUUUUACCUCUGCACCGUAAUGAAAUGCAUCAAGAUUGUAGGUCAAAAUAGCUGCGUAAAAAAUGAGGAAGAGCUGUGGGAUUACAUGUCGUCCAAGAGAGUGAAUUUCCCGGUUCUGUAUAAAGCGUAUUCGCAUCUUCGUACGAAGAACUGGGUGGUUAGGGCGGGGUCUCAGUACGGUGUUGACUUUGUUGCCUAUCGGCACUACCCGACUUUAGUGCACUCUGAGUACGCUGUUAUAUCCUCUUCUACAGAAGAAGGAAACGAAAAUGGACGUUUGAAGGUUUGGUCUGAUUUUCAUUGCACUCGUCGUCUCUGUGGCAGUGUUGCAAAAACGUUGUUGGUUCUCCACAUUAGCAAAAACUGUAACGAUUGUGACGGUUGCUAGUUAUUCCCCUUGGAAUAUUAAUUAUUACAGCGUCGAGGAAAGAAUCGUUGCCAGGUGGAAUCCCGAGCAAAGCCGGGAGAAUUGUACGGUUGCAGAGAAGGAAUCGUGUAAGUCGUCAUAAGCUUAACUUAACUCCUGUUUAUUGUACCAGUUACUAUGUUGUAAGAUUUCGCCAUCUUAUAUAAAUAAGCGAUUGCUGCAGAAAUUGGUCUGUUGAUUUUGGGCAGGAAUCUGAUGCAUGCACUGUAUCUAAGUAAAAGAUUUGCCAGUACAUCCAUAUCAUGUACUAAGUAUUUUAGAUUUUUUUAUUUUACUUUUUAUUUUUUGUUUUUCAUGUGCACAUGUGAUCAGGAAAAAAUAAACAAUAGGGCAAAUUAUGGAUACCUCCCUUAUUGAGAUUCAAUGGAAAAUGAGCAAGAGAUCCAAAUAAAUGAUUAUUCUUUUCACAUUAAUUCUCUCCAAAAAUCAAACAACUGAUAACCAAAUAUAAUAGAAACCUCGAUAUAAUAGCCAACCAACAUAAGUUGAUAAUAUAUAAACGAAAAUAAGUUACAGAAAAUAGUGGAAAAAGAAAACAUAAGAAAGAAAGAGGCAAUCGAUAACAAGUUAAAAAAAACAAGGUAAAAAAGGGAAUAUAUACCAAUGAAAGAGGGCAAUUGAUAUGUACUCGAAGAGCCUUUCCAAUUAUCUGAGUAUCAGAGGAGGAAAUCUUUCGUCUCUUUCUUUUUGCCUAGCAUCAAUAAUCUCAAUUCAAUAACUCGUAACAAAAAUAAGGAGAAGACAAGGAGAAAAUAAAAGAAAACAAAUCAAUAAAAAAGUUCAAUCAAUAUGUAUUCCAAGAGUUAUCCAAUUGUUUGAGCAUAUGUGUGUGUGAAACUUAUUCUUGCCUCUUUGUUCAAAUGGAUAUCAAGACUCUCCAACUCAACAAUACCUUAUUCCCAAAAUAAACGAAAUAAGGGAUAAACAUAAUGCAAAAAUAAACCUAACCUUUUGCCAAUGUUUCUAGUCUGAAUGAAAAUCCUUGAAACUUUGUUCUUGCAAAACAUAUAACAUAAAACAUAAGAAAAUAGGCAAGUUCAACAAACAAUCAAGUGACAGAAAAUGAUAAUGGAGAUCCCUUGAGAGCUUAAGUACAAUACAAAGAAUAUGAACGAUUAACUUUAUAAGGAACUAUAACGGAGACGAAAUAAUACCGGAAUAGUCUUGACUAUAGGUUUGUUACAAGUCAGCCUUCCCCUGUAGCAACCAAACAUCUUCAAGCAAUUAUAAAAAAAAAAUACAUUGCAAAAUCUUAGUGAGUAUCAUCAAAAUUUAAACAAAGUAAAUAGUUGCAAAAGAAUAGUCAGUAUCAUCAAAAUUGAGCACUGUAUCAUAAUACAAAUGCACAAUCACUAACUCAAAUGUAGAAUCCAGAGAAAGAGCGAUGACUUGAUUUUGCAGAAAUCGUGAAUCAACUUAACACUUCUAUGAAGAAUUGAUUCACAUCAAAACUCAACGGCCUCGUUGUCCCUCUUUCGUCAAUGGAAAAAAAAUACCUUGCUUUGUCAUGUCCACCACAACUCAAAAGUCAAUUAAACUCUUACAUGGAAACUCAUCAACCGCUCAACAUUCACUGCCAUAGUUGCCGUGAAACUAAAAAUUUAGGGAAAACGUUCCUAAUCCUAUUCUUAAAUUUUUUUUGUCGAAUUUAAAUGUUCUUUAAAACCUAGUUUCAAAUUAUUAAAAGAUAUGCGAGAGAGACAAAAAUCGAUUGCCGUCAAACUGAAAAAGGGGGAAAACAUUCCUAGCCCUAACCUCUUUUUGCCGAACGGAAAUUGUCUGCAAACCCUAGUCGCAGGAAGAUUGAAACGAUUUCGCGGGGGGGGGGGGGGGAUAGUUGGGGGGGGGGGAAUUUUAAGAGAAAAUGGAGGAACUAACCUGCAUAAUUUUUUACUCAAUAAACUCUCCCCUUCUUUAUUUAUUUAUUUAUUUAUUUAUUUAUUUUAUCUCUUACGGUAAUUCAACUUGAAGGUAUAAAUGCCCCUAAAGGUUUGGUAAUUACAUGCAACUUAUGAAAUGUCCCAACAAUCUAUAUUUGGGACACUUAUAAAAUUAUGUCCCUAACAAAAUGUCGUAAUAGAUGAUUUUUGUUGUAGUGACACCCUUACGUAGUUUACAUGUGCAGCAUAGUUCUUAAACAGUUCCAUUACAAGACACGUCAUCACAUUAAUACAAAAUAUAUAGACAGUGUGUUUUUUUUCUUUUCUUUUUUUUUUUCCGAAAACACCAAAAAAACUGCGAAAUAACUCCACAUACGCGCGUUGCUCGUAAAAAUCUUUAAAAUCCAAAGGCUGCGACUUCUCCAUUCUUGUCUCUCCAUAAGGCUCGUCGUUAUCGAUCCUUUUGUUGUGCCUAAAAGUAGCACAAGCAACUGUUAGAGUAGGUGACCAAUAAGCCAACUAACUGUUGUGUUUCCUCACUCUACUCGUAAAUAAUCUAUUUCAUAUUAAUGGUAAAAUACCUUUUGGCAUUCUAUAUCUCUUAUCCCAUGCAAGCAGCAUAGAUAUAGUCCUAACGAGUUACUCUAUUACUGUGAGUUGAUCUAGUAGAAUCAUGAGAUAACUCAACAAUGUAAUGUAACUGUUAAACCUUGUUCCUAGUCGAUGGCUUACGCCAAUAAUGAGGAUACCGGCCUUUCCCUUUUGAUACUAGCACUUAGUGUAUGUGUACUGCGUCUCAUCAGUCAUCGGUGUUGUGACAUCGGCAUACUUGAGUGGGUGCUCAUAUUAGAUGAGUUCACUGAACUCCCUCGCCUAGAAAUAAGUGGUUCUCAAUCAUCGAGUAAUAGGUUUCUAUGAUAUAGUUGUGCACCAUUUGUCCUUAAGACCCAGACAUCACCGUGACUUCACUAGAGGACCGACUGUAUCGUGACCUAUCCCUGAGUCCCACCGCGGACCGCUCCAAGUGCCAACGUUCGUGUAGUCCGAAAUCUAGUGUGAAGUCUGUGCAUUGUAGUAGGGGAUUCGAGCGCUUGAGCAGUCAUGGAUGUCCUGUGUGUUCUGUUGGUUUGUAAUCCAUGGAAUCUCCAGCCGGAGUUGAUAGUGGGGUGAUUAGGGAAAUGUGUUUCUCUAAGUCACACACGAACGGAUUAUAACACCUAGAACGUUCGUAUGGUUAUUGAACUUAAUAAGAGGUCUCGGUGGACCAAUGCCUCUAGUUCAAUCGGGACAUUUGCUGCGAAGGGAUCGUACUGUACGUUAACUAUAUCACAAAGGUUCUUGCAGACACUUCAUUUGUAUCUAGGGAAUCAUGAUGCGUAGUUGCUAGACGCCAAUCUUGAUUCGUUGGGCACCGAUUUGAUCGGGGAUACGGUAAAAUGAGUUUUACCCUUAUCGGGACUCUUGGGAGGAGUUCGUAUAAGAACAAUGUGUUGUUCGAAUCACAAAGAGUUGUGAGCCCACGGCUAGCUUACACCUGAACCAUUGAGGGUCACACUUCUCGUGUAACAUGGAUCCUUGAAAAACAACAAGCAUAGAUUAAUGUGUUAAUCUUUGCGUAGUUGGAUGUCAAUAUGAUUGAAUCUAAGAUUCGUAAUUGUGGAUUACGAGUUGGAAUAAACGGAGAGAAAGUGAUAUGCGGAAAUUUAGUGAACUUUCUAAAUUGGGAAGUUUCCCGAUUUAGCAUGUCCACUAAAUUAGAAGUUUCCAAUUUUGGAAAUUGAAAAUUUGAAAGAGGCACUCGUAUCGACGAGGACUUUAUGCUCGUCACAAAUAUAAUUUUGUUAUAAUUUUGUGGACGAUCGUUUGUAAGAAACGAGGCCGACGAAGGGGCGGGCUUAAUGGAUCAGUGGGUCAAGCCCAAUGACUUAAGCCCAUGAGGGUUAUGAUCCCUAGUAUAAAUACAACUCAUAUGAUGAGUUGAGAUCAGCUUUUGACAGCCCCAAACCCUAGCCGCAUGAAGCACGGCCGUCCUCCGCCUCACGGUUGCAGCCCCGCCGCUGCACCGCCGCACCGCCGUCGCGCCGCCGCCGGUUUCUUCUCUUUUCUUCCUCGUCUUUAUUCCCGUUGUUUUUCUAACUCUUCUGUAUCUAGUGCUGCAGUUAGAGUGGGUCUAGUUGUACGAGGUGAAACCUAAUUGGAGAGGAAGAACGCAACUCCACCACCGCCAGCCCCGUACGCGCCGUCGCCGUUGCCACGCGCCGCCACCGCUGCACCUCAUGUGCCGCCGUCGAGAUCAGAUCGGACCAGCUGCUGUUCGGUCGGUUCUUCGGAGCCUUGGAGUUGUUUAAUAGCAGCUUGUACGUGUCUUAGUUUAUAGAUUUCGAUUCGUCGAAAUCUCACGCUUCAAGAGGUAAAAUCGAAAACCCCUGCGAAUUAAUUCAUAAUUGGAUUAUGUGAAUUAAUUUGUGAGCAUGACAAUUAUAUGAAUAAUGUAUGUUUUCGAUUUCAUGAUGUCGUAUGCAAGCAUGCUCGUCUUUGUUUUUCGUUUUAUUUAAUUUCGAUUAAAAUAUGAAAAAUUACCAUGUGUAUGGCGGAAGCGUUAAGGUACGUUCAAUUAAUUGAUUUAUGCAUGUGAUCGAACAUUGAGUUCGAUUAAAUUUUUGUUUUUCGCUGCGUAUACAUGCAUCGAUCCCCAACAGCAACCACAUAGAGUGUGACGAGGAUUAUCAAGAUAACUAUGUUAAUAACUGACACUUUUCUCCAGCUCUUCUUCAAGCUAGCUACUACCCCAGCUUUGCAAGAAUCGCACCCGUAGCAUAGUUGCUCCUGGUCGUUGCUCCAUUUUGUGCAAUCUGUGUCGGGCCCCACGAGGCCUCCACCUGGCGUCCACACCGUCUCGUUUAUGUACACGUAGCCGCAUGAUGUAGGCGGUUUGUAACAUCCAGACUAGCACAUGUAAAACCAAUGUUAAGCAUGCCAAGCUAAGAGUUAUAUUUGACUUGCCAAAAAAUCUAGAUUUGCUAAAAAAAGUCUUCAUGUUAUAAUAUUAGCAAAAGAACCCCAUGGUGCAUUUUGUUUUAGCACACGGCCCCCCUAAAUGGUGUGUUUAAGGGGGUAGUCUGCUAGUUAAAAAAUAGCAUCAUAAAUGAUUUUUGCUAAUAUAUACAUAACACGUAAUCAUAGGGAUGCUAAAUGCAAUAAAUUACCCCGUGUUAUCCUAUUAAGGCCUCGUGUGGUUGUCACAAUGGAAUAAGCCAAGAUAUACACAAUCUUUUUAAAUUCCGGAUUGUAUAAUUUGACCAGCGGGUCCCAUUAAGUCAAAAUAAACAGAUAAAGAGCAUGGACGAAACCAAAUAAAAGCCCGUUAAUUAAUCAUGGCACAAACGAGAACUAGUUUCGAGAAAUAGAUACCGAGUGCAUAGAAGCACGCGAUAAGCAAAAAUAGUAUUAUAUGUUAUAUGCUUUCAAAAACUGUGUCGUUCCAAUCCGCAUCUCCCAUUGUUUUCUUUUCCAUUUAAUUUUGAAGCAGCUCGACCGCGACACGCCAGCUUGAUUUUUCCUUUUCAUUUAAUGUGCUUGUUCCUAAACGACGUCGUUUAGCUGCCUCACACAUGGCCAACAAUUGUUGACCUCCGCCGCUUCCAUGCCCGUCACCGCCGUCGCUCUGUUCGAAGCCCACCGCCCCUGCCGCCAACGUCACUUCCCACCUCUUUUUCAUCCAAUCGCUGAUUUGUCCCUUUCCAAUCACAUCCGAAUUGGAUAACUCAGGAAUUGUAGAGUCAUAAAAUUUUACAAAGACGAGUUCCAACCGUGAUUGUUGGAAGGGCAGGACUUCCGCUAGAGCUCCACCGAACAAGAAGAUUCAGUCCAUCAAUUCUUCAAUAUGUUAUUGUUUUAAUUGUUUUUCUUCUAAUAAAGCUCGGUGAUGGUCGACGCUGUUUGUGUCUAACUUUGUUCACUUUUUUCCCUUUCUAUAAAAUUUUGGGUCGAUGUUGAUUUCGAGUUCCUCUUCGGGCAAGGUUAGCCCUGACAUUAUGUGAAAUAAAUUUCCAUUUUUUGUGAUCUUUACAUGAAGAUCGAUGAUUUUCUGUGAUGUUUGCUGAUGGGUAGAGUCAUGUUGGUCGUGUGCAGACUUGGGUCGAUGGGAGCUGUUGUUACUGGUAAAGGCCAUGUUCCUAAUGGUCGUGCCUAUUGUUUUUUCGCUGUUUCAUUCGUACCUUUGUGUUGUCUUCUUUUGUCGGCCUGUAAUUUAUUUUUCUAAGAUACCAUUUCAAUAUUUUUUUUUUAAAUUAUAUGAAUGGAUUCAGAUUUCAAUGAUCUCAUUUUCUUUUCUAGGUUGCAUGUUGGAUCCACAGAAAACCAAAUUGUUACGAAAUCAACUUCUUGGCUACAUGAUGACAUUGCUCAGGUUAUAAAUCAUGAUUAGCACAUUUAUACAAUAUUUAUCAUAAUUAAUUUGUUGUUCAGUUGUGCAUGUAUUUGAUUCAUAUACUCACUUGAGAUUGGCAAUAGGGAGGGAUGUUCUCGCAAUUUAUUUGGCUAUUUUGAUUUUUUUUCUUUCACUAAAAGGUUUGAUUUCUCUGCUUCACUGUUUGUUGAAUCUUCAUAAUUACUUCGAGUUGCUAAUUCCUUCUACCUCAUAACGUUUUCGAGAUUAUGCAAGUAAGGCAUUCAUUUUACUGUUCUAAUUCUUUGCAGUCUACUCUACUGGCUCCUUUCUACUCAAUGAUGCAUUGUGCACAUACAGUUGCUUACAAACCUAUUUUAAACAUGUAACAGAAUAAACAACACCCUUACGUAGUUUCCAUGUGCAACAUAGUUCUUAAAUAGUUCCAUUACAAGACACGUCAUCACAUUAAUAUAAAAUAUACCGACAUUGUGUUUUUUUUCUUUUCUUUGCAGUCUACUCUACUGGCUCCUUUCUUGCAGCAGUCCCACUUUCAGUAAUUAGUAUUCUAAUAGAAGAUACGGAAGUCAACACCAGCUCGACCUUCAGUAAUUACUUGUGGAGUUGGUUGACUGUUAACGAUGAAAACCUAUUAUGAUUCUCUUUUUCCAAUUUUAAAUCAGAUUUCUUAUGAUUCUUAAUGUGAAUUUAGGUGGCCAAAGCUUUGCUUGAUUCUCGUUUUGGCAAUCUCACAGGUUCUAGUGCAGUAUAGUAAGAAUCGAUACAAUAUUGCAAUAUUGUAAGAAUUGAUACAUAAACUCAAAAUUCAAAUAAAUCAUCUUGUUUAUAAAAUAUAUCUUUGAAAAAGUGUUUUUGGGUGUAAUAAAACAGAGAAAACGCACGUCUUUUGGCCAUGAAAAAAGCAGGAAGAUGGGGAGUUAUACGGAUAUCAUCAUGUUUCACGAUUUUCUUCUCCUUUUUUAGUAUAUGCAAAAUUAAUCGAAUACUACCACUCUGUAUUUUGGUCAGAAAAAAGGAUAUAAUCCUUUGACCUAUUUGCAGCUUCUUACUGCAUGUUGUUUGGUUAUGUCGUAAUUAUAUUUAUUACUCAUUCUUAUCUCACUAUACAUCCUUACAUUUUGAAUGUUAGUCUACAUAUUUUUCAGGAAAGAUGACACUUAUUCAUUGUUAUGCUUCUUCUCUGUUUUUUACACUGUUGUAUAGGCUGCACGCACUGCGUGGUUUUUUUUACUAGCUACCUAACAUGAUUAUAUUUUUUUCCAAAAACAGAUUUAGCCGCUUGUUCAUGGAUAUAAAUGAGCCCUUUAGUUUGUAUUACACAACUUUAUUAUAACAUAUGCAAUUUUCUCUGUCUAGAUUUUCAUCCUGCAGGCAUUGGCGGUGAUGGUCUUUUCCGCUAUGGGACAAAUUUCCAUGAAAUUGAGGUUUGGGAACCAACACAUAAUUGUUGUAUCUUGAUUUUUCAAAAUGCUUGUCUACUGUGAGCUGAUGCUUUUUUGUUUCCAGAAAAUUGGUUAUGGAAACUUCAACCAGUUUUUCAAAGUCUUGAAGAGACUUGAUGGUUGCAUGUAUGCCGUAAAACAUAGCAUGAGACAGGAUGUAGAAAGGCAAUUUAAUUUAAUUUACUUGUAAUGAUCAGCUGCUUGUACUUACGCCACUCGCUUUUUGCAGCAAACUUAUGUUUAACACUGUCACAGGUGCAAGGCUUUGAUGGAAGUUCAAGCUUUGGCAGCUUUAGGUUUGUUACAUUAUUAUAUUCUUUUUAUUUUUAUCCAAAGAUUGAGAUUUUUAAACUUUUCGAUUCCCAUUUUUCUCAGGGUACGUACCACGAGAAUAUAGUUGGCUAUUAUUUUUCGUGGUUUGAAAACAAGCAACUUUACAUCCAAUUGGAGCUAUGCGAGCACAACCUAUCUCUCGAUAGAAUACCUAAACUAUUCACAGAAAGAGAAGCUUUAGAGGCAAUGUAUCAGGUGAAUGAUUUUGAAUCUAUAACGUGACGUAAUUGUAGCUGAUUAUUAACUUUCUGCGGUUUGUUUAUUUUAUCUUGAUGAGUUAAAUAUUUAAUUAGAAUUGUUACAGGCUGUUAGAUGGGAUUGACUAUGACCUUUCCCAGAGGAGAUUUUUCAUUGAAAAAAUAGCAUUCGUGUAGAUUGCUAAAGCAGUGCAGUUUAUACACCGGAGAGGAGUAGUCACUUGGACGUAAAGCCAGAAAACAUUUAUGUAAGAAAUGGAGUUUAUAGACUUGGUGAUUUUGGUUGUGCGACUGCCGUUGAUAAAAGCUGGCUAAUUGAAGAAGGUGAUGCUCGGUACAUGCCCCAAGAAAUCCUGAACGAGAAUUAUGAAAAUCUAGACAAAGUUGAUAUAUUCUCGUCAGGAGCUUCCAUCUAUGAACUUGCAAGAGGGUCACCGUUACCUGAAUCAGGUUCUCAUUUCCUUACUUUUAGGGAAGGAAAGCUGCCCCUUCUUCCUUGUCGUUCAAUCCCGUUUCAGAAUUUAAUCAAGCUAAAUUACCUUCUGCUUUUAUGAUAUGAAAAGUAGGUCUUAAUCGAGGAUAUCCAAUCUGUCUUUACUAUUAAUAUUUGAUAAUUUUGGUGAAAACUAUCGUGAUAAUUAUGUAAAUAUAACAUUCGUUUCUUUGAGUUAUAUAGACUUGGUGUAACAACCUACAGAGCAAAAUUAAAUAUUCGAGUUUUCAGAAAACUAUAUGCAGGGAAAGCUCGAGUAGAUCAUUUUAAAUGAUGUUAAUUAUUAAUUUAUAGUGAGCAUGUUCGAUAAAAGCGCUUUGCAUUGCUACAGAUUAACUUGCGUACUGGUAUUCGAUUUUCUUUUGAUUUGUUAAUCGUUCAGAUGAUGAUGGAUGCAGAUCCUGUUCGUAGACCAACAACCAAAGAAGUAGUUAAGAAUCCAAUGUUUUACAGGAUUGGAAAGAACAAAUAAAUCAAAAGUAAACAAGUAUUUAAUUAGGUUUCUAGCAAAACUUUGCCGCCGAGGUUCAAAUGUUUGAAUUUUUUUAGUCUGACAUUUUUUUGAUUCGGUAUUUUAUUGGAAAUAUGUUUUUAGAUGAUCAAUCUAUACAGCUACAUCAAACUGCAGGAUGUGUUUGAAGUUGUUUCCCUUUCCUUUGAAGAUUCUAAGUAGCUUGUCAAUAAUUUCGCCACUACCCGGUGAGUUUCAUGAUAAUUACCAUUGUUGUUCUGUUUUUGCUUUUCCAUUGUUACUACUGUUUUCUGUCGGUCUUUGAAUAUUAAUAUUCAAAUUAUGUGGUGAACAACAGGUUGUAGAGUUUAGACAAGUUAUAACUUUCCAAGUUCUCGUGUUAUUUAUCCUUUCGUACAAACGUCUCAUCAUAGUGUCUACCUUUCUAAGGGGAAACAACUCCUUCGUUUGUUUGCUCGCUAUUUUUUUUCUUCAUUGAUAAUAGUAGACUGUUAUUUUUGGUCGAUUAUUUAUGUUUUAUAUUUAUUUUUUUUGGAUGUAUGCACAUGGAUUCUGGUACCGAUUUUUAAUUUCCCUUGUCGAUUUUCAGUUGGUGUUUCAAUUUCAAUGGAAACACUUAGCUUUCAGAUCUGCUCGUGUGUGAUGGCUGCAGUGUGUGUCCUCGAAACUGCCUCGACCCAAGAACUGUUUAAAGGUAAUUUUUGUGCUUCUCGUAUUUUAUUCGAUGUUAGGAACAGUAAAAGUAAAUUAUGCCAUUUUACGUGUCUAUGGCUCUGAUGGGAAAAAUGAACUUCAAGGGCAGGCCCCCUUGCCGAUGCCGAAACUUCGCGGGGAUGCAUAUGGCUUUUAGUUUCAAUUUGUGAGAGUCAAUUCGUUGAAAGUAAUAAUCAUUGCGUGUUUAUUUGCUAUUUAUGCAUUGCCAAUUAACUAUGGGAGUUCGAUUGAUGUUACAAUUAAUUGUCCACAAUUUAGAAAUGACUCAAAGUUAGGUGCUAUCUAAUGGUAUAUAUAAUGGAGCCUGCUUUGUUUCUCUUGAACUUUUCAUAUAGUGAUGAGCCUUUUUUCUACUUCUUGCAUGCUUGUUUUAUUUCUGUGGGAGUUAGUUUGCUUCGGUUAUAAUUGGACCUUAAAUUAUUUAUGUUUAUAUCUUUAUAUUCGUGAUUUUUACAAGUAUUUAUUUAAUUUUGACUCGAUAGUUUAUUCUAAAGGUGUGAUGAUAGAAGUCACAACAUGGGCUUCAAAUAUAGGGUUUGAUCUAAUCAGAUGUUAUUUUCAUACUUCGACUGAAUUGAGGUUCAGUUCUUAAUUGAAGCCUUGCUAAAUAACACGAUAAAAAUUGCCUUUUGCCUGGUAUUUUGGCUUUGUAUGCAGAAAACAUGCUGCAGAACCACCUCGUUGAUUUCAAAUUGCUGCAAAGUCUAUUGACCUUCUUGUUGGACAGAGCAGAAGUGUUAGUUUUUGCCUAUGCAUACGGUAACAAAAAUGGUACGUAAUUUCUUUUGUAAAUCAAUCCAUAUUACAGUACAAAAAACUGGUUAAAAUUGUUGAGCUUUUUCGACCCUUUUAUGGUUUCUUUGCAUAAUGCAUAUGUUAGUAUCUUAUAAUACUUGUGAAAUUUGCCUAAACACCGCCUACCAUGCAAUUAUUGAGAUUUUCCUAAACACCUUCUAGCAUAUGAUCUUAUUUCCUCCAUCAUAUAUCUCGAUCUUAUUUAUUAUGUUUUGAUUCUUUAUUGAUUAAUACUAUUGGUUCAUUUUUUAUCUUCUUCUUACAGUUUGUCCGUGUUAUUAUACGCCUCUGUCCUUUCUUUUCUUUGCUCUUCUUUUCACGAUGUGUAUGAUCGACCUGUUUGCUUCUUCUUUUCUCUUUUCUUUUGUUCUCGAUUUUUUUCUUCUCUUGCUUCUUUGUCCUCAAUCGUCGCCUUCAAUUGCUGAAUCGCCGUUGAAUAUUUCUCGAUUUUGCUUCCAGUUUUUGUUCUUCUCUGUGGGUGCAAGUUCCCGGGUCUGAAUUGGAUUUCCUACAAUCUUGUCAUUGGAUUUUUUUUUAAAAAUCAUUGAUUCUGUCAUGGUUAAUACAAGUCAUCUAUUUGUAUAGAACAUGCAGCCAUUUUUUCAUCUAUUUAACGAAUAUUGGAUUGCUAUUCUAUUUAUAUAUGCAUAUCACUACAAGAAAAAAUGGUUUUAGUGACGAUUUGUUAUGGUUGCUAAAAGUAAGAAAAUGGUUGCUAAAACUUAUAGCGACCAAAUUAGGCUUGGUCACUCGUGGUCACAACAGGGUGGCUACUAAAAGUAUCAGUGACGAGCAAAUCAGUUGGACGCUACAUACAUAGAUUUAACGACCAUCCAAUAAUGGUCAUUAAAGAUGGAAUCAUUAGCGACAAAUAUUUGACUCGCUAAUGUUAAAAUUAAUGGUCGCAAUAAUAUUAAUAUGGUUGUUAUAGGUAUAUAUAUAGUGACCAAAUAUUUUUGGUUGAUAAAUGAUAUUCUUUUAGCAACCAAGUAGGUGGUUGCAAUAGAUUUUAUAUGGCCACAAACAUAACAUAUUUUAGUGACCACAUUGCGACCAAUAAAUUUAUUGCUCAAAAUAAUAAUUUAACUACAAGAAUAGCUGGUUGCAAUAAAUUUUUAUUUGUCACAAUAUAUACCUCAAUUUAUGUGCAUAUAAUAAAUUUAUUGCUGCUAAAAAAAAAAGACCAAAUAACAAUUGUAAGGAAAAAUAAUUAAAAUUGAUAGCUAGUUUGUACAAAUUAGUAAGUAGCUAAGUAAUUGUUGACAAGUCAAUUAAAUCAGUGAUUAAUACAUAUACAGGAGAAAUCAAACACUGUCUUGCAUACUAGUUGAACUAAACACCGUAAUGACAACAUUCACAUCUGGAACUUGAUUGAAGUAACAUUAUGAGAUUCAACUGCCUCUCUGCCUCUCUUUGGGUGCCUGAAAUUGGAUGCCACAAAGAAUCAGAAGACAUACAUGCAAUAGUUUUCCCAAUGUACUGAUCAUAUAAGCAAAAAACACAACAAGGAAAAUCUUAUGGAAUUAAUCGAUUUACCUUAUCAGUAGAGCCACUAACUAAACUUUACCCUCAAUUGCAAAUUUGGCACUUAAAAUUUAUAACCUACGUAAGAGAUGAAAAUAGGGAUCCAAGUUUAUGAGAAACCAAGUUCAACGAAUUUAUCAUAAAGAAACAUGAAAUGAAAUAUGCAUAUGAUGCACCAGUUUUACCUUGUUUAAAUGCACCAGUUACUACCUGACCUUCUGCAGGUCUGUCAAACAUAACAACUUGUUAAUCAGAUCCAAUAAAUAUAAUGGCAAUUACAUCCUGAAAUAAUUAUAGAAAAGCAAUAUAAUAGCUAGCAUAAAUGUAAACUUAGAUUUUCCAGCUAUAUGUAAGACAUGAACAUAUACCUUUUGUAUGUCAAUUUCUGUUUGGGGUGGAAAACAAACUUGAAUUGAACACAAUGCCAUUUAAUAAUCUGAACAGCCAUAGCUAUUCUUACCAAAGAAAAUGUGAUCCCAAUUCAAGUUGUUAAUAAGAGGUCAGGACUCGACCGGCCUUUAUCUAAGAAGUCGAGGGAAAUACACUAUUUAUUUAAUAACAUUUUUUGGAUUACCUUAGUCGUAAAAGAAAAGUGCAAAAUAAAAGAAUUAUGUUGUUUCUCAUGUUAUCCUAUUAUUCACGAGUAACUAUUCCACUUACCUCUUAUGAAUCAAGUGCGGGGAUUGCAAGUAGAAGAUAAGAUACAAUAAUAUGUUCCCUGCUCAUCCGUGGUUCUAAAUCCAUUAACCUUUGCUCCAGACAUUGUAUUCGGGAAUGCAGUGCCGCCUCAAACUACCUAAAAGAAUUUCACAAUGUAUAUAUGUUAGGCUCUUUUAAAGUAAUGAGCUAUAAUAUCCGAAAAGAAACAUCAACGUUGGUAGUGAACAUCAAUGACUGCAAAUGUGGAGGACAACAAACCUCAAGCACAAAUGGCAUCCAUGGCCUCCAUUCAUGUUUUUCGGAUUUUAACUGGGUAACAUUCUAUCUAUAAAAACUCUUCCCCUUUAUUGUUAGUAACCCAUCACCAAAUAUAAAAACUUCUCCUUUUUUACUGUUAGUAACCCAUAACCAAAUAUUAGUUCAUUGACAAUAUGUGAGAAAUAUGUACCCAAUUAAUAACAAAGAUAUAUAUUUAAUGCAAUAAACAAAAAUCUCAACCAAAUAUUUCAAUUUUAUCCAAUGUUUAAGAGCCCAACAAAUAAGAAGUCAGAUUCAAUCUAAAAAAUCUCAAUUAAGAAUUCAAUUUUAAGUCGUUUAUAAUGAUAAAAUAAAUUCCAAAACGAAUAUAAAUAUGAAUAAACUAUAUAAUUUCUUGUUUCCGAUUUCAAGAUUUGGGAUUACUGAGAAACCUGAGAAAUCAUGAAGAAAUUGUGCUUAAGUGGUCGACAACAAGGCCGACGGGGGCUGUAGAGACGACGCGAGAUGAGGUGAGGGUUCAUGAUAGUUAUCUUCAUAUACUAUGCGAUGGAUCGAGGGUCGAUUACUGAGCGAUCGAUAGACGGAGCCGAUUAUCAAGGGAUGAAUCGAUUGAGCCGAUUAUGGGUCGAGGGAGGCUGUAAAACCUAAAACCGAAGAAUGGAUCUGAUAUACAAUUGUAAGAAAGAGGGGUUUUCUUUUUUUUUUUUGGAUGGAAAAGAGAGAGGGGUUUUCAAUCCCGUAUAAACUAUUAUUAUAUAAAAUACAUUAAUACAAAUUUGCACAUGUAUUUCAUUAUAAAAAAAAACUAUUAUUAUAUAAAAUACAUUAAUACAAAUUUGCACAUGUAUUUUAUUAUAAAAAAAAUCUACAUCAUACCUUGCGUAUUUAUUAAAAAUAAGAACCUAUAAAUAAAAUUAAAUAUAUUUUGAAAAGUACAAAUACUGGGUUAGUGUAUUAUUAUUUUGUUAAGAAAUAAAUUUUGGAAUUAGGAUUUUCAUAUAUUAAUUAGUUUAAAUAAAUUUUAAAAAUUUCAAAUGGUUGCUUUUAGAAAACUAUUAGCAGCCAAAAUAAUUCCGUUAAUGUUCACUCCAAAAAUUUAUAGCAACCAUUAAUCAUUUUGUUAUCAAAUUAGUCGCUAUUAAUAUUAUUUACAGUGACCAUUAAAUGAAGGUCGCUAAAGAGUAGAGAUUUGGUCACUAUAUAACUACUCAACUCUGGACAAAUUAUAGUGACCAUUUAUAGCUACCAAAUAUUAGUUGGUUGCAAAACAAAUACGUAAAUUGACUAUUGCAACCAAAUUAGUACUGGUCGUUAUAUGCAUAUAUGCAGUGACCAUUUUCUGAUCAUCGCUGAAAAAUUGGUUGCUAAAGCUAGUUUUUCUUGUAGUGUAUGUUUUUCAAGAUAAAAGACCAUUAGAUUGGCAUAAGAGAAUGAAGGUAGCUUGCGGUCUUGGGCUUCAGUUUUUACACGACAAGGCGAAUUCACCAAUGAUGAACCUCGUACCGAACUCAUCAAAAACUUUCCUUCACUUUUGUUAUAUAUACGUUCUGAAUGCAAACAUUUGACAGUUAAGAUCGCAAUUUAUUGUUAGAUCUUUCGGACUUCUUUAAUUCGAAAACCUGUACAUUAUUCCUUCUGCCGAACAAUCAUUGCCAAACAAUCUUUUACUGCUUGACAUAAAAUAAUCUUUUAAUAUCGGACAUGAAUAGUCGGGAAUAGACAUCACGCAGGGCACCGCGCCUUGCGCGGUGCUCGUUACUAGUACAUAUAUAUAUAUAUAUAUAUAUAUAUAUAUAUAUAUAUAUAUAUAUAUAUAUAUAUAUAAUCCCUAAAUUUAAUAUAAGAAGGAAAUAUCUAAUGAAAGGACUCCCCAUAUAUGUUGUCAGGCCAUGUGAACAAGUUAUGGAGCACGUUCUUAGCAAUUACUCAAUCAAUGCUUGGAAAAUAAAUAAUGCCAAUUAUUAUCUCAGGAUAAAAUUAAAAUACUAGGUAAAAGAAAAAAAAACUUCAAGUGUAGACAAUGACAAUAGCCCUUUGGCUUUUGGUAAAAGACACAAGAAGAAAGUGAUACGUACCAGAAACUAUACAUAAAUAAUUAUUUUAUUUUAUUUGAUGAUAGCCUAGCUUUCAUAUUAUUGAUGUCGUUUUCGUUUUCUUGUAAUUCGCAUGGUUUUUUCUUCGACUAGCUAGGCCAUUAUACAUUAUGAUUAAAUGAAUGUUUGAUGAACAAUAAAAUAAAAUUGGGCAAAUUACGGCCACCCCCAGAAGUAAGGUCAAAUUACGAAAAAAUCCUAAUGUUUGGGUAAUUACAACCACCCUUUAACUAUGAUUGUUCUUACACGUCCACCCUUACGGUGUCAAAUUCAAUAGAAUGUAAAAGAUUCUGUGAAAUGUUCUCUAGUUUGUACUCAUUUUGUGCAAAAAGACAGUUUUAGAUGCACCACAAUCUGAUAUUUACAAGUCAAGAGACAUAUCUUAUGAUCAUCUUGUUUUAAAAUGUGGAUCUAGAAUAAGAUAAAACGGGUACAGACGGAAGAAUAUUCCACUAGAACAUUACAAUAAAUUUGACACCGUAAGGGUGGACGUGUAAGAAAAUGGAAAAGUACAGUUUGCACCCCUGAACUAUGGAGUCUGUCACAAACACCUCCCUAUACUACAAAACGUAACAAAAAGACCCCUCCGUUUUUAAACCGUUUGUAAUGUGGUGAUGUGGCAGUUGACCCUCUCUUAUUUCAUUAUUUUGACAUUUUUACCCUUCACUUUGCUAUAUCUAUAUGAAUAAAAAGAUAUUUACAUUUUCAGUAUAAAGAUAUAUUUUUUCACCCCAAACUUAAAAUUGUAAAUAAGCAAAAUACUUAAAUUUAAAUUGAUUAUGUAUUCCAAUUUUAAUAAUUAUUUUAUUUCAUCCCAAAAUGUUUUAUAUCAUUAACUUAUUAAUAUAGUAACAUAUUCAAUUUAAUUAAUACAUAAACAAAAAAAAUCAGAAGAAUAAAUAUUUUUUUUAGUUGGAGCAUAUAAAUUUUCUAACAAUAACUUAUUACUCAAUUGAAAAUUUCCUCAAAUUCAAAAAACUUAAGCUCAAACAAAAGACCAUAAAUGAUUAAAGUAAAUUAAAUAUAAAAUAUAACAAAUUAAUUACAGAAUAAAUCAACCCUUGCAUUCAAAUACAGUUCACAUUUCGGCCACUCCAAUCAAGAAGCAAGAUUUAACCCAAAUACAAUCAACCUAACAUUGCUUUAAAAUUUAACAAACCCACUACUUCCUCUGGCCAAGGAUGAAAAAAUAGUACGUCGUUGCAAGAAAAAAGGUCCGGCGAGCAGGGCCACGGCUACACGAAGUCGAAAACGACGGAGGAGUGAAUUGGGUGAAACCGUAACGGAAAAAGAAGCUUGAGAGGGAUGAAACAACAUAGGGAGAGGAAGGGGAGAAAAAACCUCUGCCGGAAAAUAUUUUCGCCGGAACGAAUGGCAUGGAAAAUCGAGAACUUAAUCCCUAUUAGAGGGAUGAGAGAAGUAUGGGAAAUGAGGAAGAAAAUACAUAGUUAAGAGGUGGUUGUAAUUAGCCAAACAAUAUGAACUUUUUCGUAAUUUCAUAUGUACCUCAGGAUGUGACCGUAAUUUACCCAAAAAUAAAAUAAAUUCAACCUUUUUGCAUUGCAAGAAGAAAAGCAACAAGAAGGCACAACAAGAAGGAUGUUUGAUCAAAAAGUUUAAAGGGAAAAAAUGGACUUUAAAUUUAACCAAAAAGCUCAUAUAAAUAUCUGGUUUAUUGGUAGUAAUAAAGUAGAACAGUGUAAUCUCUCUCUAGUUCAAAUCAAAGUGUUAUUACAAAAUGACAACAGAAAUUUGUGGUUAAGAUAUCUUAUCCCCUAAUAAUAAUAAAGACUGAAUUUUUAUUUUAUUUUUAAAUAUAAAUAAAAAAAUGGGCAUGUUUACACAAUCACCAAAUUAAGAACACUAAUUAAUUCAAAGCUCCAAACAUAUAUAGAUUAAUUAAUGAUUUCUAAUAGGUAUCAGAUUUUCAUAGAUUCAAUAAAUAAAAAUCAACAAUUAAAUUCAAAUUGUUUUUUAUUCUGACUUGAAUAGGGCUGAGUUUUCUGAUGUAAAACAUCUCGGCAGAUUCAGGAACGCCCCAAUAUUUCUGCCCAUCCUUCUGCACGCGCGUGAAUCCCUAAUGCAGGACUCGAUUUUGCCCCAGUAACUAUCACUCGCGACCCGAUUCGAGAGCCAACUCGAGUAGUCCUAGAGGGAGUAGUCGAGGUAGGCCCGGUUCAUCACGGGUUGGCCGGAACCCUUGCCGGUGACGGCGUAGGCGAAGAUGACGAAGCCGAGUAGGGUGGCAAUGAUGAUGAACAUGGCCCACUGGUAGAGGUACAUGAGGAAGUUGUUCCGGUAGCAGGCGCCGGCGAAUCCGGCGAGGGAGACGACCAUGAUGGACACGCCGAUUAUUAUGAGCGGCCACUGGAGGAACUUUAGGCAGUCGGUGUUGUUCGCGCGGCUGCUCAGCCAUAUUCCGCCGCCGACGAUGGGGAUCGAUAGGACGAAGGUGAGGAAGAUCAGGGCGCCUAUUAGGUGGUUGCUCGUUCUCAUGGCGGCGGCGGUGGCGGUGGCGGUGGUUGAAAGUUUUUUGAAAUUUAAUUUUGUCUUACAAGAGAGAGAGAGAGAGUACUGCUGUAUUUAUUGGGGAGCAGAUAUAUAAUGG